RNAcentral lists this long non-coding RNA (91783 nucleotides) under Vitis vinifera (wine grape). RNAcentral describes it as "long non-coding RNA (VVIN_LNC006927)". The record is from RNAcentral. Lineage: Eukaryota; Viridiplantae; Streptophyta; Magnoliopsida; Vitales; Vitaceae.
AAUUGGUAAGAGAGCUCACCCAUGGUCUAGUAAAACAACAUCUGUUAGAUAAGUAACCACCAUUCUAUUGUCCAGCUAAUGCAUUUAGAUCUAAGAUAACAUAUGGAAAAAUAGUCGAAAAUAGCUAAAGACAGUCCAAAAACUCAUUUGACUAAUAAUUUUUUAAAAACAGAAACAUAAAACCAGGAUGAAGAAUCCACCCCUCUCCUUGACACCACUUCAAUACCAAAUAAAAUGUUACAAUGACCAUUUAUGGUCUUAAGAGACAGUGGAUGUUGUUUGGGCUCAAGACAUAAGACAAGCCAAAAAUCAAGAAGAAAACAACAUCAAAAUUGGCACAGAAACAAGUACAUCAACUAUCUAAUAAAGAGAUUUAUGCAUGUAACAAAUGCAAAUGAAAUAUGAUACAAGAUUUUCAUGGAUUAAACAAAAAUAGAUGGCAAAAUAGAAGGAUAAGGUCACAGACAGGACAAUAUUAAAAGAAAUUAUUAUUUUUCCGACCUGAAAAUCGAGGCAUUCAGAACAGUACAAGUUUGUAAGUAGUCCAUGGAAACCAGGGAACAUAUGCAGAUGUUGUAUUCUAUUGCAUAAGGCAAACACUCAAUACUUACAAGCAUAAUCAUGCCCAGAAAGCCAUGAAUCCCUUUUUGUUUUGCUUUUUUACCUAUUCCCAUCUCUUAUGGCCAGAAGUGCCCAGGAUGAUAUAACCUCACCAAAUAAGUUAGAAACCAGCCCAUUCAGCAGGUUGAGUAGCCAGCUUGCCCUCAAUCUUCUUUGAGUCAACAAACAGCUGGGCAUUAUUGCCUCCAAUGGAGGGUCUGGAAAUAUUAGAGCCGGCAGCAGGGGUGGCUGUAAAACUCUCUGUUCCAAAACCCCAAGUUUCAGGGCCAGAAGUUCCUUCUGUGGCUGGUUUGUUGUGAUGGCCAUUUCGGGUCCUAACAGACUUGCUAUUGUUGUCUGGGCACCUGCCUCAGAGAAAGCCUGCCAAAGAUCAGAGUCUGGGCCAGGGGAAACGGAUUUUCUUUGCUGGAGUUCCCAGUCUGUUGCUUCAAUCUUUUCUCUGUGCUGUUAUGAGAAGAAAACCUAUCAGACACAUGAAUGGGUACAAAAAGGUAAACUUCAGGUUUUGGUUCUAUUGAAAAGCACAGGAAACUUCACAAGAGGCAAAUUAUACCCCAGAAAUUGACUUACCCAAAUGUCUACUUUCUCAUUUAUAGGUUUCCUCCUAAUCAAAUCCCCACAUCUAGGACAGGAAAAGGAAGAAACUGGGAGUCAACAUUUUUUCAACCAAAAGCACUAACUUACCAAAAAACAUAGUUUUCCAUUCAACCUCGGGAGCUGUAUGUGCAGGUGUACUGUACUUUCUGAUAUUGUCUUCUUCAAUGCCCAUUUCUUCAGGCUUCUUAAAGUGCUUAUGAUUGGUGGAGGUGCUUCCAAAAUUACACAACUUCCAUAAUCCAUUAGGGCCCAAUAGAAGAUUCUCAGCAUUUAUAUAAGAACUUUAGGGUUUAUACCAAUGAUCAUGUUACAGUAUAAAUCAUAGUGAACUGGUGGAAUUUGAUCAUUUAGCCAACCUCAUCAAAAAACUGUUUCACAGUUGAGGGGAUUGUUAACCUUCCCAUGGGCCAAGCAGCAAUUUCUGAAACUGAUCCUGAAAUCAAAAAUCCCACACAAGUAGAUAUUUAACAGAAGAGGAUCCGAAUCUCUUCAAUUGAUUAAUGUAUAAAUGAAAUAAUAAAAAAUUUUAGAGAUAAUUAUAGGGAGAUGAACCUUAUACCUCUGAGUUUCUUAGUCUUCUUGAACAGAGCAAUGAGCAUCAAGUGUUGAGCACCCAGGAAUCUCCCUUCCUCUACAGGGAAAAUCUGAACAAUCUAUCUUUCUUCAUAUUCCACUUCCUUGCAAAAGUCAAAACAUGAAGAAAAUAUCAUCAAAAUUGAGACAAAAAUAAGUGCAUCAACUGUCUCAAGAAGAGAUUUAUGCCUAUUGCUUACCUUUUGCAGAAGUCCACUUGGUUAGAGCACAUUUUACAUGGACGCCCAAUCACUGCAAGCUGCUGAACCAAAGGAGGUUCAAACAUCUAAAAAAUUUGACUAACUCAAGUAUCAUAAAAAUGCUUCACAUGAAUUCCAAAUGAUCUCAUAUCUAAAAAACAUUGGCAUAAAAUUAUUGUUGUUUACCUUACAUGUUUCUUCCAUGGUCAUAAUUGAAACUUUGUUUAUCAUAACAAAUCUUCUAUGCUCAUCCUGAUUACUUACAAUGAACACUGAAAUGAAAAGAAAAAAAAAACACAAAAAAUGACGAUUAGUUUGGUUUGAUAAAUUUAGCACACACAAUUCCCUUUUUCUUGUAUGAAAAAGGAAAGAGUAAAAAAAAAAAUGAAUUUAAUAAUUUUUUAAAACUAGCAAUUAUAAAACUAGUUUGGUUCUCAGAAAAUUUAUGGGAAAGCAGGGAAAAAAAAGUGUAAACUUUUUCUCUUGUUUGAUUGUUUAUGGGAAAAUUGAGGGAAAAACAAAUAUUUAUGAGGAAUCUAUUUAACACUUUUGAGGAACAAAAAAUGUUUUAGAUGUUGUCAAAUCGAUAAUUUAAAUGUAUUUAAUUCCAAUUAAAUAAGUUUAAUCAAACACAUGAAAUGAAAUUGUGAAUAAAAUUAUUUAAAAGCAUUGAAAUUCAUGUCAUUAAAGUUGUCCAUAAAAUUUGGUAUAUUAAAGCAAGAAAAAAACAAAGCAAUUUGAAUGACUUGCUAAUAAAGCAGCUAACUAGAAUAUGCCCUAGAGUUGUUCUAUGUAUAUAAGAAAUAAACAGAGAACACAAUAAAUAAAUAAAAAACCAGAAAAUAAAAUACAAACAAACGAAAAUAAACAGCGUUGUUCAAUGGUUAUAAAUGGUUAUUUUUGCAAACCACCAAAUCAAAACAGAGCAUGAAAACGUGUUCAAUAUUUGUUUCAGGCUUGAAGCAUCAAGAAAAAGAAAAUCUUAAAUCAAAUAAAUAGGACUAGCGAAUGAAUUGGAACUUGAAAGAAAAGUUCAAGUGCAAAAGAAUUACCUGACUCUAUAUUGGCGGAGUGGCACUUUGAUUAAUAUAGCACACCAUUGAUCAUUAUUUUUGGAAUGUGAGCUAUAUAACGCCAUUCUUCCCCUUUCUCAAAUUGACACCGUUUUUCCAGUAGAGGACACCCGUAGAUCCUCAGAAAAGAGAGGGAGUCUGAAAGUCUCUCUUUUGUCAAGUAUUUGAGCUUACGACAGAUCAUGAUCUCCAAUGUUUUAAGAGAGGUGAGGUGUUGAAGACCCACUUUUUUCAAGGAUUGGAGCAUUGGGCACUCAUGGAUCCACAAACUUUCAAGAGAGGUGAGGUGUUGAAGACCCGCUUCUGUCAAUGAUUGGAGCCUCGAGCAUUGACAAAUUACUAAUCGUUUUAGAGAGAUAAGGUGUUGAAGAACCGAUCCUGUCGAGAACUGGAGCUUUGGGCAGAAGUAGAUCCUUAAUUCUAAAAGAGAGGUGAGUUGUUGAAGACCCCCGCUGUCAAGAGACUUGAGAUUUGGAAGAUUCCAGAUUUGAAGAGAAGUCAGAGAAGAGGGCAGCAAACACUCUUUGGGAAAUAAUUCAAUGUCUUCACAUCCACCUUUGAUUAUGAAAUGAGUAAGAGAGGUCAGCCUUUGCAAACCCCACUCCACCUGGGGCGUGAGUUGGUUGCACUUCUUAAUUUCAAGUUCACGUAGGUUGGAAGGCAAACCCUCUCUCUGAAACAACAAUUCUGGACAAUCAUAUAAAUUCAAGUACUGUACAGAUGACUGUCUGUGUGCCAAUGACCUGAGCUUGGAGCACCUAUGAAUCGAACAAGACUUCAAGUUGAGAGCGCGUAAUUCGAUAGAUUCAAGAUCAGAGCAACCUCUUAGACGCAGGGAACAUAAAGAUGUGGGAUCACCCUCUGAAACCAAAAUCGAGAGCUUCUCAAGCCCAUUAAGACCAUUGAUUUCGAAAUCAGUCAACUUGGGGAAGAUGCCUAAUGAGAAGGAUAACGACAGAGAAUCAUCGAUAACACCACGUUCGAUGAUUAGACGUUCAAGGACUGGGAGAUGGCAUCUGAACAACUCAGGUACGAGAAACGCUAAUUUCGAGCAGUUAUAGAUUAACAGUGAUUUCAGUGUAGUGGGUAAACCAACUUUGUGCAGGGAUCUAGAAAAAAUACAAUCACAGAUUUUCAGAUCAUGAAUGUUGGUUUGCGAGAUUUCCUCCUCUAGCAGAGACUCCACAUAAUCACAUUUUCUAAUUGACAGCUGGUGUGGUGCCAUUGGAAGUUGACUCCACUGAGACACAUCUAAAAUUUCAAUUUCUGAAGUUUGAAGAGGUGUGAAGUCACAACCUGGCAUUUGCAACCGCAGUUUACCAAAAUCCACCAUCCUCAACUGACGAAUUGCAGGAACUGUGAGUGAAGCCAUAAGCAGCUGCGGACAUCCAUCAAUUUGAAGUUCCACCAAUGAAAGAAGCUGUUCUGGUAAUUUCCCAGUGAGUUUGGGACACUUUCGUAUAAAAAGCUUUUGGAGACGAGGGAAUUCUCCACAACAUAACCAUUUCUCCCAGUUCUUCAUAUCCUCAAAUGAUAGUGUUUCUAGGAAUUGAAAGGAAGCAUUCUCAUAUAACUCAUCACCCACACACUCUACUCCAUUCAUCCUUGAGAUUUGCAGAUAUUUAAGCUGGGUUAGCUGUCCAAGUGGUGGCAAUGUUGAGCAAUUGCCACAACCCCGAAGCUCAAGGGACACGAGAUUCAACACUGAAGGAUCUCCAAGCCAAUUUGGAAAUCCUUCACCAGGAUAGUUUGUGAUGGAGAGUUGUUUUAAAUUUGGAUGAGGUUGUAACUUGUUGAGUAUAUCAUGCGUUGUUGCACCACUUUGUGUAACACCACUGGUACCCCAACCAAAGAUUAACUCAUAAAGAUAACUUUUAUCCUUCAUAUUAGCCCUUAAUGCAUCAUUAACACUCACCACAUUCUCCAUGUUUGAAAUACAAAGUUUUCCUCGAAUCUCUGACAGCUCCCCCAAUUCUCCAAUUCUUAAUCCAUCGUUUUGGCCCACAAUAAAUUGAGUCAACCUUUGUAAACUUUUUAAUCGACCAAUUCCAUGACUUGACAUUUCUCUCAAUGAACCACAUCCAUCAAUAUCAAGAUAGCGCAAAUUAAUCAAUUUUCCCAUCUUUGAAGGCAAUUCAUCAAGUUUUGAACAAUUUCUCAGCAUCAUCGUUUGUAAAUUGCAUAAACAACAUGCUGAUUUAGGUAAUUUUUUAAUCCUCGUGGAAGACAAAUCCAAGUAACGCAAAUGUUUUAAAUUACCUAUCGAUUUAGGCAAAUCAGUUAUUGUAUAUGCACAUAAUGAUAACACGCGUAAACACCACAUUUUUGGUAAUAUAUCUUGCAAAACUCUUUUACUCAACUUAUACAAAGGAAGAUCAACCCAUGGCUUCACUCUUAAGAAUGUCCGAAGAGAUUUAGCUUUAGGGACAGCCUCAAAAUUCUUAAAUGCAACAAGCCUGGUAUCAUCACUAUUAAAGUACAAAAAGUGGCGAGCCUUCUCAGAUACUUCUGGUGGUAACUUAUCAUCAUCUUCCACUCGAGCACAAAAAUCUCCAGACACGUAUUGAGCCAAUUCAUGUAUUAGAUCAUGCAUUACAAAGCAUGAUCCUUCUAUUCCAAUAGAUUUUUGAAAGAAAGACUUGGCAAGAAGCUCAUCAAAAUAUGACUCACCGAUCUCUUCCAUUCUCCUUCCUUUGUUUUGUUGUGCAUGUAAAAGACCUUCUGCCAUCCAUAAUAAAAUCAGCUCCUCUUUGUUGAAUUGGUGGUCCUGGGGAAAAAUAGAACAAUAAGCAAAACAAUGCUUCAGAGGUAAAGAAAGAUGAUGGUAGCUUAAUAUCAAAGACGGAAGAAUUUCGGAGCCACGCUGCGGAUGCCAUAUUUCACUUCUCAACACAUCGUCCCAUUCCCUUUUUUCGUCCUUAGAAUACAAGAGACAGCCGAGUGCUUUCACAGCCAAAGGCAAUCCUUGGCACUUGUCCACAAUCUGUCUGCCUAUGCGUUGAAGCUCAAGGUAUGCGUUGGGGUCUCUAUCUUCAAAUGCAUGCUUUUUAAACAGGGACCAACUAUCUUCAGAGCUUAAUUCCCCAAGAUGAUGAGUAGGGACUGCUCGCAUGGUUGUUGCAACAGAUUGAUCACGACUGGUCACGACAAUCUUGCUUCCCUCUGCUGCGAGGAGUGGAGUUCGUAGAAUAUUCCAAACUUCACGAUCACUAAGCUCCAUAUAACCUUCAUCACGAGGCUUCAAAUUCCAGACGUCAUCAAGAACAAGCAGAAAUUUCUUGUUACGAAGUUGCUCUGUGAGUUGAAGCUGAAGCAAAUUUAGGUUGUCAGCGGAAGUAGGUGGAGAACCAAUUUCCUCAAGAAUUGUUUUGGUGAGUUUGAUAAGGAAAAACUCAGUGGAAACACAGACCCAUGCUUGCAAGUCGAAGUGUUUCUUCACUUCCUCAUUUUUAUAGAGACGCCGAGCAAGCGUGGUCUUGCCGCUGCCGCCCAUGCCCACUAUGGACAUCACCCCCAUUUUGUCGCCUGUUGUAUUGUCAGAACGCAACCACUCCACCAUCUCCUUCUGAAUUCCAUCCCUGCCGACAAAAAUGGAGUCAUGCUCCAAAGAAGUGGUUAUUGGUGAUCUUGGUCUUGGUGACCGUUUCUCGCCCCCACCUUCUGCCAGCCCCAACCCAACUUUUUCUAGUGCGAUUUUUUCCAGUUGAACAAUCAUGCCCCUGACCCUGGACUCCAUGCUUUUGAUAGCAAAUGGGGCCUUCACAGAAGCAGAGAACUUCUUCCAUUUCCACGCCUUAAGAGUUCCGUCGGUAACGAUCUCGUCCAGCAGGUCUUCCGCACCAUACACAGCAUCCUUGACAGGGACGAGCCACUCUUUGACAUUUGGGUUCGAAAAUUGCUUCACCUCCGCAUCAUCGAGCACAUUGUGAACAACCACGAGUUUCCUCUUCAACUCGUUGAGGAGUUCAUCGCUAAGGCUCCGUCGCCGAAUGAAGUUUAUGAGCUCUGGAGAAGCCAACCUUUCGAAUAGAACUUGAAGCGAAGUUGAGAGGAGGGCGUCCGCCAUAUCUGUGUCGACUGUUGCUUUGCAAUAGGAAUUCAGAGGAUUGGUUUCUGUUACCGCGAUACCACCAAACUGCAAAAGACUGGGUUUGGAUUACCACACUGCAGAAUGCUUGAAGGAAUCAUUAUUGGUGGUGGACCCAGCUGCCAGAUAUUGGUGGUGGACCCAGCUACACUGCAGAAUGCUUGAAGUUAUUGGUGGUGACCCAGCUGCCAAUAUUUGUCAAACACCAUAGUGGUGAGAAAAAGAACAGGAAAAGCGAGUGGGAGGUAGAUGCGCUUUCCCCAAGGAAAGCAGAAUCAACAACAGCAUUCGGUAUUUUUCUUUUUCAUCUACGCAUUUCUUCUUUCUUUCUUCUAGUAUUAUUAUUAGUAGACAUAUACACACAAAUAUUUGUUUAUAACAUUUUCAUUCUUAAUAUUAUAAAAUUUAUUAUUAAUAAUAUUUAUACUAAUAUUAUUUUUUAAUAAUUAUAUUAGUAUCAGGAUUUUAUAAUUAGUAUCCUUACUUUUAUUGCUUAUAAUAAUAAUUAUUAUUAUUAUAUUAUGUUAUUAUUAAAAUUUAUUAGUAUUUUCACAUAAACAAUGAUAUAUGCAUAAGACAUAUUAAAAUUUUGAAUAUUAUGGUUAUUAUUAUUUAAUAAUAAUAUUAUUAUUUGAUUCAAAAAAAGUUUAUAAUAUAAUAAUAACAAAAAUAAUUUUUUUAAUAAAAUAAAUUAUAAAAAUAUAAUAAUUUUAUUAUUUAUAAAAUACAUUUAUUUUAAUGCAAUUAAAAAAAUUAAAAUAAUUUUAAAAAAUUUAAAAAUUUUCAAAAAAAAGUUAAAUGGGACGGGAUUAGGAUGGGAUCGAUCCAUCCCAAUGUCGUCCCGUUGUCAUCCCUAACUCAUCUUGUGAUAAUUAAGGCCAUUUUUUAUCAUUGUUUUUUUAAAAUGGUCUUUUAUCCUUAAUAUAUAUAUAUAUAAUAAUUAGAAAUAAAACAUAAUUUUUGUUUUUAAAAAUAAAAAAUAAGGCAUUUUUAGAUCAUAUCCUUUUAGUUACUUUUAUUUGUUUUUAAAAAGUAAUUAUAUAAAUAUAAAAAAUAAAAUAAUUUAAAUAAAAUUUAUUUUUAAAAUAUAGAAAAUUAGUUAAUAACACUUUAUCUUCUCAAGCUCUUGUUUUAUAAAAUAUCAUAAAAUAAUUUUCAAAAACUUUUUUUUUUCACAAUUUUGACAAACAAAACGUGUUGCAAUAAUGCACUUAAAUUCAAUGAACCUAAAAGCCAAAUGUGCAGUGUUGACUUUUCAACAGAGAGUUCACACAUGCCCAUUUUUUUAAUUAAAGCACUAUUGAUAUAAAAUAUAUAUUUAAAUAAAAAUUAGACUUUUAAAAAAAUUAAAAUAUAUUUUUAAAAUUAAAAUAUAUUUUUAAAAUGUUAAAAAAAUAUUUACAAUAUUUCCUUAAAAAAAACAUCUUCCAAAAACAUUUCUUUAAAAAAUACUUCCACCGAUAACAAUUUAGACACACUUGUGAUUUAAUAGUUAAAUAUUCUUUCCAACAGGAAUUCAACUAUCAGUUUGUAUUACCACGAUACCACCAAACUGCAAAAGACUAAUUUUGGAUUACCAAAAUGCAGAAGAGCUGAAGGAAUCAUUGAUGGUGGACGACCCAGAUGUCCACAUUAUUUGUCAGACACCAUAAUUGAGUGAUGAGGAAAUGAAAGAAAAGAAAAUAAAAAACAAAAAAGGUGAUGCCAAACAUGGUCUUAUAAGGUGGGUGGAGCGAAAGCAACAAAGGAAACUAGCAGGAUUUUUCAUUGCUAUUCCAUACCUUAAAGGACAAAUUUUGAAUUACCAAAAUACAAAAGACUUGAAGGAAUCAUUGAUGGUGGUGGACCAGAUGUCCACAUUAUUUGCCAAACACCAUAAUUGAGUGAUGACAAAACAAAAGAAAAAGCAAAAAAGGUGAUGCCAACAUGGUCUUGUAAGGUGGGUGGAGCAAAAGCAACAAAACAAACUAGUAGGAUUUUUUUAUUGCUAUUCCAUAUCUCAAAUGACUAAUUUUGAAUUACCAAAAUAUAGAAGACAUGAAGGAAUCAUUGAUGGUGGUGGACCAAGAUGUUCACAUUAUUUGCCAAACACCAUAAUUGAGUGAUGAGAAAAUGAAAAACAAAAAAGGUGAUGACAAACAUGGUCUUGUAAGGUGGGUGGAGCGAAAGCAACAAAGUAAACUAGCAAGACUUUUCGUUGCUAUUCCAUACUUCAAAGGAUUGAUUUUGAAUCAUCAAAAUACAGAAUACUUGAUGGAAUCAUUGAUGGUGGUGGACCCCGAUGUCCAUAUUAUUUGCCAAACACCAUAAUUGAGUGAUGAGAAAAUGAAAAAAAAAAAAAAGUUAAGAAAAAACAAAGAAGUGAUGCCAAACAUGGUGUCGUGAGGUGGGUGGAGCAAAAACAACAAAACAAACUAGUAGGAUUUUUUGUUGUUAUUCCAUACUGAGAAAAUAAAGGGCUAUUCUAAAUAGAUAAAAACACCCAAGAGAGGAGGUGAAUAGAAGUUAAAAAAUUUCUUUUUAAACACAAUAAAAUUAAGCAUAAGAAGUACAAAUAUAAAGAAGUAAGGUUAUAGAAAGUAAACUCAAAUUUAUAGUGGUUCGACACUUCCUUACUUACAUCCACUCUCCUCAAGCUCCUAAUCGAGUGAGGGUUCCACUUAUACUUGAAGUUUCAACCAAACUUCUAAUCACUUUUUACACUUGGAUUCCAUCUCCAAUGGACUCUUACACAAUCUUUUCAAGUCUUUACUCACUUGAAGGUUUUAACACUCAAUUAACAAGUUUGAAUCUCUCAACCUAGCUCAACAAUGACUCAAAUACAACUCAAGGCUAGGAUGAAUCACUAAGGUGCACUAAAGAAUAUGCAAAUGAAAAUUUAAUGCACUAAUAAAAUAAUGAGAGCUUUUAUGGCAAUAAUAAGUAGGUAAACAAAUAAAUGCAAGUGUUCUCUUACUCAUAAAUGAGGUAGAGCUCUCAAUUUAUAGGUUUCUAACCUCAGGAGCUAAAAAGCCAAAAAACAGUCUCAACUGGUUGAACUGGGGGUUGACUGGUUCAUUAGCCGUUGGAACAUUAAAUGCUUGGCAGGUGACCGUUACCCUCGACCAAACCUUAACUGAGAAGGCAAAUCCAUCAACCAGGAAAGAAAGGCUACUAGAAGAGAGAGAAUGUUUUUCACAUCUCUCAACCGGACCUUGACAUAGAAAGAGUAAUCGGUAGACCGAUACCUUAGCUGAUUGAGCCGAUUGGCCAGUGCCUCGACUAGUUCACCAUUUUUAGUCUGAAAACCUAUCUUUUUCUGGUCUUUUUGCUUCUAGCACUUAGGUAAGGACUUUAGAUAAAAUAAUAUGUCAAUUUUGAAAUGUUUUGCCUAAGGUUCAUUUGAUAGAACUCGGAUUUUGAUGGAAAUGUAACUUUAAUGCAUAAACCGAGUUUUAAAGAUGUAUGAAAUGAUAUGAAUACCCUAAGUACACUCAUGCAUUCAUCUUACGUAUGUUUCCUAUGAUUAAAAGGUCGUUCAAAAGUCUUGAUCUUGCAUUCAUUAGGUCCUUUAAUGAAUUUCCAAAUUAACACCUGAAAUUCUUUAUAAUUCAAAUCAAUUAGUAACUUAACCAUGAUUUGUUAUAAUCAAAACAUGAUUAGGAGAAUCAUUGGGCUAACACAUACCUCAAAGGACUAAUUUUGAAUUACCAAAAUAUAGAAGACUUGAAGGAAUCACUAAUCUUUUUAUAAUUUAGAAAAAUAAGUAAAACGAGUUUGAAGAAAUGUAUAAAAAUAAUUUAUUAAAUUUAAAUUUAUUUCUUAUUUUCCUUCAUUUUUUCUUUUUUUCUACUUUUUCUUUCUAUUUUCUUUCCUUCUCGUUUUCCCUCAAAUUUUCCAAGAGCCAAAUAUAGCUUAAAGGUUUAGAAUCUUAUGCACAAGACUUUCAAUUUUUUUUACAAUAUUAUUUUAUUAGUUAAGAAUUAAAAUUUAAUGUACCAUAUCUAACACUAACAAAAAAAUUUAUAACAACCAAUCUUAUCUUUUAAGAAUAUAUUGUUUAAAUGAGAUUAAAAAUUAAAAAUAAAUUUUAAUUCAUUUAACAACUAAAUUAAAAUGAAAUUUAUAUAUAUAUAUCAUAAAUUUAUACAAUUUUGAAUCAUUUUAUAUGGAGGAUUGAGAAUGGAGAGAUUGAAGAAUUGUUUGGUGACGAGGAGAUUGAUCGAAGAUUUUAUAGUCUUAAGGUUCUAUGGGAUGAAAUUUUUUGUAAAGAGUUUAAAUUUUUGUAAAAAAUAAAAUUAGUUUUAUGUUAUUUGAUUUCAUGGAAAUACAAAGUUUUAAUUCAAAGAUUAUGUUUUAAAAAUAUUAUUUUUAAAAUAUAUUUAGUAAAGAUUUAUAAAAAUUUAAAAUUAAAAUUAGUUAAUCUAUCAACUAAAUUAAAAUAAGAUUUAUAUAUUAUUUUUAUAGAUUUACAUGUGUAAAAUCUUUAAAAUGCCUCAACUUAAAAUAUCCUUACAAAAUUUCAUUAAUCUACUAGCAAUCUGCAUAUUGUCUCUACAUAGAGUCAAUUUGCAUUAGGAUGAAUACCAUCAUAAUAAUAAUUACGCUCCACAUAUGAUGUAUCUUAACAUCCACUUGGAGGUUAAAAAAUAAUUAAAGUAAGGGAAACUAAUAUAUUUAAAAUUUAAAAAUCAUUAUGAAGAUUUGGACAAUAAUUCAAGUAGGCAUCUUUGAAAUUUGGCUUCCAAAUCCCUUUGUCAAUAUACACCACCCUAUGACAAUUAAAUAAAUUAAAAGAAGGAAAAAAAAUGUUAAAGGAAUGACAAAACAUAGGGAACAAUUAUAUUUAAGGAGUGGAUGGAGUUGAUAAUGACUAAAGGGUACAAAUCUUGCAUAAUUGAACUAAAAAGGUAGAAAAGGUUUGUAGAUUGUUGUGGAAGAUAUAAACCCACUUUGUGAGUCAAAAAUGCUCAAAAUACCCUUAAGGGUGUUUUUUAAAAAAGGACAAUUAAGUACUCAUGAUAAUUAAUAUAUUAAGAUUUCAAGAAAAAUUAAUAAUAAAUAAAAUCUUUUUCUAAAUCUAUUUAACAAUCAUAUAGUUUUUAUUUUAUUUUAUUUUUUCAAGUGGCAACUAUUAUCUUAAUUUAUUUUUCAUUUUAAGGUUCAAUUAUUAUUAUUCUUUAUUUUGAAAUUUAAUUAAAUGAAACUGUAUAAGACAUGUUUAUAUUAAUUAGCUAAAAAGGAUAGAUUUUUUAGCAAUAUGAUUAAAAUAAAUAAAAACAAGGAAUUUGAUUUUCUUUAUAAAAUAGAUUAGGAAAAGUAUAUUUCGAUACAUUCGUAUGAAAAAAAAAUUCAUAAAAUAGGAACUCAAGUUUAUAAAAUACAAAUUUUAAGCAUUCAUCUAAAAAUAAUUAUCAUUUCAUGCAUUUUUUUUGUCAAAUAUAUUAUAUUUGAUAAUUUAGGUAUUAUAUUUUAAUAAUAUAAGUAGUACCUUUGACCCCCAUAAAACUUGAAUUAUUUUAAAUAGUUUCUAUUAUAUAAUUAUUUAACCAUUUGAUAUAAAUAUUAAAUAAUAAAAAAUAUAUCAUUUUUUAAAGAAUUUUAAUUAUAUUUGACUUUCUUUUGUAUUUUCUAUGGUGUAAUUCACAUAUGAGAAAAUCAUUUUCUUUAACAUUUUUUUUUCUUUCCUUAAUAAUUUUCGAGAACCAAACAAGGCUUGUAGGUUUGAAUUAUAGGGUAUAGAUGCCAAAAAUACCAGAAUGAGUUUGGGUUUUCAUGCUAAAUGUCUUUAUUAUUAUUUGGUAGCACUUUUCCAAAAUUGUUCCAUUCCCAAAACCACUUAAUUUGCUUAAAUAUUUUUACCUCACGAUAUCAUAACAUUAUAAUGGAAUAGAUUUUGUUGGUGUUCAAAUCAUGUCAACUCAAUUUCCAAACCAUUCGGAUUGUCAUUUGGUGAAAAAUAGAAAGAAAUUUUACUUUAUUGAAAAGCAUUUCAUUUUGAUUUGAAUAUGCUGCAAUGAAAUAGUUACUAAACCAUGGGGUAGCAGAAGAAGUAAUCGAGAAAAUGAAGAAGGAUGUUCAAGAAUUCUUUAUGCUGCCAUUGGAGAAGUUUUCAAGAUUUCUCCUGAGUAGAAAACUUAAUGGUAAGAGUACAAUAAGUCAUAUGAAAUUGGAGAACUGAAAGAGCAUAAGAACCAUGUUUUAUUAAAAGACCUGUGAAAGUUUAAUCAGUCAUGGAACUACUAAGAGGGGAUGAAUUAACAGUUUUCUUAAAUUUUGUCCAAAGUUAUGAAUUUUUAUUUUUUAUAAUUUUUUUUUACUUAAAUUGAAACUUAUUAAUCAAGGUAAGAUUUCAGCCACAUCGAGAAACAAUUUACGUGAAAAGGGACUGAUAAAAUCUUGAGUUUACAGAUGUAAAAACCAUAAGGCCAAAGACUGUAGAACUCCAACCCACUGAAUCAAGAAUAGAAACACAAAUUUAUCUACCAACCUACACUAAUCUCAUAUCUACAAUGCAACACCAUCGUACUCUUAAGUGACUUGAAAGGAUGUGAAUAUUUCUCACAAACUUCAUAAUGAAAUUCAAAUUAGCUCUGAGAGUUUUGGGUUAGGCACAAAGAGUAAUAAUGCAUAGCUUUUGUGUGUGAGUUUUUAAGUGAACUUAAGACUCAAUUUAAAGCAUGUAUUUUACUAAAAAUAAAAAAAUAAAUUUAAGAAACUUCAAGAAUUUUGGAAAGAUAAAUUUUAAAAAAAAUUCAAAGAGAGUCAGAAAAUGUUUCCUUUUUAAAUUCUCAAUUUAAUUUAUUUUCAAAUUUAUUAAGAGUUUAAGAAAUAUUUUCUUUUUAAAUUAUCAAUUUAAAACUCUCUUUUAAAUUAAUUUUAUUAUUAAUUUUCAUGCAAGUCUACUCUAUACAUUUUACAUCGUUAUUCUCAAUUAACUCAACAAUAUUAGAGUGUAACAUCCCCAAUUGAUUUUGCACCAACCUUAAGUCUUCAAAGACAAUGAUUGAGGCAUUUCUUCUCCUAUUUUCUCCGAUGUAGAAAAAAAACUUGAAUAAGGUUAAAGCUGGUCUAUAGCAAAAAGUCUUAAUUUGAGUUAGCCUCUUUUUUUUUUUCCAAAUGAUAUGCAGGUCCAUCUAGCCUUCAACUCAAAUUUUUUAUUCAAAAAUCACAUGUGGAUAUGUGAACAAGUAAAAGUUGAGUUUUACCUAACAAAUCAUUUUGAAAAUUAGGAAAUUUAAAAGGUAUUAGUUUGUUAAACUCACCACCCCUGUCUAUUCUACAAAACAAGAAGAUUAGCAAAGAAAAAGUAUUCAUAUUUGUACUACAAAAUAAAAAGAUUAGCAAAGAGAGAAAUUGUACCCAUGAGUGCAGAGUUUUGGGUUAAAACAACCCUUUUGAUGGGAAAAAUAUUAAAUUUAACCACUUUGUCAAACUAAUGUGUAAAAUGAUCCUUUUAUUAUCACAUAGGAGUCAUAUCACUAAUAUAUAUAUAUAUAUAUAUAUAUAUAUUUAAUUUAAGUUGAAGCCUCAAUUGCCAAUUAAGGCUUCAAUUAUCAAUUAUGACUUUAUUUUUAACCCGAAACCUUACUUGCCAAUUGAGGUUUCAACUAAAAAAAGAAACCUCAAUCGUCAACUAAGACUUAAUUUUUUAAUUGAAGCCUCAAUUGACAAUUGCGGUUUUAUUUUAAAACUGAAAUCUCAAUUGUCAAUUGAGGCUUUACUUUUGUGGAAGGAUUAUGUGACACUCACGUUACUAGAAAAAAGCCAUACUGAAUAUAAGUUUCAAAAGUGGCUUAAAAGGUAUAAAUUUUAUGAUCAAAGAUGCCAUUUUGACCCAAAAUCCCAUGGGUGCAUGAGACUCUAGUUAAUCAUAGAUUUCAUAGAUAAAAAUCAGAGUUAGGAUGAUUCAACCCCUAAGCGUCAAGAAUUCUUUAACAUAAUGUUAGAACAUUUUCCAAUUUAAAUUCGAGAGUUGACUUUAUUUGAAUGUGCUUUUGAUUUUUUUUUUUAAAUAAGCUUCAGUGUUUUUUUUAAAAAGAAAUAAAAAUAAAUAAAAAUAGGAGCUUCUAUAUAGAAAGUAAAAAUUUUAUCCAACAAAUAUAAGGCUCACCUUAUAUCCUUAUAAAAUAAAAAAUUUUAAAUUUUUUAAUACCUCAAAAUUUUUAAUCAAUAUUUAAAUAUCAUUAUAUUUUCAAUAUGAUUCCUUUAAAAGUUAAAAUUACUUAUAUUUUUUAUUUUCAAAAAAAAAAUAUAUAUAUAUAAGUAAUUUUAUGUUUUUUAAUUAUUAAGAUGGAUGAAAUAAUCCCAAAUUUGCAAAAAUAACUUCUUCUAUGUUUGAAUUUGAAAAAUAACUCAUUUCCAACAUAAAUACUCUUCAAUAUUUGGAUUAUUUUAAUAUAAAUUUUAGAAGAAAGUGUUAUUUUGACAGGAAAACAUGAAAGACAUUUUUGUUAAAAAUUGAUCUUUUUUUAAGGCUAAAAUAUAUAUAGGUUUAUAUUUACAAAUUUGAGACUAUUUCGUCCUCUUAAUCAAAUAACUUAAAAAAGAAAAGAGUUAAUUCCACAAGUGGGUUUAAAAUACUCACAAAAUUGCAAUAUAUAUAUAUAUAUAUAUAUAUAUAUAUAUAUAUAUAUAUAUAUAUAUAUAUAUAUAUAUGAAAUUACAAAUUUACCCUCGUGUGUUGAGCACAUGACACUUCCAUUCAUUAAAGCUAACAUUGUUAAAUAACAAAUGUACAUUGCAACUAUUUAAGAAGUAUGAAGGGCACAUUGCUUGAUUUUAGUACAUGGUGAGAAACUUGUUGAACAAGUUAUGUGUAAAGUUUUAUGGUUCAUGUAUGAUAGAAAAUACAGAUCUACUACAACACUGGAUUUGCAAUUUGGGUUAAUAUUUAAAGAAAAGACCAUAGGACAAAAAGAAUUAAACUUUUGGUGGAAAACAAUAAAGAAAGGACUACAUGGAAAAAGGGAAGAGAUCAUUAUAAAGGAAGAUUAUUGAAUAGAAAUAAUUCCAAGAACCUAAGGCAAGACAUAGAGUAUCACUACUACUAUCACAAAAAGGGGUAUAUCAUAAAAUUUAUGAAAUUUUGAAAAAGACCUAAAAAAUGAAGAAAAAAAAAAACAAAUCAAAGAAGCCUACAAGUGUAACUAGUGUUCUUAAAGUUGCGAAAUGAAGGUAAUAAAUCAAAAGUAGAUUUGUUAAUAGUUUUUAAAAUGCUUGAAUUAGGAAUUGUCUACUUGUACCAUACAAGCCCUUGUAGAGACUGGUUUGACAUGUAAAUUGUUUGUAAAAUCAUUUUAAUGGGCAAUAAUGCACCAAGUUGCUCCACGAGAAGGGGAGGGGUUUGUGAAACCAUCACUUGUCAUGACAUACAUCGUCGGGUAAUCACGGAUGAGGGCAUCCACGGGAGGCCAAUGUCUACCCUCGCUCCACACCCCUCUAGUACAAGGCUCUAGGAGGGAGAGAGGCAACAAGUGUGUGACACCAAGGUAAAUAUGCUUGACCUUAUGGCUUUGGGAGCAACUUGCAUUGAAAGACUUGAUGAUUCACAAGAUUCUACAAUUCAUACAAAGUAUUGCAUUUUGCGACGUUCUUCAUCAAUAAGAGAGCCUAGAUAUCCAUUGUCAAGAAUUCUUUAUGUAUGAAAACAAAGGCGCCUAACCGACAUGCCCAAGAUCAAGGCAACUGGAGCGUGUUGCUUCGCCCAAGUUACUUAGCGCGUUUUGUGCCAAAGUUUGUUGUUCGCUCAAGAGGGCUUUUGUGAAUCUUUGUAAUAAAGGGAUAAUACAGAGUGGGCCGUAAUUUAGCAUCUUACACGCUUAGUUUCUUCCAUUGGUGGCAUAUAUUAUUUUGUCUGUCAUUGGUGAUUAUUUAAUAAAACUAUGAGAGUAUUUCAUGAAAUAUAAAUAAGAGGUUUUUAGGAUAUUUAAUCGAUGGUAAACAAAAGUUGAAAACUAAGUAGGGAGGAAGAUAAAAUAUUUUAGAUUUGAUAGUGGACUUGAGCAUUAGAACAAGAAGUUCACAAAGUAUUGCGAGAAUUCUUAUAUUACUUAACAUCACAUGUAAAGAAAUUACAAAGCAAAAUGGAGUGGUUGAAAAGAUGAAUAGAACACCAUUGGAAUGACUAGGUGGCUAAGAUUAACCAUUGGGUUACUUAAGAAUUUAAGGGCUAAAGCUAUCAACAUAACUUAUCAUGUAAUUACUUAGUUGUCAAGUUUUACAAUUAUUUUCAAUAUUCCAAAAGAAGUGUCAAGUAAAUCAAUUGACUUUUCAUCUAUUGAAAUAUUUGAUUGUUGCACUUAUAUUCAUAUAUAGGUGAAAAAAAAAUUCAAUCCAAAAUAAAAAAGGUAUAUAUUCCUUGGGUUUGAAAAAAGGAUUGAUUAAAGACUAUAGACUUUGGGAUCCAACAAUUAAAGAAAAAAAAGUGGUGAGCAGAGAUGAAUUCAAUGAAAAACAUAUGUUAAAGAAAGAUCAAGGACAAAUGAAAUUGGUAUUGAAAAAAAAUUCAACUACAUGACCAAUCAUCGAGAUGAAAUUUGAGAAAAAUGUCAUUAAAUAUGAAAUCCCUCCUAAUUGAUGUCCCUAUUAGAACUUUAUAUGGGCAUCUUUCUCUAUUGCUCUAAAGAAUCAUCGAAUUGGGUAAGGACAUCAAUUUUAAGAUUUUAAUUUUUUUUCAUUAUUUAUUGGAAUAGGAGAUCUUUAAAUUUUUUUGGGGCUCAAUUAGGAAGGAUGAUAGUUAUCAAUGUGUUGGUGCUAUGUCAAAUGAGAAUCCAAUGCACAUGUUGACUAAAGUUGUUCUUAAGGAUAAGUUCAAGCAUUGGUUGAAUGUCAUUAAUUUUUCAUUUUGUAGAACAUGGAAGGUCAAUUUUAUCGAAGAGCCAGGUCAAUCAACUUCUAUUAGGACUUCCAUUGAUUCUUGAUUUGACUAGAGGGACUCCUAGCAGUAAAUUUGUAUGAAGGGGCCCUACGGAGAUGCAAGAGCUGCCAAUCGGAUCGACCAAUAAAUGAUAGGCCCAUGCAGAGAUGUCCCUGAAAUAGGGGAUUGGUUGAUUGGAAAGCUUAGGCAGAGUAUAAAGGAGAACAAUUUAGCAUUUUGGGAAAAGCACAUAUGAAGAUGUUUACAAGUUUGGAAAUUUGAGUUAAAGAAGAGAUGGUCUAAAAAUGUUUCAAAUUUCAAUUUUAUGUUUUUCUAAGUUUGAUAUAUCCUAUUUGGAUAUUUGGGAAGUCUUCUCUUGUUACAUAAGGUAGUCCUAUGAUGAGAUUUGUUAUGAAAAUAGGUUCUUCCUCGUGUGAAAUAUUCCUAUGAAAUUAAGAAGGAAUAUAGGAAGAGUUUUUAUUGAAAUUAUGAAUCUUUUUUUUAUGUAAUUAGAACUAAAAUAUGAGAGUUUUAGAAUUGUAAUUACACCUUUGAAUAUAAAUAAUUGAUAAUAGUGAAUUAAUUUACCUUCUCCCUCUAGAUGUAGGUAAAUGCUAAAUUAUGUUAAAUCUUGUAUUCUCAUAUGAUUUUUUUUUUCAUUUAUUUUUCAUUUUCUUGCCCAUUUCUAACUUGCUACUACAUAAUAACAGGUGGUAUCAGGCUUUUUGUGUUUGCACAACAAAUGGUCUCAGUUUUUCCAGCACCACAAAAAUGAUAUUUUACUUAAUUGCUCCUCAGUGGAAAAGUUGGAAAGAAAAAUUAAAUCAUCGACUACACCUUUUUUUUUUUUUCCAAAACUUUUCUUGUCUUUGUGCAAGAAAAUUAGUAUAUUUUCUCUUUAGUAUUUGUUUCUCAUUUAUAUAUAUAUAUAUAUAUAUAUUCAAAUGGAACCUUAAUCAUCUUUUAUAUGAAGUAUAAAAGAAUUAGAAAAUAUUCAAAUUUUAAAUGAUUUUUAUUAUACUUUGUCCACUUCCUAUUUCAUAUAUCAAAUUACAAUAGAAUUUAAAAUUCUUUUAUAAGUUUUUUCUCCCUUUGCUACCACAUAAACGCAAAGACAGUAUGUGAGUUAAAUACCUUAAAAGAAAAAGAAAUUAAAAUGUGAUACAAAACAAAAGUAACCUCUUUAAAUUCAAGGAAACAAAACACUAAACUUUUUCAUGUAUUUUAUUCCAUUUAUAAAUGCAACAUGACAAAAAUAGACAAAAAUAUAAAUGGAAACCCUUUGGGUCCUUUAUUUUAUAUUUUAUCAACUUCAACCAAUUCUAUUUCUAUAGCACAACCGAUAUUAUAAAGUUCAAUGAGUAUAUAAUAUAUAAAGAUACUAAUCAAUACGAAUUAUUCUUUCUUUCAAAUGGCUACUUGUAUUAAAAAUUAAAUGUAAUUCCUCCUAAACAAUAAAAUAUGUUGACACGAUUUCAAUGAAUAUACAGUACAUAAAGAUAUGACCAAUUAGUACGAAUUAUUCUUUCUUUUAAAUAGCUACUUAUACUAAAAUAUAAGUAAACAUAAUUCCUCCUAGAUAAUAAAAUAUGUUGACACAAGGAGGAAUAUAUUUACUAAUUAUAUCAUUUGCAAUAGCCUCAAUCUCGUGACGUUCUUCGAACCAACCAUAGACUUUAUUGAGAUAGGUUAACCAAGGGAGCUUCCACUCUCAUAACUCGUAUAUGAAAAUUUCAUCUUGUACAACUCAAAUAGAAACCCAUAAAUACCAGUUGAAACCAAAAUGUAAUAAAUAAAUAAAAACAUAUUUCAAUGGAUCCAAUUAGUAUUUUUCUGAUCUCGGAUAAACAAACAAAUUUUUCUUCAUUUUGUUUUUUUUUCCAUUAAUCUUUGUAAGUAAAUUAUAUUUUAAUUUAACAAAGCACUAAACUUUACUUUAAUUUUCAUGCAGGAUCAACUAGCUUAUCAUAAUAAAAUUUAUCAAUAUAGCUGAGCAGAGAUUUGAUGUAAUAAUACCAUACAAAAUUCAAGUAAAAUUAAAUUAAUCAAAUAGGACACUACGGUCAUAUUUGGAUACAUAUUCUAUUUUUUAUUUUUAAAAUUAAAAUUUUGAUAUAAAAUAUGACAACCCUUUGUAUAAAAAAUAAAAAUUUAUCCUAUAAUCUUAAAACUACUUUUCAAUAUUAAAAAAAAAUGAGGACGUGUCCUAAAAUUUUAAACAAAUUUAAAAAUAUUUUUAAAUACCAAGAUAUCCACUUUUUUCUUUUUUAAUAAAAAUUCCUAUAUUUGAUAUAAAACUCUAUUUUAAAAAAUGAAAAAUAAAAAAUGUAUCCAAACAUAAGCAAAAUUGUUAGAUUUCAUUGUGAGAUUUCUUAGAUUCUACAAUUCAUAGUGAAAUGAAGACGAGAGAUAACUGACUGAAUUAUGAAAAAAAAAAUUAACAUUGAUGAGAUUCAAAAAUGCUAGUUAAUGAAAGAGUUUCUCCGCCAGGAUGACUAAGAAAAAUGCUGAAAAAUGUGUCAUGCCCAAAGCAAUGUUACAAUGAAGAAUAGAAUGAGAGCUAACCCGAAACAAAAUCCGACAAUCGCCAUGAAAGCCUGGAUGCAGAGGAAAUGUAACUAGAGACAUGUAAGGAAUCAUUAAGCAAGUGAGAACAAUAUCAAAAUCUCAUGUACGACUUACUUACCUUUCCCUGAGAUUCAAACUUGAAUUUUACUGUAAACCAUGACAAUCCUCUAUCUACAAUAGGUGCAAGUGCAAGGGCCCUGCAUGAGAAGCACCUCUACAAAAAUCACAGAAAACCCAAAGGAAAAAAAAAAAAAAAGAGUAAAUAAAUAGAAACUAGUCUAUCAGAAACCAGGAGGCUGCAACAAAUAAUCUCCAAAUGUCAGAUUUAAUAUUUAUUUACAAAUGCCACUAAAAGGCCUUUUCAUCAGAGAAAUCUAGAAUAAAAAAGGAUAAGGAGCCAUUUGGAUUACAGAGGUCAAAGAUUGGGUUGGAUGGGAGCAAGUUUAACCUCCUCAGUGAAAAUGAAAAUGCAAGGCCCAUCAUCAACGCUAGGUUCAAAAAUUGACACCAUUUCUUGAAGACUUUCUUUUUUCAUUCUUCAAUUGUCAUUUUGAUUCAAAGAAGCAGCAGCAUGAUAGACUAAACAAUCAUCAUAAACCCAGUUGCAAGUUAUAAGGAUAAGAAAGAAAAUGAACAGAAAACAUAUAUGAGAGAACUGAUAGGCCAAAAAAAUCAUUGUUGAAGGAAUCGAGCAUAAAUCUCUGAACAAAAUUUAGCUGAAAUUCACUGAUUUUGGGUUAUUUUGUGAUAAGAGCAUUGCAAUAUCCCAAUAAACUGUUACGCUAACUAAAGAUUUAAAACAGAAUUUAGCUGCUUACCCUCCAGCUCUGACAAGUUUAGUGACCUGGCUGCCUGCCCACACCAUAGCCAUGAUUUUGACAAAUCUGCCAAUUGGAUUCCAUGUCAAGAUAUUUUGAAAAACUUGUGCAAAAAGAAACUUUUUGGAAUAAGUUUUUACCUUUCAACUGCCGCCAAAUAACCCAUCCUUCCUGGUGCUGGAGCAAUAUAAAACCUAGAAGCAGCAUAGUGAAUUCAGAGUUAUACUGGUUAUUUGAAAUCUACUCUGAACACCUAUGAUAGAGACUGCAGGAUGUGGUAAAACACUAAGGCAUAUUUCAAACUACAUUAUAAGGUAUUUGAUUAGAAAAUUAAAUAAAUAAAUAAAUAAAUAAAAUAACAUAACAUAAAAUACAAAAAAGAAAAAAAAAAUUAACAAACUGAAUUUGUCCAUAUGCAACAAUAUGCAAUUGUUAGCCAUGAAUCCCAGUUAUGUCGGUUUCCAGUAUUAAUAAUUAAGCAUGAUGUUUAUGAACUAGACCAGCAUUCUAAUAACUCUAGAUUGAAGGGCAUGGAUGUCACAUUUGUAUUCCAUCAUGUGCAACUAACAUCACAUUGAAAUAAUAUCCACUAAAGCAAGUUAAGACCCAGUAUAUCAGAUUAAAUUUUUUCUACCAUGAACAUAAGCUUGAUAAAAAUGAAGAUGGAAAUGCAAUACUUCUUUAUAUGACAUAAUGAAGGGAACCAAAUACAAGGACUCCCCAUUCCAGAUGCAGAAAGCCAAGUUACAACCUUUGCCAAAUAAAGAGAUCCACCAUAAGUUCAUUUUUAGACAUGCUAUAGUUGAAUAUGCCAUCAGUAAGUGAUCAAAAGCCAAUUCAGAUGGGAAUAACAGCCACAAUGUUGGGAAGGUCAAUAACAAAAGCAUUGACUUGAAUGUUGGCAGUGUCAUUUACACUGGCCAUAAGAACCAGAGGUAAUGCAUACAGUUGGUAAGGUGGGGAGGAGGAGAUGAGAAAUUGAAAAGUCUUGAAUUUAUUUGUUUCAUGCAAUUCCGUUUUCCAAUACUCUAUACGAUAAUAUACAUUGUACAGCACAAGAAUAGGGUUGUUUUAAAAUUUUGAACAAAUAAAAAUUUCAUAUCAAUAUCUAAUAUUUAAUAAAAAAGAAUGAAACAAGAGUAAGUACAUUCUCUUCUCCUUAACAUGGUAUUAAAGCAGUCUCCAAACUCUUAACUCCUAGUUGCAUACUUGAUUUGCACUGGAAGUUGCAGUUUGCUCAUUUUGUUAUUCAAGUAAGUUACUUCAAUCUAUCAUAGUUUAAAUGACUUGGGACGGUAGUUGUCAUGGGCACGAAUUUUCCCACAAAUUUUUCGCAUUCACACAGCGCUUAGAAGCCCUCUAAGCCAACAUACUCAAACCCACAUGAGAUUGCAAUCAAGAAAAACCUCACAAAGACACACAAGGCUAUGGAGCUCAAUCCCUAACUUGUAUUUUAUUUCUUCUCUAAAUAACAAUACCAGACAUAGCUUAACAAGACUUCCACAAUCUCUUUGGUGAGUUCAUGCUCUCUCUCAAGCUAUGUAUAUUCUCUAUGAUCUCCAGAUUGCACGAUAAUUCAAAGGGCACUCCAGUCCUCCUUUUAUAGGUGUGACACCAACCACUCCCUAUUUGAUAAGGAGCAACGAAUCCUAGUUCUACUCAAACUACAAUUAAAAUAAGAAUCUAAACUCCUAUUCAAACUCAAAUUACAAUAACAAUUUGAAUUCAACUCUGAACUUUCAAAUGUCUUCGGCCCAUUCCUCUUUCAUUUGAAACUCCUUGUAUCAGGCCACAUAUCAGCCCUUCAAUUCCCUGGUUUGUGGUGCAAUAUAUCUUCCUUAAGCUUGUCCCAAUGCCAAGACAUCUUUGUUGUGUUCUGCCUGAAGUCUACCCACUCUUGUGCCUUGAGUCAGUCCAUUCAUGCAUUUGAAUCAGCUGAUGCAUCCGAUCAGCUUGCUAUAGCGUCUCUAGGCAGCCUACUACAUGUGUCUCUAUGCAACUAGUGUGCAUGCCAAGCCCUCUCUUAGCCUACAGAUCUAGCAAUUUUCCUUGGUGCCAAUCUUUCCUUUGGCUGUAGCCCCUUGUUGUUCCUUGAGCGUGUCAGUCAUGCUCAUAUGUGUUCCCGCAUCUGGAUCACGUCCAUGCUGAGGCAACCUGCCCAAGUUUGCUCUGCCUAGCUGUUGUUAUGGCAUCAUGCCAUGCCCAAGCCCUCUUCUUGGUGCAGCAACGAGUCAUGGCAUUGCACCCAUGACUCCUCAUCUCUAUGCACAAGGCAUUGUGCCCUUGUGCCACGCCACCUCAUUGCACAAGGCAUUUCCCCCUCAUGCUACCGUUGGGAAGGGAAGACUGCAUAGCACCCCAUGUCGUUGCAACCUUGAGUUGCACACCAUCACAUGUCAUGGAGCCCAUAUAUGGUUGCUAGCAAGGCUUGCCCAUGUGCCUUGCUCAUGUUUGAGGACUUGCACCAAAGCCCCUAAGUGUGGCCAUGCCCAUGCCACCUCGUCUCCCUUGAGUCACCCCCACCCUCACCCCCCUUAAAAGAGCAUUUUAAGCCCUUUUAAUUAAUUCAAGAAAAUCUAGAAAAUUUUGCUUCCACUUGGAGUCUCCCUUUUGAAGGUUCCUAUAAAUCUUUUAUCUCUAAGCGAAUUAACCAAGUCACUUAAUUGUUUUGCAACAUUCCUUCCCUUCCCAUAGUGUAUUUCAAGAUCUCUUAAUGAACAAGACAAUUGGUGGAGGGCAUGAAGUAAGUGGAAUUUAUCACCAUAUUGGCCCACCUUUUACUCCAAUUGCUCUACGUACUUCCAUUUCUUCUAUGUAGUGGCACACCUUUCACUACGCAUCUUUAGCAUAUGGGACUUCUAGUUAUAUUGGACUCCAAGUUAAAGCACCAAGUUUGUGAGUCAAGCAAAUAGCAUCACCAUAGUGUUGUUCUAGUCCUUUUUGUUCUAUAAUCAAUAAGAGGAGUACUAGUCCUUUUCAUCUUGUUCAUUUAGACAUUUACAGUUUAUGUAGUGUUGUUCCUAAUGUUGAACUAAACUUUUUUAUUGCUAUUUUAUUAAUUAGAUCAAUGAAAAUGGUAUGAGCAUAAAGAGGCUGAAUAAUAGGUACUAAUCUCUUAAAAAAAACUAUCUUGUAGAAACAUCAUCAGGUGACUAUGCACAAGUAAAUGGUCUGACAAGGCGUGAGAAAAACAUUCAUUUUUGUGCAACAACCAAGUAUUUGCAUCUUAAUCAACCAAAGAAUAAAUGGCUGAAGACAAUAAAUGACUGAACAAAAAGAAAAUCAUAAGUUUUAGGCCAGACACUUUUUUCAUCAAUUAUAUACAACAACAAUAAAUCAAAUAGUCCUAAAUUUCAAAAGAAUAAUGCUCAGCAGCUAUGCAUACUCACAAGUCACAAAUACCUCAUCCUUGACUAAUUUACAUGAAUGAAUUAUUUACUUACCAUACCAAGAGAAACGUUGUAAGAUAGUAUGCAGUAUUCAGGAGUCCAUAGGAUAAUAUUCCAGAAAUUCCAUAUCUCUUCAGUUUCUUUAGAAGACUGAAAGGUUAAGCAAGAAUGAGCUCUCAAUGUAAGUAGACAUGCAUUUCAGCAUACAAAGGGCAAAAGGAUUGAGGUAUCACUUCUUACAGAUUGUUUGCAUGAAAUUCAGUAGUAGAAGAGAAAUUAAAAUGAUUGGGACAAGAUCACUCAUCCAAACAAUAGUUUAUUUACAGAGAAAAGGUCUAAAGCAUAAUCAUGCAGUAGACAAAAUGAAUCUUUUGUGUCAUGUUCCAAUAAUGUUAACAAACUACAUUAAAUUCAUAAGGUUACAUAGAAAAAGAAAGAAAAGACAUUGUUGCAAUAGUUUGGUUGUUACACUGCUAGCACCCAGACUACGACCAAAUCCUUGCAUUGAAAUUGAAUUUCAAACUCCCAAUGUGAAAAAGGAAGAUACAAAAAAGAAAAGAAAAACAGGAGGAAAAAAAAAAAAACAGAGGGAAAGAAAAGAAACAUGGGAUUUCCAUGUAUAAUACAUACAUAUUAUAUCUAUAGAUAAAUGCAUGUAUGUGCAUAUGUCAUAGAGGCUGGUCAGACACAUUUCAAGAAGUUUCACAACUUGCUUUGGAAUGACAAACACGUGGAUCAAUAAAUGGCUUGUCUCCAUUAUUGAGAAAUUGCAGGUAAAUUUCAUCCACUACAGGCAUGGGGUGGCUGGACAAAGUUAUGCCAUUUGGUGGGAUGUAGUGGACUUAAGACAGAAAAUUCUCAAUCAUUCUUCUGUCCCUUGUGCAGUGUUGAAGCUGACAAUAUUAUUGAGCAUACAAGGAAUGUGAUGUAAAACAUCAUUGAGGACCAUGAGCUGCGAAGGCAGGGAGAAAUUAAGUUAUGAUUAAGUUUUGGUGAGGGAUUUUCAGAUGCAGAUCAUAUGGCAAAUUAACUUCAGAGAAUUGCAUGUUUUUAUUCAUUUCCAUACACAUUGAAUAAUCAUAUUUAAAAUCCCUCAUUCACUUGUUUCGCUUCCAUUAGUGCUCCUUCCACAUGCCUAUUAGCAGCAUAGACCUCAUGAUAGUUUGGUAAAGGUAAGACAAUAAAAUUGAAAAAUACAGCUAAAGCCUAAAAUAUUGGCUCAUAAAGAGAGAAACCAUCCAAGUUCUAUCUUAAAUGACUCUACAAGUUCUAAACAGGGAGACAAGGACUUCAACCUGGUCCAUCAAUGCAUAUAAAUGGGUAAUCAUUCCAACAACCAUUACGUUAGAAGUACACUAAAAGAAAAUUAUUAAACAAUGUUGUUUCCAAAAAUUCCAUGUUAAAGAAUAGAAGAACAUACUGCUAUAAAUGAAAUUCAUUCAAAACAGUUCAAACAGUAAAGUUAAGAAUUGUGACUGCAUAUUUUUUUUUAAAAGAAACAAGAAUUGUGACUGCAUAUCACCACACUUGUUUUAUUUAUAAUCCACACAAUGUAUUCUUCCCUAGCAUGUUAUCCCAUUAAGUAACCUCCAGAUAAAAUUCCCUUUCUGACUCUGUCAAUCAGCCAAAAAAUUUGAUGUAAAAUGUAAAAUACAUGGGUACACAAAAACAACUAUAUAAACUGCCAUCCCAUCAUUAAUAAAUCAUUUGUCUAUAACAUAGACUAAUAGCACUGUAAGGCAAGUAGGAAGUACUCUUUUGAUGUGUGCAGUUCUCCUUCACCAUUUUCGCCCUUUGCACUGGAGUCUAUAAAAAUAUGUAUAAGUAGAUUUUUAGAAAUAUCAAGUUUAUCAAAUGUAAAAUAUGGUAUCACAGAAAGCUACACCAUUUUUCUAGUUAUCAUUUGAAAGAUAUUGAUACCUUCAUGGUUGGCAGAGUAGUCAUGACCAUUUGACAUGCCAGAAGCCUAACCUACAACAAAGGCAAUGUUGAAAAAGCAAUAUUCAAAAUUCAAUGAAAAAAACAGAAGACAAACAAAUGAACAAAUAGCAAAUCAUCACACUCAAUUGUUUUCCAAAAAUGAAAAACCAAAUGAAAGGAACAAGGAAUAUAUUGAGAAAAAAACCUAUGAUCAAUGGAUAUGCAGUUGCAUUCUAGCACAUAUAUAGGAUCAAACAAGUAACUAAUCUAGACAUAGCUGCAGCAAAUUUGUGUAUCUCUGAAUGCGUGUCUGCUUUUUGUGGGGGGAUAUUUAUUAUGACAUGUUCUUAGUGCAGACAAACCAUCUGCAUUUACUUGAGGAUUAGGUAAACAUACUUUCCAUUUAAAAUGAGGCCUUGAACAUCAAGCCCCGGUGAGUUUUCAAAUAAGGAAAACAUAAUAGCUUUACAAUGAGUCCCAUAGCAAGAAGGCAUGCAAUUCCAUUCAUCAGCAUACCAGAAUAUAGAAUAGUGUGGACAUGUGGACACAUGCCAGAAUUAGCAUUGGACACACUAACAUGCCAGUCAUACAUAGAAAGACUUUCCAAAGAUAUUAAAGUAAAACACUGGUAGUAAGCAAAUUAGACCCAGAAAAACAUGCAAGUAUAGGCCAAGAUCAAAUCUUAAUUUUAAUUUCCAGAAAAAAAAUAAAAAAUUAUAUCAACCAAUAGAAAUGGUAUCAUCAGCAAUUAACACCAAAACACACCAACAUAUCGGAAUGCAUAUCACGUGUACCAAUCUCCAAUCAGCAUUACACCUGUACAAGUUAGCCUGUAGCAGGUCAUAAUAGGUUCAGACUAUAAAACCUUCCAAAUCUUCCUUUGCAGGGCUUAGAAACUAUUUUCUAAGUAAUUUGCAAUUUUAAAAGCCUGUGACAAAAUUUUGGAUGAAGAGCUUAAACUAUAUACUCACAAACCCACUCCAAAAUUUCCUUAAGGUAAUACACAUUUUUUGAAGUCCUUUCCAAUGUCUUCUCUUAUUUGAGUUAGAAAAGCCAAUGUUUUUAUGAAUUGACUACUACGGCUGUUGAGGUUUGAGGUGUAUAACUAAUUUCUUAAUAUAUCAUAAUUUACAUCAGUCAUUAGAAAUUAAGGUUCCAUCCUUUUACACUAAGAAAAUCCUGAGAGCAAUUAAAAAAUACCUUCUUUAAUAUUAUUAAAUUUAAGUUUCCUUUAGGUCUUUGAGUCUAAUAGAAAUUAGUAUAAAAGGAAUUUUAAUUUUCUUACACUAAGAAAAUAAAAAUAAUAGGCAAAAUAAUUUUCAAAUUUUGGAACUUUAUAGGUAAUGCUUAUUAAAAUAAAGCAACAAAGUUUGUCAUUUGCCAAUGAAUGAACCAAUUGUGGAAAACUAUGCAAAAAAUUUUAUUAGCAUGGAAUUUUUUUUUUCUGCCAAUAUAUAGAAUUCAAUUUCAAACCUGCCCCUCCCAACCCACCACUUGCUACUUGAGGCAAGCUUAGAGGCAGAAAACUAUUUACAAUUCUACGUAUGGAUAAAAAUUAUUUCUUAGAUUUUAUGCCAAUUCCAUAUUUAUAGGUAUCAAUUUAUUAUUCUACUGUUGUCAGAAGCUUCAAUUUUGGGCGUCCUCAUGGCUAUGCCACCCUUAAAUGAGAACAACUUUGGUCUUCUGUUUUUCUUUUUGAGCUCUUCAAAUUUUUGCAAGUUACUUCUAUCCAGGUUCUAGGAAACACCCAUUUUUUUAAAUCUCCAAUAAUUUAGGGUUCUGUGGCUGAGGGAAUAGACUUAUUUUUGGUUGAAGCACAUAAAAUUCUUGGCUAUUUUUUUAUUUUUUAUUUUGCCAUCAGGUCCUUUUAGGUUGAUUUUUCUACUUAUUUUUCACCCACCAAUUAACAUUGCCCUAACUCUGUUAUCUAUCCGAACAAAUGUUUAUGAACUAGCAAAUCAUACUAAAAUUUCUUACUAGUUGACAUGUGCAUCAUCUCAGCAUGUCAUUCCAACACCAAACUACAACCAUAAUCUCACUAACAUCCUAACUGCCUCAAUGAGUAUGGAUUACAGAAAUGCAAUUAAAAUAUACUUCCCUAUUUAAUUUCAUAAUUUUUAUAAUAAUAUUUCAGCAAUAUUUCCACAUAGUAGCUUAUGUGAGAAAUCCCCAUUUCCGUAUAAAAUCGAAAAACCCUAUAGCUUGCGCAUGUAAAUAGAAAAAAAAAAAAAAAAGACAGAUUUUGCAGAAUUGGGAGAGCAGACUCACACCAGCAUGGCCAUUGAUUGAGCAGAAACGCAGAUGACGAUGAUGGUGGUGGAAUUGGGAGAAAUUGUUGAGUUUGUGGAAUGUGGGAACCCUAGGAAUGCUGGGAUUGAAACCCUGGAUUGAAACAAGAGGAUUGUGAGAGAGAAUUGGAAAUUGAAGAAUCAAACACAAAAAAUAAAUCCAAGAAAUAAAAAAGAAGCGUAAAAAUGAAAUAGAGAAGAGUGUGUAUGACGCACCUGAUGAUGUGAAAGCAGCUUCAGCUGGUGAAGGCAAACUUUCGACGGGAGAGACAUGAGCAUACCGGCCUCCGACAACAAUCCCUCCAAAAUAUUCUUUCUAUACCAUUUAUUAUUAUUAUUAUUAUUAUUAUUAUUAUUUUCAGGUUAUUUGAAGUGCAAUGUCUAGCUAUACCAUUUAUUAUUAUUAUUAUUAUUUUAUUGCUAUUAUUAUUUUCAGGUUAUUGAAGUGUAAUGUCCACCAUACCUUAUAUGCCAUCCAUGAUGAAGGCCUUAGAACUCUCCAUGGAGCCUAAAUCUCGGGAUGCUAAUCACCCUAUAAUAACCAGCAUAGAGUAUAUUCAAAGUAUCAUUAAUGACAAAUUUCGAACUUAGGACCAUAUGUCAUUUACUGAGACCACACUUCUUAAUGUUCAUCCUUAGCGACACACUCAUAUGUACCAAAUCAUCCGAUAACCUGUUUUUCCUAUUUUCUCAUUUUUACAAAAAAAAAGAAAAAAUAAGAAUAACUUCUAUUUUUAAAAUUUUAAUUUUUUUUAUAAGUAAAUUUUUGUUCUCAUUAGGACCUGUGGAACCUCCCACAAGUCCUCCCGAAUCAUUUACCACUUGAGUCAUGCCUUAAUGGCUUGUUUUUUUAAAAAAUAAUAACAACUUUUAUAUAAAAAAAAAUACUUAUAAAAAAUAUAUACAUGUCAUUAAAAGUUUAAAGAAAUUUAAAUUUGAUAAUAAUUUUUUAAAUAAUUUAAUGUGUUAAUUGUUCUUAAAAACCGUAAAUAACCUAAAAAAGAACAGUAUGUUUGUAAAUUGACCAAAUUGUUAUAUGGUUUUAAAUAGUCACCUUAACAAUGUUACAAGUGAGUUGAUUAAUUUAUGGUAGAGAAGAAUUACAAUAGAAUUCAAUUAGUUAUCGCAUUUGAAGUCUUUGAUUAUUUGUUGAAUAAUAUUUGCAGCCAAUUAGCUAGGGUUGGCUAACCCAAGCCAAACCUAGUUACCAAUAUGUCCAACCUAUGCUAAACUCGAUUCAAAGUAAGGUUGGUAGUUACUAAACUCAUUAACAACUAAAGUUUCUAUGGAUUCCCACGAGUUUUCAUGGAUUAUCAAAUAAACCACAUAUAAUGGAAUCUCCUAAUAUAUAAAAGACAUAUUUCAAAUUAUAAAUUAAACCAUAUUAUAAAAUAAAAUUUUAAAAGCUAAGUAUAUAUCAAAGUCAUAAAUUAUAUUACUAUUCACUAAUUUUAAUGGUAACAUGAAACACAAGUGUGAAUAUUUAAAAAUAUUUUAGUAAUUAAACAAAAAUGAUAGACUUAUAGUGUAAUGUAAUAAAACUAGCAAAAGUUAUAGUUAUUUCAUUAUCCCUUUUAUAAAUUUCAUAUUUUAAAUAAACUAAUAAAUAAUAUAAUAGUAAUGAAUUUGCUUAGUCUUCAUCAUGUAGAACCAAUUUGAAGAAUUUUUUUUUAACAGGACUGAUUAAUGACUUAAUUAAGGGUAGGUUACAGCUAAAAUAUUUAGUAGGACUGAUUAGUGACUUAAUUAAGGGUAAACUACAGCUAAAAUUUUCCUAGUAGUCUUCCACUAUGGCAAAUUGUGGGAACUAGUAGUGGCCUGUCCAACCUAUAGAGGAAACAAAUAGGUGAGUGAGUUAUUGAAUAUGUGGCUGAGAGUGACCAACCAUUGAGGCUCACAUGAAGUUGUAGUGGCUGAAAGGAAGGGAUAAGAGACCAAAAACAUGCUCAGAGAGAUUCUUGUUAGGAUCAAAUUGGGGGCAUAGAUAUAUCUCUUUGGUAAGAGUUCCCAUAAUUUAGGUAUUAAUGAAAUAGGUAUAAAAUAAUUAUAUAUCUUGAUAUGAUCAUGUUGUUAAUGAUGAUCUAAUGAGUUGAAAUAUUAUGUUUUCAACUGUGUAUAUCUAAUAAAUACAUCAAGUGCUUAAACUUUAAUAUAGAAAUGGUCCACAAUGGCUUGUAUGACUCAUCGUCUUAUAAACAUAUUAUUUAGAUUAGGCUAAAGUGGUCAAAGUAAGAAGAAAAAUUGAUACUUGAUUUGAAGUAUGAAGAAUUCUUCUUAGACUUUGUGUGUAGUGUUGUUAGCUUAUUGUUGUGUUAAAGUCUAUUUUGAUGUAUUUUGGAAAGAAUGACCAACUAGAACCACAAUAAGAUGUUGCAAAACUUAUUUAAACAAGGGCUUGUGAGCAAGAUUUUUUUUUUUCCCUUUCAUGUACAAAUAGUAUGAUGAAUGAAAAUUUGAUUCUCGAUUGUAAUUAGUGUUUUCUUUAAGUUUUAAAUCAUGCAAUGAAUACUUAAAAUUAGCUUACGAUGUCAAAGAAUGUAAGUAAACAAGGUUUUACAUGUUGGAUAUAUAAUAAAUUCAAAACCUUUACCUUCCACAUUGAAUGAUUACAUUUUUUCUUUAAGUGCCCUUUAAUCAUUCUCAUUUUGUUUAAUCAUUUUCUAUAAUGUCUCGAGCAUAGUAGAUUUCUAUAAAUUUACAUGAGCAUUCCUUAACUCUUCUUGAGUGAUCCUAAACUUAGCAUUGAAACAAUCAUAAUUUAGGCGAAGAUGCUUAUACGUCUUCAUAAUCAUCCUUGGUUGCUAGCCAUUUUUCCUUAAUUACUUUAGGAUGUUUAGUGAAGAUGAUUACAAAUAUUAACUAGUUCACUCAAACAUUUUUGUAUGAGUGUAGAACAAUUUUGCAUUCUUUCCACAUCACUUAUGCAUCUUCGUUCCAAGAAAUAAGAUAUAGAACUCUUAUGUUUUGCCUACACCACUUGGUUCUCCAACCCAUUGUGCUUAUGCAUCCUUUUUAUAUCACAUAUGCGACUUGCUUCUCAUUAAGAUAUUUCACUUACAUGUUCUUGUAUAUGCAUAAUUUAGGAAAAAAUAUUUAAAAAUAGAAAAAUAGAUUUUAAUACAUAUAUUUGGAACAAUUAAACUCAAACUAUGCAAGUGACCUUGUCUACUAUGUAGGUGACUUUGUUUACUACAUAGGCAAAGUAUAUGACAGUGAUAGUCAAGGAAGCUAUGUGGUUGCAUGGUUUAGUGGAGAAUUUAAGAGUAAAGCAAGAUCACAUUGUGAUUUAUUAUGAUAAUGGGAGUGCCCUAAAUUUAUUUAAGAAUAAAAUUCAUCACUCAUUGGUAAGGCAUAUUGAUGUCUAAUUUCAUUUUAUUUAAGAGAUUCUAGAAGAAAGUCAUACCUUAUUUUAGAAAAUUACUGAUGUUAAUGAGGUAGGUCAUAUUUAAAUGUGAUCCAUGUUGAAAGGAUCAAUGUACCUUUAGGUGUGUAGUAGCAAAAUCUUUAAAGAUUGUUUGGUUAGCUUCAUUUAAAUUACUUAGUUAAAUAUUACAUAGUCAAUUAUAUGUUUGACUUUUUGAACUAGAACAUUUAGAUUUUGGUUGUUGUAGUUGUUAUAAUUACUAUUUAGGUUUUUAAAAAGGUAUAAAUUUAUAAUUUUAGUUGGUUUUAUUAGUUUCAUUUAAAAUUCCCAAGAAACUUCAGUGAAGGAAAACAGAGCAAGAGAGUUUUUGAGAAUUGCUUAUAAUUCUUGUAUAUUAUUUUGAUAUCUUUAGUGCAUUCAUCUUAUCAUUACCAUAGAUGAAGGCAUAUUGUCAAACCAUAUAAAUUGUUUAUCUCUUUGUCUAUAUUGAGCUGCCAAGAUCAGUUCCUUGUAAUCCAAUGGCUUAUUUUGAUUCCACGAUGCUACAAUGUAUUGAAUUAAGCAUAGGGAUUAACAAUUCCAAUCAUAAACAAUAAGAGAUCCUCCCCAACAGCAUAAAAAACUUGAGAGACCCGAGGCUCGCAUCUCAGAAUAUGCUCUUGAACUAACACUAAAGAUGCCUAGAUUCACCACCACCCUUUCCACCCCAAUGUUGUUAGAAGUAGAAUCUAAUCAAAUGAAGAGUUCCUGAUAGUUGCGAGUUCUUAUGAUUUUUUUCCAUCAUUUUCUGACUUUUUUUUCAUCCAUUACGUACGUCCUUCUGAGUGGAGUUCUCCUUUCAUGGUAUCAGAAAAUCAUACUCAAUGAAUUCGUUAUAACCAGACCAUAACCAGAACCUCCAUGGCGUGUUUUUCCUGUGUUUUUUCUGAAAAUAUAGCUACAUUUAUACAUAUUUUUAAGAAUAUUAAAGGCAUUAUCAAAGGAAGAAACCGAGAAAACUGAUUGUAUAGAAAUCUAUAAUUGUGCUUACUUUCAGUCCUAGUCACAAAGUUUCAACCAGAUAAAUCAUGUCGAGAGAUGCCCAGCAAGUGGUGGUGGUCCAGGAUGCAUCCAGAGAUGUUAGUUCAAGAGCAAUCCUUAGGAUUCUCCAUGACUUAACACUUAAGCCUGGAGAUGACCUUACACUCCUCGGAGUUCUUCACCAGGUUAAUAAUCCUUGUACGCUUUCUUUCAUGGGAGGUAGGAAAAUACGUAAAAAUUCAUGCCUUUUUUUUCUUUUGAGUACAGAAGAAAAAUCCAAGAAGAAAGAAAUAUUAAACAUAGCACCAGGAAAAUGAUAUAUACCAAAAGGGAAAUUGUGCAGGUUUAUAGAUUGAUGAAUGAUGUGUCAGAUUUCCCAAUACAACUAUUUUAUUCUAAGGUAUACUUUGAUAAUAGAGACAACUAUUUUAUGAUCAAAUGAAAAAAUGAGGUAUAACAAUUAACCCAAGACAAAUCCUUAAGUGAUACUUUAGUUUUUUAUGAAAUAAAUGUUCUUUUUAUAUUAGUAUAAAAGAUUAUUUUUUCUUAGUUUCAUUUAGGGAAAAUUUUGAUUUUUUAAAGUUUUAAAGUUGGUUAAUGUAAAAUUUGUUUUUUAUCUUUUAGAUUUUCUUUUCCAUAUUUACAAAAAUAGAUAAUUAAAUAAACUUAGAUAAAAAUAGAAUUUUCAUGUUCACUUGUUUGCCUUAUGAAUUUAUUUUACUAUUAAAAUAGGUGCUUCUUAUUAUUUAAUUUUAAAAGUGAAGAUGCAUGUUUUAAUAAAUUCUAAGAGAGGACAAUGUUUAAAAUAAAAAAUUGAAAUAUCGUGGAAAUUAAUAUUUUAUUUUAAAUACAGACAAUUUCCAUGUAAUUUUGUUUGUAUAUUAUCACUACAAAUCAACGAUGACUCCAAAUAGCCAUUGGCCUUAAGAGAUGUCAAGCUCACAACAAAAAUAAUGUUCUAAGUUCUCUAAAAAUAUUUUAAUUAAACACAAAGGUAGUCCAUCAUCUAAUCAACAUUUGCAUAUACAAAACCAUUUUAGCAAAAGUUACAUCAUCCGUUAGUAUAAGCAAACAUGAAUAAGUAUUUCCUAAUUAAGAAAAAUAUUAAUUCAAAUAUUUUAAAUUGGCCAACAAAUUAGGAUAUUGAAAUAAUGGUCUCUAUAUCAAAUGAGUUAUAAGAAAAGGUAACAUUAUCUUUCAUCUAAAUUUCUAUGCUUUCACAAUCUUCAAAAUUAAUAAAACAAUAAGUUAUCUUUCAUUUGAUGCCAUUGGCUAUAUUGUAUUUUCUCGUGACAAAGUGAUGAUUAUCUUUUUUUUUUUUUUAUGCACUUGAUUGAUUUGGUUUCCACCAAUGUGACUUUAGUGAUUUAUCCUUCGCCGGUUGUUAGGAUAAUGGUAGUGGUUAAUAUGAUGUCGUCAAUAGAAUAACUACCUACUCUAGGUAGUAUGUUGGAUAUGAUGUUAUAAACCUACUUAUAGAUUAAUAUAGUUCAACAAAUACUAAUUUGAGAGAGAGAGAGAUAGGUCUAUGGUGAGUUGUAGUGAAAGGGAAGGAUUAAGGCUAGGGUUUGUGUGGGUAUGAAAAAGAUAAAAACAUUUUUAUUUUCAUAUCCAUUUUUGGAUUUUAAAAAAUAAAAAUAAAUAGGUGGAUAUAGAAAGAGUUCAAGUGGUUCGUUUGCAAUUUCCCUUCAUAAAACAUCACAGUUGUCAAUGAGAUCUAUGCACUAAGUAAUUUUAACAACCUUUGUUUGUGAAUUGCUUGUUACUGCAUUAAGUUUUGGUAUUCUCCUCCAUGUAGGUGAAACAUAUCAUGUUUAUGUAGAAUCAUUAAUAUAGUGUUUAACAGCUUCCAUGAAAAAGAAAGCGUGAGAGCUUGGGGAUAUACUUCCCAACUUAGAGGACAUCUCAAUAGCAAUGAAUAGAUUUUCAUAUAAAUGGUUAAAUAGUAUAUAAAAUAAUCGAAGAUGUCUUGUUUUAGUUUACCUCCUAGGUAGAUAGCCUAGUUACUUCAAGUAGUUUUGGCAACACCAUUUACUAUCAUCUUCAACGAGUAUAUAUCCUUCAAGGCAAGGCCUCACUUUCUUAGCUCAACAAAAAGUUUAUUAUGAUAAGUUAUCUUGAUAACUAAUGACUAAUCUUGGUGUAUAUAUAUAUAGUUAAGAGGGAUGUGAAUCAAUGAGAAAUAGUUUCCACUUUGUGCUAAUGAUAGGUUUGAGUCAAGGUUCAAAUUUUCAUCCAUGGAAGUAUGAAUGUUGAUCAAUAUGAAAUUCUGGUCCAUCUUGUGAUAACAAAUAGUUUAUCAUAUGUAACUCAAAAUUAUUCUUUCUAUACAUUCAUCUUGUGCACCCACCUUUCUGUUUCUUUAUUGUACGUAUCACUUUCUCUUAUUCCAUAAGGAGAAGCCACUAGACUUGAGAAAUCAAUUAGAGAAUGAUACAAUUCCAACAAGAUCGAGUAUGAAACAUUUCUUAUCAAUCUUUUCAUAGUGACUCAUAGCUUGUAGUAAAUUAAUGGGCUAUUUGUUUUUUAACUUGAGUUUUGAAGCAAGUUGUUUUAAGAUUUAAGAUAAAAGUAAAAAAGAAAUUUACUUUUUCUAUUAACACAAAAUUAUCUUAGAAAAUAUGAUACGUUAAAAAAUAACCAUUUUAAAAAUGACAAAUCUUAUAGAAAAAAAUAAUAUAAAAAAAUAACACUUAACACUAUUAAAUAGUAUUUAGUUUUGAGUUAUAUUAAGGUAUAUAUAUAUAUAGACACACACCACCUAAGGUGAUGUUUUACUUGUUUGUUUGUUUUUUCUAAAAUCUAAAUAGAUUUGAAUUUGGAUUGAAUUUAAAUAGAGCAAAAUGUCAUAAGUGUUUAGACUCUUUGUGCUUUAUUGUAUUUGAAAUAUGUUAAGUGUUAAAUUGUUUAUUUUUACUUAUGUCAAAAUACUAUAAGUAUUAAAUUUAUUUAUUUCACUUGUUAAAAAUGUCUACAAAAUUAAUUAUAGUAUUUGUUAUUAUUUUAGUUUUAAAAAUUUACAAUUUUUAAAAUAUAUAGUAAUUUAAAUAUUUCCAAAAUAUCAAAAUUAUUACGAUAAUAAACAUUUUAUAAUAAUUAAUAUUGUAAUUAUUUAAGCAUAAUUGGAUAAUAACAAGGAUUUCCUAUUAUGCUUGGUUACUAAAAAAAUAUUUUAAAAAAUUUCUAAUUUGACACUUAUUUCUAUAUGGUGUGUCUUCAUAUUUAAAUUUAAAUAUUUUCCAAAAUAUCAAAAUUUAUUACUAUAAUAAAAAUUUUACAAUAACUAAUAUUGUAAUUAGUUAAGAAUAAUUAUAUAAUAAUGAGACUUUCUAAUUAUGCUUGAUUACUAAGAAAAUAUUAAACAAAACUUCUAAGUUAACAAUUAUUUCUAUCUGGUGUAUCUUUGGAUUUAUGGAUUUGUAAUUGAAAAAUGUGUUUUAUUAUUGAGAUUAAUUCAUUAAUUUUUAUAUUUUAGAUUUUCAACAUUAAAUCCUAACAUUUUAUUUUUCAAAAUUAAUUAUUAUUGCUUAUUCUAAUAAUGUGGACCCCGCAUUUCGGCUCAUGCACUUCCACUCGAUGGCGAGCUCGAUUUUUAUUUGAAAAACGAUUUUAUUUAUUAGAAAAUGACUUGGAGUCACCACUUAUUUUUGUUUUAUUUUUAAAGGGUAAACAAAAUACGAAAGAAAACCCUAAGUGUGACUCCUUAUUUUGGAAAAGAUAAUCCACGAAAAACCGGAUCGGGCUCGGGGGUCAGGUUACUUAUCGGGAAGGUAUGGUAAAGACCGUAGCACCCCUCUAAGUCCCUAAAGUCGGGUCUCUACUAAUAAAAUGAAGCUAACGUGGCAAUUGAUGAGGGAAUCAAUGAAUACUUAGUGUAAUCAUGCACAAGUGAGAAUUAAAACAUACAUAUAGAAAGACCAGAAUGGGAGUAGAUGCGUACCUGGGUGAUGAGCCACAAUGCGCUAUCAAGAAAUGGGAUUAGUGCAUAGUAAUGAACAUAAAAUGUGUCAAUCUUAUCACCAAACAAGAGAAAGAACCACCAAUAGCACGCAUGACAUUUCGUUCAAAUUCAUUUUUAUUUUAAAGAAAAUUUAUUUGAUGUUGGGCCCCCACCAUAGCCCAUCUACUUUUGAGUGAAUCGAUUUCGUAAAUUCCAUCAUCAAGAAUUACGAAAAAUAAAUUCACACUUAUUUUGAAACAUUUUGAAAAUCAUGGAAAAUUCAAAAGUGGCUCGCCGGAAAGGAAAUGGUGGCCAAAUUUCAUUGAAAAUGGGAUUUUUAGGUCCUAAAAAUAAACUAAGGAUGAAAACUUAAAAAAAAUGUCAAAAUUAUUUGAAGAAUUUAAAAUUUGAGAAACCAUUUGAAAACUGGAAUAUGAUGGAUUAUUUUAAAAUCAAGGAUGAUGAAAUGAAAAGAGGUGGUACGUGGUCACCAAGACUACAUGUCAAAAGUGACCAUGCAACUCAUGCAAGAGUAGGUCUACGGGUAAGAGUACUGGAAUUGGGUAUAAGAUAACCAAUAGGAAUGGGGUAAAUUAAGAGACCCCAGCGGCAAGCAACUUCAUGAGGCCUUCCUUUGUUGAUGUGUACCAGAACCAACCUUCUUUUUGCCUUUUACAAACUUCUGUAAAGAUCCACCUCUACAAUUCUGAGCUUUUAUGCAUGAUUCAAAGAUAGCAUGAUGUUGUGCUUGGAUGUUCUCUUGGCUAUUACUGCCUUUUCUCCUUGUUGACCGAGAAUUAGUACCAUCAGGCAUCAAGUUAUGCAUUUCUUCCCUCAUCCAAACAAACAAGUUUUCUCUUGCAACUUUAAGAUCCUCUAAUAAGGACUCCAUGAAGAUUUUAAAAUCAUCCAAUGUUGCAGGAUCACAUGCAUUGCUCUUACUCUUCUUCUUAUUAACUUUCUUGAAAGAAUCCCUCUUCGUCUCUUUACUAUAUAAAUUAUUCCUCUUGCUUGAUCCAAUCUGCAUUUUGUUAGCUUUCCCAAUUUUGAAUUGAUCCCCUGAACUACGAUCAGACUUACCUUCUUGUUGAGAUCUAGGAGUACCACUGGUUUCAUCAUUUUCAGGCGAAAUAAGAGAGGAAACCAGUUUGUGCUUCUUGAGAACUGGCUCACCACUGGAACUCGAUUUGGAAUUAUCACUUGAAGAAUCAACGUCACUGUCUCUCCUCCUGAACUCCCACCUCUGCUGAAAUUUCAGGUCUUCACUCAUGUUAGUACUUGGGGAUAUAAUCACAACUGUAUAACUAUGUGCUCAAUCCUCGGGAGAGUCCGACCAUAAACGACUAGACCCACUUAUCAUCAAAGUUUCAACUGCUUGUUUGGAGAAUGAAAUCAGUUUGAUGGAAGGAUUUCCACUGCAACUGCACCUUGAACUCGUUUGAAAGAUUGUACCAGUGAUUCUAGCAGCACCCCUCCUCACAAAUCAAAUUUUGUGAAGAGACACCAUGAUUAAACCGCUCCAUCAUUCUCUUUCAUACACCCAGCACAAGAGCAUCCUCUGUGGAUGAAGCCCAACCAUUGCUCUGCAUCCACUUGGAACAAUCUUCUUAGCCCCAGAUGGGAGCUUGAUCCUGCUGGUGCCAUUAUCAGGGUUGUGGCUGACGACAAUAGCUCACUUGCCGGAUGCCCUGGCGAAGACACCUCGAUCACCAACGUGAUCUUCAACGUUACAGACCUCGGCACCUUCGGGAGUAGAGCGCAGGGGCAGAACGUUAUCGGCAAUGAGGGUGGCUUUCUUACUGCAGCAAACGAACUGGCCCGUGUAUAUGCUCUCAGCCACCACGAUAGGUUCAUCAUGACUGCAACUCCUACUAAACCAUAUCCCUGUCUCAGCAUCAAUAACCAGCUAGGUACUGCAUGUAUCACCAACACCACUAUCGAGGUCCAGGCUAUCACAAGUUCUGUUGCUAGGCAGAGCAGCAGGAAGUUGGUUAUCAAAGACAUGGUAAAUUUUAUCACCACCUAGGCGCACGCCAUCGAGAUGCUCUUUGUAUGUCUGAUCGAAGACACAAGAAAUUUCCAUGAUCAUGUAUAACUUUCUUCCAUUCUUCUUCAGUUGCACCAGUACCAAAUCCAUAUCAGCCAAGGACCCUUCACGCACAAGUAGCCACAGAUCUGUCAGAGAUGCACUUGAUACAAUUUUGCGAGCAACUGUAUGAUGAUUCUGCUUUUGGCCUGGAGGUGGAACUAAACCUUCCACUAAUCUAUAUUUUUCUCAAUAAUAUAUAUCCUCUAACCUUGACAAAAUAAUAACUUAAAUCCCAGUGUUGACUCCUUGCUUCUCGCCACUUAAGCUAACAAUGAUUAUGCCUUGUCACCAGAUGACUUCAAGAGCUAGGUUGUCCAAAAUCCUGUUAAGAAAUUAGUCCACACCAACUGAUAACAAGCUGAUGUGGCCCUCGAAGACAUUGAUUGAACCUAGUCCAUGUUGUAGUCACUUUUUGAAUUUCAUGAUCAAGAAAAUGAAGAGGAAGCCAUUUAGAUGCAUGGUUGAAAAUGGUCAACUGUUAUGCCCCCAUCAUCAUCACCUCUAGUAUUAUGAACACAAACCAGUUGCAACCGCCAUUCACAGACUCCCAUCACAGUUCAUGGGCCUGAAAUGAAUCUCCAACUAAUGGUGUAAGCAACAAGCUGAAUGUUGUUAAAAAUAUGAGAAAUGGGUGGAGAGUUGUGCGUUAAGAAGCAGAGAAUGGAAUAAGGGAAUAUACCCCUUCCCUCAAAGGCACAGAGAUGGAAUCAAGUAAUUGAAGCCGAAGGAAAGCCUUUCGGGUAGCCAAGAAAGCUUGAUUUACAUAUUCUGCAUUACUUUCAGCAACAUUGGCAAUCACAUCCCUGUCUGAGAGGCCAACUGGUUGUCCUUUGUGGUGAGUUCAGUGUCAUUUUAAACUUCUCCAUUGUAUCAAGGGAUAGCCAGCACAAGAAAGAAAUGAUACAAUGAAGCAGACAUGAGGCAUCUUUAGAAAUCCUCUGUGGAUGACAUUUUAAAGGCUCUGUGAUAUUCUGAAGCAUUGCUACUCAACUAUGACCUCCAUCCCUGAUAUAAAACACUAAACCAACCUCAAUCUACUUAACAUGCAUCUCGGGUACUCCAUAGAGAUUAAGCAUCUGUAAUCAUAGCUUCCGCUCCUUGAAUUUGCGUUCUCAGAUGGAGAUGCACCAAUCAAAGCAAACCACAGACAAACACCAAAAACAGAGACGUAUAGAGAAGAAAAUUGAUAAAACAAAACAGGGAUAGGUGAAAUGAGAGUUUGUUAAGCAAAACCUGGUCCCAUAAAUUAUCAACAGGCUUACCAGUUAGUGGGAGGGGAAAUGGGUUUAAGGAGAAAUGAUAGGAGAGAUACAUUCAGACAUCACGCAAUAAAACUGGACAAGAUUCAUACUAUUUCUCUCAACUAAAACCCAUAAACAAUAGAUGGAUAUAUAGUCAUAGCAAAUCCAGUGGAUGCUCAGAGAUCAACAAAAGUAGCCAUAUGAUAUCCACACACAAAUAGCUAAAUAACACCCACUAAUGAACAAAAGAGAAUGAAUAGCAAGAGAAAAAAAUAGAGAUGGAUAAGAAACAUACCUGGAAAUACCCCUCUCCAGUAAAAUCAGCUGAACUGCUAGUCCAUUGCUCUCUCCCCCUUCCUCUGGUUCCCCUCAAGUUAAAACAAUACCCUUCUCAAAUAUCUCCGACCAAAAAACCUUCUCCAAAAACUUCCCUUUCUCCUCUGCCAACCCCCCUCCAAAAAGCAUCUCCCUCUUCUCUACAACUGGCAGAUACGCUCCUCCCAUAACAGAAACGUUCUUCUCUAAACGUCCCUUUGGGAUCUCUUAUCAAACCUCUAAUGACUCUCAAGACUAGGUCACCGAUAUGUAGUGGUAUGGGCUUGACCCGCUUUUUGAAAGCGCGGGCCAUCUUCCUCUAUUAUGCACGAACAUGGUCUGUUGCUCUCAAUCUCAUCUCAUAUAGGAGAUUGAGCUGAUCAAAUCGAGCCUGAGCCCAAUCCGCCUCGGGAAUCUGCUACUUUAGUGCUACUCUCAAUGAACUCAUCUCGAUCUCAACUGGUAGCACUGUCUCCAUACCGUAUACCAAUGAAUAAGGUGUGGCUCCUGUAGAGGUGCGAAAAGAAGUCCGAUAUGCCCACAAUGCGAAAGGGAGCUUCUCUGACCAAUCCCGAGAAGUCUCAACCAUCCUCCGCAAUAUCCUCUUAAUAUUCUUAUUCGCAGCCUCUACUGCCUCAUUCGUCUACGACCUAUACGCAAACGACCUAUGAUGUCGGAUGUCGUAUCUCUGUACUAAGGUAUCAACCUCUGCUCUGAAAUGUACCCCUCUAUCUGAAAUCAACUCAUGAGGGACUCCAUAGCGACAGAUAAUGUGUGAUCUGAUGAAACUAGCAACUCCAGCUGAUGUCAAUCUCUCAUAUGAGGCGGCCUCCACCCACUUGGUGAAGUAAUCGAUGGCGACCAGGAUGAACUCAUGACCACUGGAAGAUUUCGGUGAAAUCUUUUCGAUGAUGUUAAUACCCCAUAUAGAAAAUGGCCAUGGUGAAGUCAAUGCGUGCAACUCAGAGGACGGCACGUGAAUGAGAUCUCCAUGUAUUUGACUCUUGGGACAUCUCUGAACAAACUGACAACAAUCUGUCUCCAUGGUCAACCAAAAAUAGCCAAUCCUCAUGAUUUUACGGGCCAACAUAUGCCCUCCCAUAUGUGGUCCGCAGACUCCCGCAUGAACCUCUCACAUCACUCUAUCGACAGAAGCGUAGUCCAAGCAUAAUAACAGCAUCCCAUCAGGUGAUCGUCUGUAUAGUGUCUUGCCACAAAUCACGAAUCAUGCAGCCAACUGUCUCAAUGUUCUCUUAUCCUUGGCCGUGGCGGCCUUAAGAUAUAUGCCAAGUCUCAAAAAGUGAUAUAUGUCAUGAUACCAUGGCAAACCAUCGUCUAUCUCCGUAUCAUCGAUCAGAAAACAAUAUGUAGGAGCAAAUCUGGACUUAAUCAGUAAAUGACGAAUAGUGGCAUCAGCAGGAAUGUCAAUCAUGGAAGUUAGAGUAGCUAAGGCAUCAGAAAACUAGUUAUGCGCUCUAAGCAGAUGUGUGUAUCUCAAAUCAUCAAAUCUCCCAACCAGUAGCUCCAAAUAUGGCGGUAAGGCCUAAGUUUCACAUCUCUAGUCUUCCACUCGCCCUGAAUCUGUCUCAAAACCAGAUUGAAGUCGCCAAACACCUCUAUCUAUCUAAUCCCGAGCUCAAGGGCCGUCUCUAAUCCCAAGAUACAGACCUCAUACUCAACAAUGUUGUUUGUGGCCGGAUGUCGAUCCAAGAAUGCCAAACAAAUAGAUCGGGGAAUGUGAUCACCAUGAGGGGAUAUCAACAAGACGCCUAUCCCGUAUCCAGAAUGGUUGGCUGCACCAUCAAAGUACAUGUGUCAACCUGAUAAACUAGUCACAACAGCGACAUCCUCGCCUGGGAAGUCAUCAUCAAUGGCUCUACCAUUGGAAACUAGUAAUGAGGCUAAGUGAUCUACAACAAUGCUCCCUCUUAUGGACUUCUGAGUGACAUAAUGGAUGUCAAACUCGGUCAGAAGUACCAGCCAUCUCAUGAGACGACCGAUCAAAGCGGGUCUGUCAAAAAAAUAUCUCAGAAGAUCUAGAUGGGAUAUCAAGUGCACUGAAUACUCGGUCAUGUAAUGUCUUAGUCGGUGAGUGGCCCAAACCAAUGCCAAACAGUAGCGCUCAAUCAUGACAUUCCUUGCCUCAUAGUCUAGCAUCCUCUUACUCAAAUAAUAAAUGGCUUAGUCAUUGCCUGAAUCAUCAAGCUGAGCUAACAUGCACCACAAUGCUACAUCUGAAAUUGACAGAUAUAGGAGUAAGGGACAACCUGGUGUAGGAGGCGCCAAGACUGGAGGUGACAACAAGUACUUUCUGAUCCUCUCAAAUGCACGCUGACACUGAUCAUCCCAAACAGUAGGUUGACUCUUCCUCAAGAGUCGGAAAAUGGGCUCAUAGAUGUCUGUCAAUCUGAUGAUGAAUCUACUGAUAUACUGAAGUCUACCCAAGAAGCCCCUGACCUCUCUCUCUGUCCUCGAUGCAGGCAUGUCAAGGAUGGCUCUGAUCUUAUCCGAGUCUACCUCUAUGCCUCUCUCUCUGACCAUAUACCCCAAGAGUUUCCCAGAAGUCACUCCGAAAGUGCACUUCUUGGGAUUCAGUCUCAAUUUGAACCGUCGGAUCCUCUCAAAGAACCUCUCUAGAGUUGCUAGGUGAUUUGGUCUGUCUUGGGAUUUCACUAUCAUGUUGUCUACAUAAACCUUGACAUCCCGAUGCAUCAUGUCAUGGAAGAGGGUGGUCGUCGUUCUCUAAUGGGUGGUUCCUGCAUUCUUCAAUCCGAAUGGCAUGACUCUAUAGCAAUAAGUACCCUACUCGGUAAUGAAGGACGUCUUCUCCAUGUCCUUUGGAGCCAUCAAGAUCUUAUUGUACCAAGAAAAUCCGUCCAUAAAGGACAACAUCGAAUGACCUGUCAUACUAUCAACCAACAUAUCGAUGUGUGGGAGAGGAAAAUCAUCCUUAGGACUGGCCUUGUUGAGAUCUCGGAAAUCAACACAAACUCUCACCUUGUCGUCCUUUUUGGGAACAAGGACUACAUUGGCCAGCCACUCCGGAUACUCGACCACUGACAAAAAUCCUACACUGAGUUGCUUCUGGAUCUCCUCCUUCACUUGCAAGCUCCAACGAGGGUGCAAUCAUCUCAACUUCUACUUAACCGGUCUAGCAUGGGGCAGAAGUGGCAAACGAUGUUGGACGAUAGAUGGAUCAAGGCCUGGCAUGUCCUCAUAGGACCAUGCGAAAACGUCCAAGUAUGCUCUGAGCAACUGGAUGAGGUUGUCCCUCUCAUCAUCAGAUAAAUCUGAUCUGAUCCUCAACUCCCUAGGCUGAUAUAUUGUGCCGAAAUCAACAAUCUCCAUGUCCUCUAUAGCAGGUGAAACUCUCUGAUCAAAGGGAUCCGAAUCGGAAAUAGAAGAUGAGUCAUCAUCUGAGUCGUGUUGUGCAAUCUCAUCAUCAAUAUCAAAAAUCUGUGAUGUGGGUGAAGAUGGUGCAGAUAAAACAAUAUCGUAAAAGAGAGGCAAAUUUUAAAAAAUGCUCAAAUCCAUAGAUGAAAAGUCAGAAACAUAGUCAUGAUGGGAGACAAAUCCCGAUAAAACAUCAAAUGAAAGAGGUGAGUCUACAAAGUCGAACAUUCCCUCAACUAGGCCAAUAGGGCCAUCAAGAAAAUCAUCAACAGCUAUAAUGUCCUCAGUAAUCUCCGAAGUAGGGGCAGUCUGGAUCUCCUCAGCGAUCUCAAUGAAAGACACCCCGAAGAGAUCAAAUGGUGAAGUGAGCUCAGGCUGGACUAUCUCCUCAAUCUGGCUCAAGCUCAAUGCAAGCAUCUCAUCGACGUACUCGUCACAUGGCAUAGCUCCGUCUACUAUGUCGCUAAUCUCAACAAAUGUCUUGUGAUCAUCGAUCUCAUCCAAUAAGCAAAGCGUCAUAAGGCUCGUGCGAUCUGGAGAGGCAGGAGCGAUCAACGCAGAAGUCGAAGGAUCAAGGGCUCCGUUACUCAAUUGUAACUGCUGGACGAGGCGCUGAAGCUCGGCCUCCUUGGUGGUGUUGAAUCCUCUGAUGAUCCCAUCAGAUGGUGCAUGUGACUCCGAUGCCCUCACAAAGUAAUCUGCCAGGCUCAUGGUGUAUGGGCGAACAGGAUAAUAAAAGAGCGUAUGAGUCAGUCGAGCCCUCACCCUCUCCUUGCUCAAUCGCGCCAUAUAACGAUAAUCGGCCUCAGUGGGGAUGAACCUGAGUCCGAAUGGUACGUCGUGAUCAGGGAUGGCUAUGAACUCACUAGGCCCAUGCUGACACUACCCUAACCCUAUGCCGGGAAAAUAAGGCAUACUCUGCAUCAUAUCGAGCACCACCGUGCUACUAUGCUGGUCAAAGGACAUGGCUACGAAAUCUCGGUAGAAAUCUUCUAUCUCCACGGUUUGUACCUCAUCAAAGGUGAAUCCAGUCAGAAAAAGAUCGUCAUCAGUGUGACUAAUCUCAAGCACAGGCUUGGCAAAAAUGAACAUAUCUCCCACAGACUGCACCACGACGACCUGGCCAUCGUGAAUAAACUUCACCUUUUGAUGAAGGGAAGAAUGAAUGGCCCCAGCUCUGUGGAUUCACGGUCGGCCCAGAAACAGGUUAAAGGAUGUAGGAAUCCUCAAAACCUGAAACACGGUGACAAAAGUGGCCAGAUCAAUUAGUAGUUCAAUCUCUAGUGUGCCCAUGACCUCCCUUCGAGUACUGUCAUACGCGCGAACGGUCUAAGUGGAGGGACAGAAAUCAGAUGGUGCAUAGCCGAGGGCAGUGAUGGUGGCCAGAGGACAAACGUUCAGGGUCGAGCCAUUGUCCAGAAGGACAGAUGGGACUCGACGGCCUGAACAACCAACAGAUAUAUAGAGUAGACGCGUGUGGUCUGAGCCCUCUGGUGGCAAGUCAUCAUCGGAGAAUACAAUGCAUGUGGCUCUACCGACCGUCAUCAUAUGAAUCAAUCCCUCAUGGGAGGUGGUAGUCUUAACUCUAAUCUGGCUCAGGGCUCAAAUCAGAGCAUCAUGGUGAGUGGUCAAGGAUGCCAACAAACUCCAGAUGGAAAUACGAGCCUGAGUGCUCUAUAGCUGCCUCAAAAUCUCGGCGUCCUCUACUCUGACCUCAUCGGGAACAGAUGUACCCUCAACUGGCUUAGCUGCUGCGCGAGGUGGCUAUCGCAACACUCUACCUCCUCAAAGAAUAUACUAAACAUCCAAAGUUUGAGAAUCAUCAACAUGCGGAGCUUGAACCUCCUCAACAUUCGAGAUCAAGAUGAAUGGCGUCUGGACGCUGUAAUAUGGAAAAAUCAAUGGCUCAACAGUGGUAGUCUGUACUAAUGCCACCUGGGGAACUAAUCCGAAUGAAAUGGGCAUCUGAGGCCCCAAAGUCGCUCCGUCCAUCUCAUAAAUCCCAUUUGACAUGAUAGGCUCUGGCUCAAUGUCAUCACAGCUCAACAUAUGGAUAUAGUCAUCAUGAUCAAAGAACUCCAGGAAAUGUAUGCUAUCGACCGGUGGGGGGACCACAUGUGUAGUGUGGGCAAGUAAUGGGUUUGUGGUUACACUCGGCUGACCCAAGUGCACCAAACCCUGGUCGAUCAGAUCCUGGAUGGCAUGCCUCAAAGUGGUGCAGCGAUCGGUCUCGUGUCCAGGCCCUUGAUGGUAUGCACAGUGCAAAUCCAUCCUGAAUUAAGGUGGAAUCGGCUGAGGUGGCAGCCUGGGAGUGAGAACGGUCAAUAACCCGGCCUCUGUAAGCUUCCGAAGAGCCUAGCUCAAUGGCAUGCUUAAUUGCGAGAACUACCUCUGUGUCCUCAAAGCAGAUGGAGCAAAAGUCUGCUGAGCUUUGGGUUGAGGAUAAGGCGUUGUGGGUCUCGCAGUGAAUUGAGCAGCAUAGCAUGGCUGUCCUAUGGCCGUGUAGGAAAUUGGGGGUCUCUCAAUGUCCUGGGUGGCAUAAUAAGGCAAAGCCAAAGUCUGUGGCAUGUAGACUGAUCAUAAGUCGGGUGAGGCGCUCGUGGCCUAUACUGCUGAGGUGGAUAUGAAGAAUGAGCCUCAGGAAGCUAUGGGAUCGGCUGAUGGCGCCUGGGAGGUCUCUAACUGGAAGAACUAAUGGCGCUCACGUCAACUGAUCUUUGUCCUCCAAAGGGCUUCUUCCCCUUAACAUCACUAGGGGAAGAAUCUGUCCACAAUCCUCUAGAGAUGUCGUCCUCGACAUCGUAUAAAGUCAAAACCAAUGAACCAAAAUCUGUGAAUGGUACCCUAACCACGUGUCUGGCGAUCCUGGGCUGUAAACUCCUCAAGACCAUCUAUAUCUGAUCUCUCUCUGAAGGUCUAUCAAUGAUCUCGACAAUCUUCCCACGCCAGCGGGAAAUGAAUGAAGAAACUAACUCAUCUAUUAUCUACCUCAGAGCCUCGAGCUUUCUCCUCGAUACAUCCACGACAGUGUUAAAUGAAAACUGUCGUAAGAACUCCUGGGCCAAGUCGUCCCAUGUUCGGCGUCGUGAGGACUUCAAGGAUGCAAACCAACGUUGGGCCGUCCCACUCAGAGAUAGUGGAAAUAAAGUGAUCAUCUGAGACUCAUCCAAUCCAUGAGCCCUCAUCACUGUGCUAUAGAGUCUGAGGUGGAUGCGUGGACAACUAAUGAUCGUAUAUCUCUUGAUGUCUGGCAUCCUAAACUUAGCCGGCAAACUGGCUAUCGGCAUACCCUCGAAAUCAUCCCAAACAAUUGAUCUAUCUGACACUCUCAUCUGCCUCAUACGCUGUUUAAGACAGUCCAUACGUGCAUGAGCAUCAUCAACGACAGUGGUCUGGACAACAGCGGGUGGAACAAUCUCAGAAUGUCCAUGUAAUAUAUAGGGUGAGGCCUGAGGCACUGAAGGAACGGGUGGUGGUGGUGGAUGUGGAUGUGAGUCAUACGACGUCUCAUCCUGAACUGUUGGUGGUCUACUUUGCUGACCACUGAUCUCCUGCCUGAGGCUAGCCAAAGCCUCCUGGAUAGAAGCCAUGGUAGCCGUAAACUGAUCCAUUGUAACAACCUGCUGAUCCAUACUCGGUCUCUCUGAAUACCGGACUAAUCUCCCCUCUACUCUGACCCAAGAAGGCGUAUCCAGACUGUGAACGAAGAUCCGAUCCUGAUCGAUUCUUCUCCUACUCCUCUCCUCAAGUCUCUCAAAACCAGCAUCCAAAAGCACCUCCUUCGACCUCUCCUAUCUUCACUCCCCUCAAAAGCACCAGAAGUCUCUCAAAAAUCUCUUUUGCCCCUUGCCAAAAAGCCCCCUCCUCUCCAAAAUAUCUCCCCACAAAACGCCCCCUACGCUUGCCAGAAUAUCCUCUCUCUCAUCCGAUCCUCCUAACAGACUGCGGCCUCUCUAGAAUGUUCUUUCCACGUGUUCAACUCUCAUUUGCUCCUCGAUUCCACUACCUAAUUCUCUGUCCACCAACCACGAGGUGAUACGUGGCUCCUUGAGAGCCUUCCACCUGGCAAAAUGAGUUGCAGAAAAUGCAUGAAAGUGAGGCCCCAAAAUGAGGGUCUACAAAUAGGUUUUUAGAUGAGUGUGAAUUGUGUUUUGGAAUUCUAACUAAAAAAAAUUCAUUAGAAUUGAUGAUAGUUUAUUUUAGUCUUGUUCUACUAUAAGAGGUUGAAUUAUAAAAAUUUGUAGUACAUACAUUUCUAAUAAAAAUGUUUAUGAUUUAAGUAUUGUUAAUUUUAUUAUUAAAUGAGGAAUCUACAAAAAUUUAUGAAAUUUAAUUUUGUUGAGAAUUUGAUGAAUUAUGAAGCAGAAACAGUAGCUAAAUGUGGUAGAAUUUUGAUUCAAGUUUUGGAAUUUAUGAAUUUAUUUAGAUUAAUUUGUUACCCAAAUUAAGUUACUUUUAUGUUGUUGGGCUUCUUUUAAUAAAAAAAAAAAAUCAUUAAAAUUUAUAUCUAAAUUUUAUCAAGAAUCAAGAGGAAAAAUGGACAAAAACAAAGCAUAUUUCAAUCAUUUCAUUUUUUUUUCUUGAUGACAACUUUGUUAAUUUAUAAUAUAUUCAUUUUUCUUCCAAAUUACACAAAAUUGAAAUAGUUUAAUUCUUUCUUCAGAUAAAAGUUAUCUAAAGUCAUAAAAAAAAAUGAAAUUGAUUUUAUUUUAUGUGAGGAAUUAGGUCUAAAUAUCAUAACACAGUUAGAGAUCAAAAAAAUAUAAAGAGAAAAAAAAUGACUUUUUCUAUUAAUAUAAAAGUUAAAAUUAAUUCAUUUUUUCCUUAAGUAUAUAUAUAUAUAUAUAUAUAUAUAUAUAUAUAUAUAUAUAUAUAUAUAUAUAUUUUAAAAAAAAAAGUAAUAAGCUGAAAAAUAAAUAGUUCUAAAAUGUAUUCAGUCUUGAAGCAACUUACUUUAACAUUUGAGUAAAAAAACUAAAUAAAAAAUAAAAAUAGAAAAAAUCAAGCCCUAAAGCAUUGGAUGAGCCAAUGAUCGGAUACUUGAUUUUAACUAAGCAGUUACUUGUCAAUAAUUGUGUUCAUGUUCAUCUCUGCCAAGUACCUUAAAAUGAAAAGGAACAAGUUCAUAUAAAAUCCAAUUUGUCUUUCUCACCCAACACAAUUGCAACCAUCCACCACCAAUUCAAUAUCUCGAAAAACCUUCAAUGUCUCUAAUAGAACCAAAAUCAUGUUAUAUUUGGGAACAUUAAAAUCUUGAUGUAAUGCAACAUUUCAAAAGAAUUUUUCACUUUGAUCUAUGCUCAUAUCAACAUUUCUCUUUGAUAUAGGCAUUUUUCAAAAGAAUUCACCUAUCUUUUCUUGCUAAAGCCUUAAAUUUCUCUCUUCUCUCCAUAACAAACCUUGAGCAUGCAACUUACUAAAUAGACAUUACAUAGGAUUCAAAAUUAAUUUUCAACAAUUCUCAAGUAUAGUGCCUAUUGCAUAAGCAAAUAUACUUUUAAAGAUAUUGUUGAUAGCCUUCUCUAUGCUAAUAGCACUUUUAAUGCUUGGGUUGAUCUUUAUGAUUGAUUCCACCAAAGCAAUGCCCCACGAAUCUUCCAAAUCGAGAAGCACAUAGUUGUUCUUGAGCAAAGAUCUAUGGAUGUCAACACAUACUACACUAAGCUCAAGGUCCUCUAGGAUGAGCUCAAAAAUUAUCAACCCAUUCUUGUCUAUCACUAUGGAGGCACAAAGUCUUGGUUAGACACCAACAAUAGGAGUACAUCAUGCAAUUUCUUAUGGGUUUGAUUGAGUCAAAUGCUUAAACUUGAACACAGAUCUUAAUGAUGUCUUUGCACUAGUUGUCCAAGAAGAAUGCCAAUGUACUAUUAAUCAAGGCUCUUUUUUUCCUAUCGAUUCUCUUAUGCCCAACAUUUCAAAUUCCUCUGCUUUUGUUACAACAACAAAUUUUUCUCGAAAUUCAACUUUAAAACCCAAGUGUGAGUGACCCUAAUAUUCCCACUGUGGCUUGCAAGAACAUAUUGUAAAUAAAUGCUAUCAUCCUGGCUAUAAGUCAAAAUCAAAGAAACCUGAAGUAAAAAAUUCAAGCCACCUAGGCCAAUGCAACUAUUAAUGAGACUAUUAACUCUGGUUCACCCCUUGGAUCUCUUACUUUAGCUCAGUGUCAUCAAUUGUUUGCAUUCUUGAGCUCUCAACUUCAUAACAACUUUCUUGUUAUGCUAGAAUCUCAAUAGCUAGAACCCUUUGUUUCCCAGUUCAAUGGUAUACUAUCUUUUUCUUCUGUCUCAUAAUUUUCCAAUUUCUUUUUCCACCUGGAUUUUGGACAUAGAAGUCGCACAUCAUGUUUGUUGUUCAUUAAGCACAUUUACACAAUCUACUCCAGCACAAAAUUCUUUUGUAACUUUGCCUAAUGGUCAAUCUGUUGUUAUUAAUCGUAUUGGUUAUGUGUUUUUGUCUCCUGAUCUCAUCCUUAAUAAUGUCAUGUUUGUUUCUAAUUUCCAUUUCAAUCUCCUCUUUAUCUGUUCGCUCACUCAAAGUUAUAAAUCUUCUAUUAAUUUUAUGGUUGAUUCUUGUACUAUUCAAGGCCAUACACGGACCAAAAUGAUUGGGAUGAGUAGAAGACAUGGUAGCCUAUACUUCUUAAAUAUAGUCAAUUUUCAUUCCACUACACCACAAAUUUUCAGUCCUUGUAAUAAUGUUUCGUUGUCUCAAAAUGAAAUUUGGUUUUACCAUUUAGGUCAUCCUUCUUAUGUAACAUUACAAACAUUCAAAAAUGAAAUAGAAGUUAAACCAAAUUCUGGUGAUUCAAGUCAUUGUUUAGUUUUCCAUUUAGUCAAAAGAUGCAAAUUACAUUUUAUUUCUCACAAUUAUUUGUCUGUUUUGCCUUUUCAACUCAUACAUUGUGAUGUUUAAGGUCUCCUUCACACAUUUACCAUUGAAGGUUAUAGAUAUUUUUUUUACUAUUGUUAAUGAUUGUACUCAUUUUAUUUGGGUGUAUCUUUUGCGUGCUGAGCCUGAUGUUACUGAAGUUAUUCCUAUUUUUUUUUCUCAUUGAUUCAAACUCAAUUUGGAACACAAAUAAAAUUUGUUCACUCAGAUAAUCCUCCUGAAUUGGCAUUUUUUGACUUCUUUCAUGCAAAAUGAGUCAUCUCAUUUCAUUCUUGUGUUGAUUAGCCUCAACAAAAUUCAAUAGCAGAAAGAAAGCAUCAACAUAUCUUAAAUGUUGUAUGGUCUUUAUGUUUCCAAUCACAUAUUCCAUUGGUUUAUUGGGGGGAUUGCAUUCUUAUUAUUGUACACUUAAGAAAUAAAACUGCAUUCCCACUUUUGUCCAAUAAAACAACCUUUGAACUUCUUUGGAAAAAGAAGCUUGCAUAUUCACAUCUUUGUAAUUUUGGUUGCCUAUGUUAUGCAUCUACUUUAGAUCGUCAUAGGACAAAUUUCUCACCUCAUGUCAUUCCUUUUGUCUUUCUUAGGUACCCAUCUGGUUAUAAAGAAUACAAAUUAUUGAAUCUAGUCACUAAUUCUGUGUUUAUCUCCCAUAAUGUGGUAUUUCAUGAGUCUAUAUUUUCUUUCAAAACUAUUCAAACUUAUUCUCCUCUUCCAAAUAUUUUCUCUGAUACUGUUUUACUAUUUCCUUCUUUUUCUUCCAUUCUUGAAUCUACAUCUUUGCCAAUAUCAACAAUUCCUACUGUUUUCAUACCUUCUACGUCUCAUUGUCAUCCUAAUCGUGUUCGUAGGCCUCCUUUUUAUCUAGCAUAUUACUACUGCUAUUCUUGUUCCCACAGCACAUCUUCUACCUCACAUCCUCUCACACAUGUCCUUGAUUACACAAAAUUGUCAAAUUCAUAAAAAUAAAAAAAUGAAUAAAAGUUUGUGUUAUUUCCUAUAAUUUUGAACCCACCACAUACUUCAAGGCUGCUACUAUUCUAGAUUGGCAAGAUGCAAUGUCUGCUGAGUUAGGAGCUCUUGAACAAAAUGACACUUGGUCUUUAACUACUUUGCCACAAGGAAAACAUGCUAUUAGGUGCAAAUGGGUGUACAAAAAUAAGUAUAGAGUUGAUGGAACUAUUGAACAAUACAAAGCUCACCUUGUAGCUAAAGGCUGCACACAACAAGAGGGCAUAGACUAUCUAGGUACCUUCUCUCAUGUUUUCAAAUUGGUUACUGUUAAGGUUUUGCUUGCUUUGGCUACCAUUAAUGGUUGGAGCCUUCCUUAGAUGGAUGUCAAUAAUGUGUUCUUACAUGGUGAUCUUUUUAAGGAAGUUUAUAUGACUCUCCUAGUUAUCACCUGAAGGAAAAUCAUUAUCCUCACACUCUGUUUACAAAAUUCAAAAGUCUUUAUAUGGCUUGAAACAAGCAUACGACAAUGGUUUUCCAAACUCUCCAAUUUCUUACUUGUUGAAGGUUUUUAAACAUUCUAAUGCAAAUCACUCUCUUUUUGUCAAAGUUGUCAGUACUCACUUCAUUGCUCUGUUAGUUUAUAUGGAUGACAUUGUCAUUGUUAGUAAUAGUGAUGAGCGAGUUGAGAAAUUAAAAGUUCUAUUUAGGAAAGCUUAAAUACUUCUAAGGCCUUGAGGUGGUGAGGUCUAAUAAGGAAAUUUCCCUUAGUUAGCACCAUUAUGCCUUACAAUUACUAUCAGAUAUAGGCUAUGUUGGUUGUAAAUCAAGGAAAACACUUAUAAAUCCAAAUGUGAAGCUCACACAAGACAAAGGUGAUCUAUUAAAAGAUCUUUUAUUUUACAGAAGAAUGAUAGGCAAAUUGCUUUAUCUAACCGUAGCAAAUCCAGAUUUAUCAUUUUCAGUACAUAAAUUCAAUCAAUUUCUUGCAAAGCCCAGAGUUCUUCAUAUGUGGGCAAUACAACAUGUGCUUCAGUACUUGAAAGCAUGGUUUGAAAUAUUGGUAAACACGGAUAUAUCGAUACUUGGAUUUUAUGAAUAUGUUGGAAAUAUUGGUAAAAUAUCGGUAAAUAUUGGUAAAAUAUCGGUGGAUAUUUUGGCAAAAAUAUUGGUGAAACAAAAAUUAUUCAAAAUUCAUGGAAAUGUUUGGAAAACUCUAAAAAAAAUGAUAAAAUAAGCAAGAAUACAUAUGUUAAAGUUAUUGUAAGUGGAAUUGACAUAAAUAUGGUCAAUGAGAAAAAUAUGGAGGGAUAUAUCAAACUUAAUAAUUUAUUAUUUAUCUUAUCAAAUUAAUUUUAAUUUAUAAAAUAUUAGAACUUCAUUAUUUUUUUUAUUUUAGUAAUGUUUUGAAUACAUUUAUAUUUUUAAUAUUUGUAAAAUAAAAACAUUCAAAAUUAAAUAAAAUUAAAAGGAUAAACAUAAAAAAAGUGAACUGAUAGCAAUUUUUAAAAAUAAGAUUAAUGAGAUAAAUGAUGAUACAUUUAAUAUUAAAACUAUAAUUUAUUUAAUUCAAAUACAUUCAACAAUGUAAAAUAAAUUAUGAUGCAUAUAUAAUUUUUUUGAUAUUUAUAUUUUUUUUAUAUAAUUGUCAUAUAAAUGAUAUAAAAAAUAAAAUAAAAUAAAAGACUUGUUAAGAAAAUUAUAAUGAUGGUUUUAUACUUUUAUUAAAUAAUUAAAUAAAAUUUUAAAUAAAAUAAUUAGAAUUAAUUUAUUUAUUCUUUUAAUGAUGAAUUUUACCAUAUUUAUUGUGAACAUAUAUUUACAAAUGUGGACUUGGCCCAAUAGUAGUCAGGCUUCACCCAAGCCUUUUGGCCUAGGUUUGAAUCCCCUUGGAUGCAAUAGAAAAAAAUUUGAAGGAAUUUACCCGAAUAUCGACAUCUUUUCGAUGAAGUUGAUUGACUUUCGGUGUACAAUAUCAUGUCGACUCUCCCUGAUAUUUUGACGAUCAACUUUUAGUGUGGAAUAUUGUGUUAGCUCUCCCUGAUAAGCAAAAUAUCGACAAUAUUUCAUCAAAAUUUUGCAACAUUUUAGUGUGGAAUAUCAUGUCGACUCUCCCCAAUAUUUCAACAAUCGACUUUCAGUGUGGAAUAUCGUGUUAGCUCUCCCUGAUAAGCAAAAUAUCGACAAUAUUUCGCCAAAAUUUUGCAACAUUUCAAACCAUGCUUGAAAGUUAUGCAGGACAAGGUUUUUUUUUUUUUUUUUUCAUUAAUAGAGUUGAAAAGGUUUGUUGAUUCAAAUUGGGCAACUUGUGUGGUCUGUUAAUGAGUUUUGCUUUUUUUUAUUUAUUUAUUGUUGAUUCCUUAAUUUCCCAGAAAUAAAAAAGGCAGCAUACAGUUUCAAGAUCUUUUGUUGAAGUUGAGGACAAAUUUAUGGCAAAUGCAACAUGUGAAUUGAUGUGGUUACUUUCUUUAUUUAGAGAUUUGCAUGUAUCUCGUCCUAAGCCUGCCUUGCUAUUUUGCAACAAUCAAGCAACUCUUUAUAUUGUAGCUAAUCCAAUUUUUCACAAGCACACUAAGCACAUUAAGAUCGAUUAUCACUUGGUUAGAAAGAAACUGCAAAAUGGAAGCUUGAAGACACUACAUAUUUCAUCUAAACAUCAAGUGAGAGACUUGUUGACCAAACCUUUUUCUUCACCUCAAUUUCUUUUUCUUCUUAGUAAAAUCGAAAUUCACAAUAUUCAUUCUCCAUUUUGAGGGGGAGUAUUAGAAUAUUUGGGUAUCUUGCAGUAUGGUUACAAGUUAAGUAAAGAAUUGUUAGUUUGUUAAAUAAUUGUUAGCUUUUUUUUUUUUUUUUUUUUUGCAACUAGAUGUGUCUAUUCAAUAACUUCAUAUGGUUAUAGUUAAUUAAAGAAUCCUUUACGUAUUAACUGUUAAAAUAAUUUGUUUCCAACUUUCCUAUUAAAUUUUCUUCUGCUCAAGAUUUCAAAAAUUAUAGUUCAAGAAAGCUCUUUCGAUUUCUAUGUUGCACUGUAUCUUCUUAUAUGUUAGUACAAAUCAUACUCCUCUUUUUACCUCUUCAAUGAAUCCUUUUAGGAGUAAGACCACCAAGUGAGCACCCUUAUAUUGAUCCACAAGCUUUUUAUUACAUAUUUUUUGUUUGUGCACACCACCUCAAAUUUAAGUGGCCCAUAAAUUUUAUACUUUGGAUACCUUACCAUCCAAUCAUAAGCAUAAACUAAAUUUGAAAGGAUAAGAUUAGUUUAUUUUAGAGAAAUUGAGCUCCAAGUCCCCUAGCCAAACAUGAAGUUUUGAAGCAUGAAAUUUUUGUGAUGGGACAUAAUUGCAAUCCUUAUUAAAUUGAUCAAUUGUGUUAUGCCAAGAAUGCAAAUUAUGCAUGGCAAAGUGGUUAGAAAGUGUACAAAUGCACCAUCUUUUUACUUGUUUGUUUACUCAAAUUUCUCGGUCAAUUUUUUUUUUUCAUUCUUAUCCCUCUUGAUUGAGGCAAACAUGUUUUGGCUAGUGCUCUCAAAUUCCUUAAAUAUAUUCUUUUCAAUAUUGUAAACAUUUGGCUUGGUCAUUGUUAUAGUUAUCAAUUGUGUCAACUUUUACUUUCUCUCAUCCCCAAUUACAUAUGCACUUUGUAGCUUUAAUUUUUUUUUAGUGAUUAAUCUUAGUUUUUAUCUAAUUGUUUGCCUUAUAGUCUUUGACAUAACUAUAAGUGUAACAUGUACCUCUCACAAACCAAAAGACAUCACUUGUCUUCUUUAAUUUAAACAUUUUUGCAUCUGUGUAAGAUCUGAAACUAGAAUUUCACAACAUCGCGUAGUCAUUUUCUCUAGUUGUUUCUCAAAGCUCUCUUCAAGAUUUAGUUCAUGUUCAAUUACCAACUUUGAGUUUUCACUUUUUUUUUUUCCCAUGAGUCAUGAGGAAAUGAAUUUCAACUGUGUUUCAUCUAUCCAUCUCUCUUAAAUUGUUUUAUUCGAUAGUUACCAAUUGUAGAAUUGUUUUUAUAUAUUCUUUUCAUAGAUAUUGUUAAUAAAUUAUGCUAAAUGAGUAGCUUCCUGAUGUGGUGAGAGCUAAUUUUGUUAUUGCUAGGAUAAUAUCUUUUUAACUUUCUUAACUUUUUCCGAAUUAUAAACCACUCAUGCUUUGACCAAUCUCCAUGUGUUUUUCAUUUGUUUGGAUUUAUGGGCUUUUGAUUCUAUUUGGUGAAUAGAUAAUAAGGAAUUAAGGAUCUGAGAUUGACAUUACUUUAAGGAUGUUUGAAGAUGACAUAGUGAAGCAUAGAAUAUUUUUUUGGGUUGUAUCUCCUCAUUUCCCAUACUUAUGGUGGACAUUGAUGAGUUGGAUUAUUUGAAUGAAAUGAGCUUUGGAAAAAUACUAGUAAUUACAUGAAUUGUUGCAAUAUAUUUGAGUGAAAAUAUUAUGUUAGUGUCUCUCCAUGUCACUAAUUCAAACCUGUUACUUUCCAUUGUAAGUGGUAGAAAUAUAUUUUUUAUUUUCUAGAAAACAUUACUCUAACUUGUGAAAAAGGUUCUUAUGCCUCCAUAUUAAAUGUUAUAUGAUGGAAAAAAAACUUGAAUCUCUCUGUUUCCUCAGUCUGGAUCAGGUUAGGAAUAUGCAUAACUAUCCUAGGCUUUUUCUAAAUUCUAUGCACAACAAAAAAAUUAAUUUUUUUUAUACUUUAUAAGGAUCUAGAAAGUGCUAACGAAAACUAUACCUCAAAUUCGGAUGCUCCCGAGUCUUCCGCUCGAUGACUCAAACCUUGAUCUUGGCACACUUCUAAUGGGGAGGAAAUGAGGGUGGAGGCUAUAGUUUUCUCUCUCUCUGGAUGGUGGACGAUAAAAGCUAUGGAACCCCUAACCUCUAGGGGGUAUUUAUAGGGUUCCUAAGUGGGCUUAAGUGACUUGAGCCCAUACAGGCUUGGGUCACUUAAUCUAACCCAAAAUGAGUUCUAACUGAUUAAUUAACCCAAUAAGGCUUACUAAUUAAUCAAUUAGCCCAAUCAAGAGACCUUGUUCACUUACCCCUAUACAACCUUGCGUAAUUAUCAAAAUGCCCUUAUGCACAGAAGUGAACUUAGAGUCAAUUCAACCCUCAUAACCCAUGCCAACAAGGUAUAUGAGUUCAAAGUGGGGACCAUUGGGACCCAUAGAAAUACUGACUCCCUCAAAAUCAAAUUCUAAAGUUGAUUCAAUAUCACACUAUAGAGAAUCAACUAAACUCCAAUAUCUUAUGUAAAUAACAACGAGACACUAAGUGAUCGGGUCUGUGACUUGCUAUCCAUUGUGUUCAGUCUCCCCAUGAACUAAUGUCCGUAGUUUAAUAAGGUGAAAGCUAUUAGUCUUUCAAGACUACCUCUACCUUCUAUUUUGUGUUCAAUUGACAUAUCUUAGCUCUCAAAGAGCCUAUGUCAAGUUCCAUUUAAUGAACUACAUGACCAUAGUUUCCAUGAACACACCUCCUUAAGAUCACCCAAGGGGACACACUAUCUCAAUCCUAAGAGAUAUCAUAGUGCCUCUAUUGAAAAUACCUAUUACUACCAGCUUCUAUCAACAAUGACCCAAUCCAUACGGAAUAUAUGAUCAGCUUACGAUUUCACCUGUAGGUCAAAGUCAUUGCCAACUUUAGCACAAGCUUAAUAUUCUCUCAAGGUUGAGAGACAACACAAUGAAACAGCUUGGUGAGGUCAUGACUCAAUAAUAGCCUUAAGUCAUGACUCACCAUAAGUCUUGUCCAAUGUGUAACCAUACAUACUAGUGCACUCACCAUGGGAAACCCAUCCUGAUAACCAAGACCAGUGAUCCCUCCAAUUAGGAGGUGGUGCACUACAACCUUUAAUGGGUUGCCUAGACCCAUGAACCAAUUGUAAACAAGUCAUCUAUUUGCAAGGAACCCAUGACUUAGAUCUUCUGUGCAACUCCUAAUGCACCUAAGUCACGUACAAUACAAAAAAUGCAGACAAGAAUGCUCAUAAAGUAUAAUAUAUGGAAUAAGAAUAGAUAAAAGUGAAACUGGAACAUCAUUAAAUAAAUAAUGAAUUCCAAAUUUAUUACAUCAUGUCAUGAUUUUAAGUGCUUUAUCCUAACAUUAUAUAUUUGAGAUAAACAUGAUAUAAUGAGAUUUAUGUUUCUUUGUUAUAAUAUUUCAAUAAGUAAUUGUGUUUUAAUUUUAAUAAACUAUGCAUGCAUGAAACAAUUCAAGUAUCAUUAGCAUCAUUGGUAUCAUUGUGAGACAAAAGUUUCUCUUAUUACAUACUAAAGAGAUUUAAGUUAUCAAAAAGUGAAAACGGUUUUAUCUAGGCUAGUUUCAAGUUGACAACUUUUAAAUUGUUUAUCAUGUGAUAAAGAACUUUUCCCUACAAAUGAUACUUGAAUUGUAUAAUUAGACAGUGUAGGAAAACAUAAUAUCUAUGAAGUUAACUGUUUAUUCUUAAUUCAAUUUUUAGAAAUUUUGGUAGUCUUUCCUCUUAUUCUCUGGGUGCAUAUUUGGAUAAAGUUGCAUAGUAUGCCUUGUCCAUUUUACAUACUUAGAGAACUAUAAGGAAAUUCUACUAAAACUUCUUUAAAAUGAAAUUGACCACAUUGGUCAUUGACACAUAGAGAUUAUGUAUUUCUAUAUGGGAUAGGAACUACUACCGAAUUUAGGAUGUUGGAGAUGUUAGAAUGCAUAAAACAUGCAUCAAAAUUUGACAUACUCAAAUGAUUUUCUUUAUUUAGUAAAUUAGUAUAGAUAAUGUUUGAUGCAAAGGUCAUGGACAAACCCAAUAUAAUAAUAUUAAUAUGCACUAGUUUUAUUGAGGUUAUACAUCCCUUUUAAUGCAAGUAUUCAUGGUCAACAACAUUUAUAACUUAUUAGUCACUACUACAAAUAAGAUAUACCAUGACCUUGUUUUUUCCUUGGCACUUUUAAAAAUGUUAAUAAUUAGCGUGAUAUUUCAAAAGUGUAGAUCUAUGUUCAUAGAUCAAAAUGGUUAGAACAAUGCUUACUUUUUUUCUUUUAAAUUUGGCAUCUUAAAGAAAUGUUGAACUACACUUUCUUGAUUAUUAUUUGAACAAAAAAAAAAGGUUGUUAAACGAAUAGCAUAGAAAAUGUUGCUAUUUUCUUCAAUUUGAAGUUUGAUCACUAUUGAAAGUUUGUUCUUAAAAAAUGGAUCAUUUGUGGAUUUCAAAGGAUAGAGGACUAAAGGAGUAUGGGGAUGGGGUAGAACAUUUUUAUCACAUUUGCAAUAUAAAAUUCUGCAUAUAAAAACUCCAUUAAAUGUCCAUGCUUGUAGAGUGGUAAUAUGAUAUUUCAUACUCCUCAAAGAUUUCCUCAAAGAUUUCCUCAAAAUAUUAGAGAGCAUAUGUUUUUCUAUAGAAUUAAUCAGAAUUACCAUAUAUGUUAUUGGCAUGGGGAAGCAACUCCAAGUGAACCACCAACUAGAAGGGUAGAACAUUAUAAUAUGGUUCAAUUUAAUGAUGUAGAUAGUACAAUAGAAAUGGUUGAAGUUGUACAAGUUGAAUGUCAAAAUGACCUAAAAUUGCUUGAAAGAUUACUUCAAAUUGUUGAAAAACCUUUUAUAUCCUAGUUGUAGAAAAUUCACACAAUUGUUUGCAUUGGUUAAAUUAUACAACUUGAAAACACACUAUGAGUGGUCUGAUAAAAGCUUUUCAGAGCUUUUAAAAAUGCUUAGAUAUAUGUUGCCUCUAAAUAAUGAGUUACCCUUGUCUAUGUAUGAGACAAAAAUGGCAUUGAAUACAUUAGGAAUGGAAUAAGAAAAAAUACACGCAUGCCCCAUGAUUGUAUACUUUACAGGAAUAAGUUGAAAGAUGCAUUUCAUGUCCUAUCUAUGGAACUUCAAGGUGAAAGGUAGAUAAUAUAGGAACUAAAAAAAUGACAGGAACUCCUGGGAAAGUAAUGUGGUAUUUUCCUCCAAUUCCAAGAUUUAGAAGAAGGUUUCAAUCAUAAAAAAUCGUAAAAGACCUCAUAUGGCAUACCUAAGGAAGAGAUUUAGAUGACAAAAUGUGUUAUCCAGCUGACUCUCUAUCAUAGCUAAUUGAUCAUAAAUGGCCCAACUUUGUUUCAAAACCUAGAAACUUGAGACUUCCCAUUUUAGCAGAUGGUAUAAAAUCCUCACAAUUCAUUGAUUAGCAAAUAUAGUUGUUUGUCCUAAAGAGCUCGAAGCAGCAACUAUGGACAAUGUUUUUUUUAUCAUAAAGAGUAAGUUAUGGGCAACACUAUGGCUGUAAAUAGAGGUAAAACCUUUAACUUGUUUUUAGUUUGAUUUUUCUUUUCUUUCAUAAUGGAAAUAGAAAAUCAUCUAAACAAAUAGGACCUUAAUAAUUUUUUUUUUCUACAAUUUAUUUUUGAAUAAAAUAAUUUAAAAGAUUCCAUUCUUAUAUUUGUUAGACUUUUUUUUAAUGAAGAAAAAAAUAGUCUCCCUUUUAGCAUAUAUAUUAUAUAUGAUUAACAAUGGGUAUAAUAAAAUUUAUUUAAUAAAUAAUUGAUGUGACAUUCUAAAUUGAAAGUCAUAAAUUAGCUCAUUAGUUUGAUGUUGGCCCUAAAACUACAAGACUUGAUUACAUACUUAGAUUUUAUUCUUGAAAUUUAAGAGAUAAUUGAUGUGACAUCUUGAAUUGAAAGUCAUAAAUUAGCUUAUUAGUUUUAUGUUGGCACUAAAACUACAAAACCCAAUUACAUAAAUUUUGUUCUUGAGAAAUGUCAUUAUGGUUCAUAGUAAGGCUUAGUUUGGUGUGUUAGACCAUGCAUGCAUGAUAUCUCUUCACAUUCUCUUGUUUUUUGACAAACAUGCUACCAUACUUAAGGUGUUUGUCAAGGCUCAUCUUGGACUACUCAAAACUUUGGGGUCCUUUCUUUGAGUUCACAAGCUUCUUUCCCCUAGUGUCAACCCCAACUCCCAAAAUCCACUCCUUAGUAGUGCACUGACGAAAUCUACAAAUGCACUAUAAAGUGAGAAUGGCAUCAUGAAAAUGUAUUAAUGCAUCGUAGAUGUGGGAACUUAAAAAUAUAUAUAUAUAUAUAUAUAUAUAUCUAGAGUUUAGACUUGUUUCUAUUAAUUAGAAAUUACUAAGCAAUGAAUCUUGCUAGUGUGGAAAGUACCAAUAGAUUGACCAAGGAAGGUAUAUGUAAAAAAGAUUGACAUUGUCAAUUGGAAAAAUUCCUUUACAAACGUCAACCCUAUCUUCCUAACCAUCAUGGAUGUUGAGAAGUAGAUAUCGAUGACUAUGAUGAGGAUCACAAAGGAUUAUCAUACCAAGGAGUUAGACAUUUGUUGGGUUAUCAACAAUUUUAAUGAGGGUGGUAUUAACUAUUUGGUUGUUGAUAGUGUAUUGCGUAGUUCCACCAAGCCAAUCUGCUCCUGCAUUGAGAUCAAUCUCGAUGAAAAGGUAGCAUAUAUUUUUCAUUUCCUAAUUCUAUCAAUUGCUUCAUGGUGCCUUUGUCUAAUAAGCUUAACAGGUUCUUCUACAUUUUCACCAUUUAAUUCUCUAACGUUCAUCAUGAUAGGGUUGAAAUUUCAUCAUCAAAUCAAAACAUAUCCUCCUAUAAGAGGCCUUUGAAUUCUGAAAUAAUCAAUUCACUUUAUUCUCAUAUUGGCAAAGACAAGCUUACACUAUUGGAAAGACUACCCCUAACCUUUGCCCUCCCAAAUAGCAAAGAUGAGAGAGAACCUUUCACAAAAUCACAAGAAUUAUUCAAGUUUGGAAUUCAUAGGCAUUGUUAUUGAAUUUCAUUUGUAUAAAAUUGGUGUGUUGUGUUUAUUUUGUUGGUAUUAAAAUUGAAUUUUUUUUAAUUGCAAAUUGAUGAUUUUUUUUCUCUCUCACAUUUAUACCCAUUAGAGUUUCUUAUUAGGGUUUGUGUUUGAAAUUUGGAGAAAGUAUGGUGCAAUUGUUCAUCGGUGUGGUGUACCAUUUUGUUUGUUGUAUCUAAUAUUUGGGUAUUUGAUUUAAUUUUAUUGUUGUUGAAAUUGAAAGUUGAAAUCCAAGUUAAUUGUUUAACUAGCUAUUUGUAGUUGACUUGUUUUGCACCAAUCUUGAUUACCCAUUUCAUGGGAAUAAUCGAUUCCAAUUUUCCUUCAUGGUUACUAAAAAUAUAUUGUAGGUGAAGGACUAUUAUGGAGUAUAUUAAUUCACAAGAAAAAUGUUCCUUUAGUUAGUAAAAACUUCAUUCAUGUGGUCAUUUAUGAGCAUCAUAAUAAUCCAUAUUAAAAAUAUUUAAAAACAUUAAUGCACUAAAACAUUGAUUUCAUCAACAAAAAUACACUCAUUCUUUUGACUUAUAGCAUUCAAAGAUGUUUAAAAAUAUAUAUGUACAAUAAAACAUCAUCGAAUUUAUUAACAAUUAAACUUUUAACCCCAAAACAAUCCGUUACUUUAGUAGAUAAGACACUAUUGGAAUAACAUUAUUUUUAGCUCAAGUUAGAAGUUAAAAUGAUAAGGUUAAAAGAACAAAACCAACAAAAAAAAAAAGUUAUUUUUUGUCAAACUUGACACUAGUACAAUUUAAAUAAUGUAGCUCAAUGCCCUAUUGAAUUGAGUCAUAUAACUAGACUCCCUAAUUAUAUAUUAUGAUACACACACAACCUUUGGUCUAGUAUACAUGAUUAAAUUAAAUGCCAACCUAGUUUGCAAAGCUAAACUGGAAUCCCAAAUCUAGUUCAUUAUAAAUACUCUUCAACCAACUUGCUACAACAUUCAAAUAAGACAAUGACAAUGAUAGAAAACCAAAAAAAUACCUAAUAUAUCAUUGAAAACUCCUUCCUAAAGGAGGUAAAAAAAAUCAUGAAGUAACUUUCUUCUAUUAAUAAAAAUGGGAAUACAAUGAUCUAUAUAGUGUUUUAACUCGAAACUGAUGGUAUUACAAAUAUUAAAGAAGAAAUUUAAAACACACACACACACACACACAACAAGCAUGUUGUCAAGCUUAUAAGAGUUGGAGAAAUUUCUCCAUAUAAAUCUUCAAAACAUGAUGGAGAGUAACCUUGACAUUUAAGUCAAUAAUAUACAAGGAAAGACAACCCAAAAAGAUACAACUUUGAGAACAAACUCUCCUUUUUGCUUUUUUACAUAACCUUUUUUUUUUUUUUUUCCUUUUUGAAAACUUCUCUCCUUUCCUCUAAUUGUUACACCAUACAACAAUCCUAAAAAAACAGAGUUUAAAGGCUUGUUUGAUAACUGUUUUUAAAAAUAAUUUUGAAAAAUAGUUUUUGAAAAUUAUUCUCUAAUGUUUAAUUUGUAGAACAAAAGUUUGUUUGGAAACCCAAAAUAUUUUUAACAUGUUUUUAAUGUUGUUAAAUAUGUUUUAAAAAUAAUUUUUAUGUUUAGUAUUUUAUUUUUAAUCAUUUUAUAUGUUUAUAUAAUUAUUUUUUAAGGCAAACCUUAAAAAAUAAGUGAAAAUAACAUAAAACACUUAAAAGAUAUUAUCUGAAAACACCUUAUUUUAUUGUAACAGAAAAUAAAAAGCGGUUUUUGGUUGUCAAACAUGUUUUCUUAAUUUUUUAUUUUGAAGAAUAGAAAUUUGUUCUUGAAAAUAUCUAGUUAUCACAUUAGUUAUUGCCCAUUUUAUGAUUUUAAUUAUUGCUUAAAAACUAGUUUUUCAGCUAAAAAAGAAGGUCCACUACUUAUGGGUCAAACCUUCAACUUUCAAACCCGAACACAAAGUUAUAGUCAAGACUAAUAUUCACAUAUUAGUAUUAAUAUAGUUCAUUAAAUAUGAAUUUCUAUUGAAGCCAAAAUCGAGUUUUUAGGGGAAGUAACAUUCACUUUCAAUUAAGCAAUUUUUAACUCAUAAGUUAGUACUUGUAACAAAAUUUCUUAAUAGAGACUUUAAUUGAGUUUUAAGAAGAAUUUUUUGUUUGUUAAAAACCAAUUCAAACAAAAUCUAAAACUAAUAUUAUUAUCUAAAAGACAUAAUGAACAACAUAAACCAUAAACCAAAGUGGUAGUGACAACCAAUAUGUAGCGUCAAUGAAUAAUUGAAAAUAACCUCAUUUUCUAAUGACCUCGAACCUAGAAGCUCUAAAAUUCUUGCCUAAUUCCUUGUGAUGACUUUGGUUCAACCUUAAUGGCGAGGGCAAAAUUCUAAAUAAUUUUUGUCACAACUCAUAAAUUUAGAAGAAAAAAAUGAGAAUAAAUGGAAUCCCUAAUGAGAAAUUGUUAUUUUUCCCCUUUAUGACAAAAAUAGUAACCUACUAGUAUUAUUAAAUAACAUGGAAAUUAUUAUUUCAACUUUAAUACCAUGUAUGACAUAACUUUAACAACCUUAAUUUAUAAGAUUAUUUAAUUUAAAAGGAUAAAACAAUUACAUAUUCAUAAGAAUCGCUUCUAUUUUUUAAAAACAAUAAAUUCCAUUUUUUGGACAAAAAUACCCUCCAUUGUUUUUAUCAACAUUUCACAAUCAAACACUUAUUGGAAAAAAAAAAGUAUAAGGGUAGCUAUAUUAAAAUGAGGUUAUAAUUAUAAUACUCAAUAAGUGGAGAUUUUUUUUCCAAAUAUUGGGAUCAUCUUCUCCAUUUGACACAAAUAUUUAUAAUUUAUAUUAUAAUUACUCUUAUAGUAAGAGAGAAAGAGUAAUUUCACAUGAAAUGGACCCAUAAACAUAGAUUUAUUAUGAGGCAUGAUACUAUAAUAAUAAUAGGAAAUAAGACGAGACGUGAUACCAUAAUAAUAGAAAAUAAGAUAAGUAAUUCAAUACUUAAUGAAGGUCUGAAAUAAUUAUGUUUCUCAUUAAAUGAUAUUAAAGACGAAAAAAAACUUAUUAAUUUUUAUUUUAAGUAUUAAGAUUAUUUAAUAAAAUUAACUUAAAAUUUAUUUUAAAUUAUCAAAUUGAUAUAUUUAUUUUCAUAGAUUAUAACUAAGGUAAAUGAAAUCAAGUAAUAAUGGAUGUCAUGUAGUGAAAGAGAUCCUAGAGGCAACGGGACAAAUUGUGGUAAAAAAUGUCAAAUAAAAAUACGAACUUAAGAACAAAUUAAUUGUUUGUACUUAUUACUUAAAGUUGUUAUUUAUUUUAUAUUAUUAAAUUAUUUUACUAAAUAUGCUUAAUUUAUUUAAUGACUUAAAUUAAUUUAUUAGUCACUUUAGGCUAUUAAAUCGGGUUUACCAAUCAUAUCGAAUACAUUUGGCUAGUAGGCCAAGACUCAAGAAUAUUGCUAUCAUAUGUUUUAUGUAUUAAGGUGCCAAGAAUAAUUCACCACAAAAUAUAUGAUGAGUUGAUAAGUAUAGGAUACAAUCUAAAAUAUGCACUUGAUUUCAUCAUCUAAAUAAAUGCUCUCGGCAAAUGGAUCAUCCUAGCUGAUACCAGAGCACAAGCCGCCAUGGACAGGAGGCAACGGAGAAACCCUUCUGCUUCUUCUUCUGCCUUUUCAUCUCCAGCUUCAUCCUCAUCGCGUUUCCGCUCAGAGAAAUUCUCCUCGAAUCCCCCAAAAACUAGUAACUCCCUGGAGGAUGCUCACCAAUUGAAAAGCAAAUGUGGGAAGCCACAAAGACCAAAGCAAGAGGAGGAAGGAGAGCAAGAUCCGAACAAUCUUCUCUCCUUAGUUGGAACUUGCCCAUUCAUGUGCCCUGGUAAAAAUGCGUGCUUAUUUUUCCAUUUUUUUAAAAUUCUAUUUUCCUGUUAUUCUGUGUUUGGUUUCCGAGAAAUUGGAGGAAAACAGUAGAAAAGAGAAGUGAAUCUGGAGUUUCUGUGUCAUUUUUGUGGCUUUUACAUAAAUUUUACAAAUAAAAUUGAUAUUUCUCCCCCUUUAUUAGAUACCAAUCUGCAGAAGAUGUAGGAAUCCCAAAAAAAAAUUCGCUUUUGCCUUUACUUCCCCCAAAUCUUUCAUAAUGGAAAAUGGACUUACCACCUCUUUUAUCACUUUUCCUUUACCAUGUCAGGUUUACAUGUAAUCAAACACUGUAUUUGGAGUAGGGCACUUAUUCUAAUGUCAAAUGGUGUUGAAAACUUGAAUUACUGGAUCUUAAGACUCCAGAAGAAAUUUGAUUGUUUAUGAUUAUUGCUCCAUGAGAAGGGAAAGGGAUUUCUUUUGUUUUUGCUCACAUAUAUGGCCAAAUUGAUUUAUCUCCUUCUCAUACGAACAAAAUAAGGACAUUUCUUGUCUUGCUGCCUUUUAUGCCACCGGUUCCACAUGCUGAUGUGACAACCCUUUUGCUAUUCUGUACAAAUGGUAGGAAAAUUCUGGUAAGACUGGUGGCCAGCCUAUCAUGUUCAGGGAAUAAAUUCAUUGUAUAUCUGGAAUUCACUCUAUAUCAGCAUAGGGUGUUGAUACUGAUUAUAAAUGACAAAUUCAAUUUAUUAUCCUUACAUUAGGGAGUGCUAAAAGGAUGCAAAUUGUUCAUGUUAUACCCAAAGACAUACAAGUGAUGCUAGAGAUUUUCACAAUGUGGAUAAUCAUAGAGUAGAGAUGAACACUAUGGAGUCUUUUGGCAUGUGUUCAUUCCAUGUACGGGAACAUGCAUUGGAAGAUUAUGUUUCCUCCUCCCUUCCCCUCCCCAAAGUUAAUACUAUGUUGUCAUGGCAAGAACUUUGGUGACAUGCUUCUGAGUGGAAUAGCCUCCUAGAAGUCCAUUUAUGUGGCAGUUGGCAAGUUCUUCCGGUCAAUGAGAACUUUGUGACUGUCUGAUUGUUGUACUAAUCAUCAUCAGAUUUUUUUUUAAGUUCAAGUUGUAAAUAGCCUUUCACAGUUGAAGGUAGCGAUGAAGAGGCCUGUUGACAUAAUUAUUUCUUCUGCUUGAAUGGAUUAAAAUCAGAUACCACACCUUCAGCCUAGAAAACUAUGGACUUUCCUAUGUACCUGCAAUUGGCUGAAUACUGGUGUGGCACUGACUAAAGGCUCUCUGAUGCUGUUAUUAAUUUCCUGAGCAAAUUAGAGAAAACAGAGAGGUCAUAAUGUGAAUCAGUUACCUCUUGAGUAGGGAUGAAGGCUUUUUAUAACUUUUUACUUUCUGGUUAGGCCUUGGAAGCACUUCUGUGAACCAUGAUUUUGUACUGUAAAAUUAGAUGGGAUGGAUAGGUCACCUUAACUCUACUUUUGGAAGUGAUUGGGGAGCGCAUGACUGUAUGAAUAUUGAUGUGUUCUCCCCAUACAGAGCCCAACUUCUUUUUGAACUAGGAAGCAUGAAGGGUGGGUGGAUGUGGGCUGAGGAAGGAAGAUUUGACUUGUGUGCCGCAGGCCUGCGGUACCAAUUUGUUCCAGAACUUGAUAAGGCCCAUAAACUGGUAGGCAAGUUUCAUUAUUUGGUCACCACUGAAUUUUGGCAGUAUGGCCACAAGGAAGGUAGGAAGGAGAGGGAGAAGAGAAAACCCCAAUUGCCAAUUGCAAGCUUCCGGUUGGCACAGUGCUCAUUGCUGACAUUUUCAUUUGAUUUUGACCUUGCAACAGAUACAGCUUAACAUGAUGGACCAGUUUUUCACAAUCUUGUGAUUCAUUACCCAACUUCUAGUAACAGUUUCUCAGCAGAUGACUCACCUAUGACAGGCUGAUGAUGUCUGCACACAACUUGAAAGGUAUUCAUGCCAAGGUGUGAAAGGUAAUAUUGUGACACCAUUUUGCCUAUUCCAGAAAAUGUAACAAAUGUAUGGCUGGUUCUUGACCUAAAAAUGCUGGCAUUGGUCACCAAGUGCUAGGGUGAUUCUUGACAAAAAAUGUUCGUAUUGUUCAGAACAAUGAUUUACAACUUCAGAUUGGCCAUCCAGUUAACGAUGAUAAUCACUUGUUUUACAAAGUUCAGUGUCAUAAAAGCAAAAUAAUUUUGUCAACAAAUAUGCGGAUAACUUUAUCAUAAUUACUACUUAUGGAAGUUAAGGAUAAGUUGGGUAAUGUGAGAAAGUUUUGGUCAGAGGAUAUGAGGAUAAAUUUGUUGCAAUUGCUAAGCUUCACCUCCUAGGACUACUAGGAGAAACGUAUGAGCAAUAGAACAAAUUUACAGUCCAUCCCCAUUAGCUGCAUGGAGAGGUUGGGCUUAUUGCUGCUAUGGUGGAGGUCACCUUCUUGUAGACUUUGAAAUCUGCGAAUGAAGAGGCAGAUUUCUUAGAGGAAUUGGUAGGACUCCAAGCCCCCCAAAUGACAGGGGGGUGGGGAGGAUGGGGGUGGUGGGGGGCCAUUUCUAAUUUCAUGUCUUCUCAAUGUGGAUUUGAGGUUUAACGAGAUUUUUGGGAAAUCAUUAAGGUUAAAAGUAAUUGAAAGAGUGUGUCUGUGGAGAGCAAGAGGGGGAAAUGUUUGGUUCCCAACUGGGGUUGCUUCAUCUGACCGUUAAUCUCACAGCAAACACCGACGGAGCGUUGUUGUUGGAGGCUUCCAGGUUCUCUGAUCAAUUCUCUUGUUCUUUGUUUUCUUUGGGGAAGCGGGAAACCUCUCUUUCUUCUAUUCCUUCUGGGCGGGAUGGGGAAGGUGUUGCCAUUGCCAGGGUUUCCGAUCAGGGCAGUGGUUUAGAAGCCGUAGGGGGAGCUGUUAUGGGCCCGUUAAGGAUGAUAUUGGCGGAUGGGAGGGAGGCCGAGGUCUCAAAUUUGGCGGGUAGGGAGUUUGGGACUUUCGAGGAGGCGUCAGAGGGGGUUUCGAAAAGGGUCUCCCAAGAGGAUGAAGAAGAGAGGGACAAAGAGGGGGAACUGUGUUGGCAUUCUAGUAGCUUGGCUAAGUUCAGCCGCUAUCUUGGAAUGCCGAUGGAGGGCUUCGAAGGGGAAAUUUUGUUUUUGCUUAAAAGAAUGAAAGAGAAGAAACUUCAAAAAGGAAAGUUGAAUGGCAGAAAAAGGAAAAAAUUGGAGUCAUCAAAAUUCGAAAUAGAAUUGAGAAAGUUGGAAUGGACAGUGAAUUAUCUUGGAGGAGGAGGAGGAGAGGGGGGGGAAGUACGAGCAGGUCUAAAUGAAGCUCCGACUGCUCACUUGGAAUGUAAGAGUGACCAAUAAUUGUGAUAAGAGGAAGGUGAUCAAAGCGUUGAUAAAGAAGAAUAGGGUGGAUCUGGUUUGCCUAUAGGAAACCAAGAUUUAGGAAAUGUCAAUGGGCAUUAUCCGUAGCUAAGGAGUGGGAAGAUUCCUUGAAUGGGGAGCUGUAGAUUCAAGGGCACAGCUGGAGGUAUAGUGGUGUUUUGGGAUAACAGGGUGUUGGAUUUGGUUGACCUUCAAAAAGGAUUGUUCUCUAUUUCUUGCACUUUUAAGAGUUGCGAGGACGGUUUCAUAUGGACGUUUACAAGGGUUUAUGGCCCAACAUUGAGGAGGAAUAGGGAGAGUUUUUGGGAGGAGUUGGGGGCCAUUAAGGGGCUUUGGAAUGGGCCGUGGUGUGUUGUAGGGGAUUUUAAUGCCAUUCUAAGUCCGGAAGAGCGCAACAGAGGAGGGAGCUUGAAUUCAAACAUGAGAAGGUUCUCAGAAGUUAUAGAAGAUCCAGAGUUAAAGGAUCUGCCUAUGGUUGGGGGUCCUUUUACUUGGAUUGGAGGGGUGAAUAACCAGUCUUUUUCAAGGCUGGAUCGUUUUUUGGUUAAUGAGGGGUGGGACAGUCAUUUUGGUGAUGCGAGGCAGUUUGUUCUACCAAGACCUGUGUCCGAUCACUUUCCGGUUCUUCUGGACGGAGGGGGCCUGAGAAGAGGCCCUUCCCCAUUUAGAUUUGAGAAUAUGUGGCUGAAACUGGAAGGUGUUAAGGACCUUUUGAAGCAUUGGUGGGAGGAAGGUAGCUUCAGUGGAUCCCCAAGUUUUAUCUUGGCCGAAAAACUAAAAUUUAUGAAGGCUAAGCUGAAGAAGUGGAACAGAAACACAUUUGGUAGGGUUGAAUAUAGAAAGAAUUUGGCUUUGGAGCAGGUGGAGUUUUGGGAUACCAAGGAGAAAAUUAGCAGACUGUUGUUGGAAGAGCUGGAAGCUAGAAAAGAAGCGAGGGAAGAUUAUAAAAAAUGGGUCUUACUUGAAGAAAUCACGUGGAGGCAAAAAUCUAGGGAAGUGUGGCUGAAAGAAGGGGAUAGAAAUACCGGUUUUUUCCACAAGAUGGCCAAUGCUCACAGGAGGAGGAAUAAUGUGGACAGAAUUAAGAUUAAUGGAGCCUAGCUUACAUAGGAGAAUGGAAUUAGGGAAGGGAUUGCCAAUGCUUUUAGGUUGUUGUUGUCCAAUCCGGGGGAAUGGCGCCCUUCUAUUUUCGAGCUGCAGUUUGAGACUUUGGAGCCUUUGGACGCUAGUGCCUUGGAGAUUCAUUUUUCGGAAGAGGAGGUCUUCGAUGCACUAUUGGGCUGUAAUGGGGAUAAAGCCCCGGGGCCAGAUGGAUUCUCUAUGACCUUUUGGCAAUUUGCUUGGGAUUUCGUGAAGGCUGAUGUGAUGUGUUUCUUCAAGGAGUUCAAUGAAAAUGGCAAAUUUGUUAAAAGCCUAAAUGCAACUUUUAUGGUCCUAAUCCCAAAAAAAGCAGGGGUUGAAGCCUUAGGGGAUUUUAGGCCUAUAAGCUUGGUGGGAAGCUUGUACAAGUGGCUGGCCAAGGUCUUAGCUAAUAGGCUAAAAAAGGUGGUUGGAAAGGUGGUCUCCAAGGCUCAAGGGGCGUUUGUGGAAGGUAGACAAAUCCUAGAUGCAGUGUUGAUAGCUAAUGAAGCCAUUGAUUUGGUUCUCAAGAAUAAUGAGAAUGGCAUUCUGUGCAAACUGGAUAUAGAGAAGGCGUAUGAUAACAUGGACUGGACUUUUAUUCUCACAGUUAUGCAGAAAAUGGGUUUUGGGGAAAAAUGGAUCAGGUGGAUUAAGUGGUGUAUAUCCACUGCAGGUUUCUCCGUGUUGGUCAAUGAAACCCCUACGGGUUUCUUCCAAAGCUCCAAGGGUUUGAGACAGGGUGAUCCCCUUUCCCCUUAUCUCUUUGUGAUAGUUAUGGAGGUCUUUAGUGCUUUUCUUAAAAGGGCUGUAGAGGGAGGUUUCUUAUCGGGUUGUAGGGUGAAGGGUAGGAGUGAAGAAGGGGUCCUAAUUUCCCACUUGUUGUUUGCUGAUGAUACACUGGUGUUCUGUAAACCUUCACAAGAUCAAUUGACUUAUCUCAGUUGGUUACUUAUGUGGUUUGAGGCCGUUUCGGGAUUGAGAAUAAAUUUGAAAAAAAGUGAACUCAUUCUAGUAGGGAGGGUAGAGAAUAUGGAUGAUCUUGCUUGGGAAUUUGGUUGUAGACUGGGUAGCCUUCCAACCACCUAUUUGGGGAUGCCCUUGGGUGCUCUUUUUAAGUCAGUUACAGUUUGGGAUGGUGUGGAAGAGCGCUUCUGAAGAAGGUUAGCCAUGUGGAAGAGACAAUAUUUAUCCAAGGGAGGAGGGCGACUCUUAUUCGAAGCAUGUUAUCGAAUUUACCCAUCUAUCUCAUGUCAUUGUUGUGCUUACCAAGCUCAAUUAGACGGAGAUUAGAGAAAAUCCAAAGGGACUUCCUUUGGGGUGCAAUUUGGAGCGAAAGCCUCAUUUAGUAAGAUGGGAGUUGGUGUGUUUAAGUAAGAAGAAAGGAGGUUUGGGGGUCAAAUGCCUUUCCAUUCUCAACAAGGCUCUUCUUGCUAAAUGGAAUUGGCGUUUUGCAAAUGAGAGAGAAGCUUUGUGGAAUCAAGUGAUUAGGGGGAAGUAUGGAGAAGAUAGAGGGGGUUGGUGCUCUCGGGAAGUGAGAGAGGCUCAUGGUAUGGGGUUGUGGAAAGGAAUAAGGAUGGAUUGAGAGUUGGUGAGCGAUAGGAUGGUUUUCAUUGUUAGUAAUGGGAGGAGGGUGAGAUUUUGAAGGGAUAGAUGGUGCGGGGAUUCUCCUUUGUGUAUGUCUUUUUCUUCUCUUUUUGAUUUGACUGUUGAAAAGAAAGCGUGGGUGGCAGAUUUUGGGACCCUUUGGCUAAGGGGGGUUUGGGGGGGGGGGGGGGGGUGGGAACCCCGUUUUUUAAAACUUUUCAAGAUUUGGGGGGAGAGGGAGGGGAAAAAUUUUUUGCGAAGGUUUCUGGUUAAAAAAUUUUUUGGGNNNNNNNNNNNNNNNNNNNNNNNNNNNNNNNNNNNNNNNNNNNNNNNNNNNNNNNNNNNNNNNNNNNNNNNNNNNNNNNNNNNNNNNNNNNNNNNNNNNNAAAAAAAGGGUGGGGGGGCAAUUUUUGGGCCCUUUUGGUUAAGGGGGUUUGGGGGGGGGGGGGGGGGUUGGAACCCCUGUUUUUAAGAGCUUUCAAUGAUUGGGAGGUAGAGGAGGCGGAAAGAUUUUUGCAGAGGCUUCAUGGUAAGAGAGUUAUUGAGGAUGUGGAGGAUAUGGUGUCUUGGACUGAAACUAAGAGUGGUAAAUUCUCGGUCAAGUCUCUUUAUGUUGCCCUUGAAGCGGGUUGUUCAUCUCUGUUUCCUUUAAGCUAUAUUUGGAAUGUGAAUGUGCAGCCCAAGAUUAGUUUCUUUACAUGGGAGGCUACGUGGGGCAAAGCCUUAACCUUGGAUAUGGUCCAGAAAAGAGGACGGGCAUUGGCAAAUAGAUGCUUUAUGUGUCUUGAGAAAGAGGAGACCAUAAACCAUCUGCUCCUUCAUUGUUCAAGAACAAGGGUGUUAUGGGAUCUACUUUUUACUUUAUUUGGGGUGUCUUGGGUAUUGCCUUCUUCAGUUAGAGAGACCCUUCUAAGCUGGAAUGGUUUUUUCGUGGGCAAAAAAUGCAAAAAGGCGUGGAGAGUUGCUCCUCUUUACAUUUUCUGGACGGUUUGGAAGGCGAGGAAUAGAUUGGCUUUCAAGGAUGAUAUGUUGUCAAUUUAGCAACUGAAACACUCUUUUAUCCUUUCUUUUUGGUCCGAGAUUAAGUUGUUUAUAGAUGAUUGCCCUCUAACUAUAGCUAAUUUUAUUGAUUGGUUGGGCUCUAAGUAGGAUUGGGUUGUUGGGCUAUCUUUGUUUUUUAGCCUUGUUGGAGGCGGGUGUAUAGGUAUUGUAUACCUUGAGUCACUUUUUUAGCGUUUCUUUUAUAUAUGAAAUCUUAUUUACUUAUCAAAAAAAAAAAAAAUGUAAUCGAAGACUUUCACAUUAAUGAGGUAAUGAAUAACCACUGAUACUUCUUCACCCCAAAGUUCCUUCACAAAAAUUUGGUAAGUGAAGAACCAUUUCUGAGUUGUGAAGCACCAAUUCCACCUUCAUUAUCUUGAUCUUUAGAAAGAGGGAUCCAACUUGAUUUGGGAUUUUAUACCUGUCAACCCAGUCACUAAUUUUUAGGAGAAUACUUCCAAUUUACCCUUGGGUUGCUUUAGAAAGUUUCUUAAUAGUGCCAUCUCUCUAGCUUAAGGGGCUUUUGUUAAUGGAAGGCAAAUACUAGAUGUGGUUAUCAUUAGUAAUGAAAUCCUAGACAAAUACUAGAUGUGGUUGUCAUUAGUAAUGAAAUCCUAGAUGAAAAAUUCUGUUCUAAGGACGAAGGGAUGGUUUUUAAAAUAGGUUUUGAGGAAGUUUAUGAUCACAUAGAUUGGGGUUUCAUGUAUGAUACAUACUUUGAAUAGGGAAGGCCUUGAACCUGGAUGGCACAAAGGGACUGGAUAUUUUGAGGUUGUUUUUCAAACUGCAGGCUCUUUAAUGGUGUUAUUGAAGCUGAGUGUUUAGCACUCGAGGAAGAUUCGGAUAUGGUUGUUUGCCUGGAUGUAAUGAACCUCCAUAUUGAAGGGGAUUCCUUUGUUAUUGUCUCAAAACCUUCUUUGAAGGCAAAGGUCCUUAGUGGAUUGCUCAUCAGAUGGGGUGGCUUCAUAAUCAUGCUAGAGACAUUGCUUGUUCUUCUCUAUUGAGGCCCAGAUCAGCUAGCCAGGUGCAUGGCUAUAUUUUUCUUAUAGGGAUGCUAAUAUCUGAAAAUUUUUAUUGAGAACACUUACUGCUCUUUGAUUGGUUUGAGGCAUGGAGUGGCUUUUCUGUUCUCUUCUUGCCAUACAUGCAUAUCAUCCCUCUUUUUUAUCUUGUUUAACUCAAUAAAUUCUCAUUUGUUAUAAGGAAAAAAAGAGAUAUUAUGUUACAUGAUGGAAGGACUUUAUUCUGUUAUGGAAUAGGCAAAACCUAGAUCUAUUGGCUAGAGCUAUACAGUAGGUUGUUGGGCUGUUCAGCAUUGUCUUUUUUUUGGAUAGGUUUGGCCAAUGCCCCUUGAUGUUACUUUUUGGUAAUGUAAUUUUCUUUGAUUUUUCUUGAAAAUUCCUCAUUUUUCAAGCUUGCUUGUAUAUCUUUCCUUCUUCCAUUAAUGAUUGUUUGAUUCCUUACUAAAAUAAAUAACAAAUUAUGAUGCAAAAGGAUUACGUUUAUGGAAAAUUUUGAGAUUUUCACCAUAUUAGAGUCUCUGAAGUUGGUACUUGUCUUGACACAGAUAAUAGGAAUCAUUUUCCCCCCAAACUACAUAAGACAUGUCUGCUACUUGGUAAUGUUCCAUUGGCAGUUAUAAACUCUCCUGUCAAAAGUGAAUCUGUUGUAGCAUUCCAAAUGGUGUAGUGUCGUACAUAGAUUGGUAAUUGAGGACUUUAUUAUGGAUUUUGUCCUGUUGUGGUUGUGCCAACAAGUUCUAUCCUGUUCUUUGUCUUGCUGAUUUGGGUGGUUGUGCAUCAUGUUCCUACAGCUGUAUAAUUAUGCUUCAGGAGCAUAGUUAUUCUGGUUUUACCAUCCAGAUGAUGGUAUUAAAGUAUUUGUAUUCUAGAUUGCGCAACUCCUUAUAUGGGAUAUUUUUGCACCAAAUGCUUAGUGAUCAAGAGAACUCUCAUAUUAAACACAGUCAUCUUCUAUUAAACUAAAUUCCUUAAGUAUGCAGUCUCACAACUACAUCAUACCAUUCUUUUCCUUUUUUAUUCCUUUCUUGCUAUUACAGGUUGGUUGCCACUAAUAUAGUAGAAAGCAAAUUACACGACCCUGCUUCCAUAAGACCUUUCUUAUUCCAUAGGUUGAAAUAGAAAAAACACUCGAUGGGACUAAUGUUUCUCUUUGCAACCAAGCAAAUUAAAAUGUUUUGAAACCCAUGCUGCCAUGAUCUUAGCUAAUUUGCAUUUUAUAUCUCUACCCCUUUCUAUUUACCAUAAUGAUGCAUGCAUCUAGUCAAAUUGUGUAUUUCUUAUGCUUAUAUUUAUUUCCUGAUGAGUUUAUUCUGACUCUUUGAUCAGGAUUUCUGCAAUCACAUUGCUUGCUAUUGAAUUUUCAAUGGCUUAAUAUGAAUUAUUAAUAAAGAUGUUGUUUAAUUAUUUCAGCAGCUUAUACUUGGUAAUUUCUUUUAACAACUCUUAUCUCUGAUGUUCAUUUGUAAUAUAUAGCUGGAGAAAGGGCCCAACGUGAACGCCUUCGGGACUUGGCUGUGUUUGAGAGGUUACAUGGAAAUCCUGGGAAAACAUCUCCAAGCCUUGCUGUCAAAAAGGUAAACCCUACAUCUCAUUCCUCUAUACCGCAUCUUAGCUUCUCAUCUUGCAUCGGACAAUGAUACUCUUAUUGAAUCAUCUUUACCAUAUCAGCCAUCAACAUGUGCACUUAUUGAGCGCUAAUUCAGGCACUGAUACUUGUGCUUUUGUUUUGUUUUGUUUUAUCUUGUCUUGUUUUGUUUUGGAGGUGAUUGUGUUGGAUGACCUAUAUCUGUGUUAGACACCAAAGCCUAUCUUAAUGCUACUGUAAAGUAAGACUAUGCUAAUAAGCUAUUGAUCUGUUACAGGGUUUAUGCCAAACUGAUUUUUUAGUUUCUCUAGUAGAAAACUUGUUUUUUCCCCUGUUAUAUCGGUGCUAUUGUUGGAUUUGUGUUUGUUGUUGAUCAAGCAUUUGCUGAAACCUUUUUUUUUUUCCUUUGCUUCUUGAUGUGCAAAGCAUUAUUGUUUGAAUUUUAAUGAUCCCAUUUGAUUCACUAUUCAAUAUUUUUAUUUGAUAUUACAUCUAUCUCAUUUGUUUUCUUUUCUUAGUUUGUUUGUUUGUUUUUUUUUUUUUUUUUUUUUUGAAUUUGUGACAUUUGAAUUUGAUGGAGCCACCAUUAAUUUAUUUUUCCUUAUUAUUGUGGGGUGUGCUUUAUUUUGUUCAAUUGUUGUUGCACUAUUAUUGUCAUGUAACUUUUCUUUUUUGUUUUGUUUCUAUUGUUCCUAUGAGCAUUAAAUGCUUCUAAAAUGUAUGGAACAGGCUAAACCUUUCUAUAGUUUUUUUAAAAAAAAAACUCAUUUAUUAUCUAUUUUCUUGUGCUCAAAAAAUUAUAUUUUUUUAGUAAAAUUGAAAAUUUAGGGAGCGCUUAGGCCUCAGCGGCUCAACCCCUUGAGGGUUUAGGCCUGUCAUAGCAAGAUGUAAACCCCCUUGCCUCUUAUGCUUUUACCUUAUGAAACUAUACCAAGAAACAAACACCACAACUCCCUGCUGCCAUCAAAGGAUACUUCAAAGUUUGCUUCAAAUCAAUCUUAAGGCCAAUUAUCAUAGGCUUGUCAUCAUGUCACUAAAAUUGGUAUUGUAACCAAAGUCCUAUUGCGAAAUCUUCAAGUUGCAGCUCCUCCUUUUCUGUUGGCUCUUGUAUUGUUAGGUGGCCGCAACCUGUUGCUUUUCUUAUGCUUUAUGAACUACUCCAGUUAAAAUAAUGCUUCAAGUAGAUGCUUUCUGGAUCUUGAUUCUAGCAAGAGGCUUAUAUUGCAAAUUUUUUUGUGGAGUCCUAGAUAGGUUAACUAGGAAGACAAUAGCUUGCUUAAGAGGAUUGCCACCUCUCCUUUUGGGUUUGUAAAAAUUUUGGUUCUCCCUUGACCUUGGGAGUCCUAUGGUUUCAAUUUUGGAUGUGCUCUAGGUUGUAGCCUGUGUUAUGCUUUCUAAAUGGUAAUCUUCUUCUUGUUUUAGCUGGGAUGCUUUUGUUUAUUUUGCUCGUUUGUUUUCUUUGUUUCUUUAUUGUGGCUGUAGGAUCACCAAUCAACUUUUUAUUCUCUGCAAAAACUGUUUAUGUUUCAUAACGAAAAAGGAAAAAACAAAGGCAAGUUAGCCUAGAAUAGGUUUUAUCUUGUUUCUUCUUUUACCAUUAGUGUGGAUUCAAACUCAGGAAGAGGCCUUCAAACAAGUGGCAUUUGUGUUUUUUAAACAUAUAUCUUUAUUCAAUCAUUGUUAAGUGUUUGUUGUCUUGUCUGUUCUUUUGGUUGUUUUUGUCUUUGUCAAAGUGUAUAAUUAUAAUAUCCCACAUUGUAUAGAGGAAAAAGUUUCUAACGCUAUAUAUGUAUGAACUUUUUUUAAUCUUGUUGAUUCGUUUUUAAGCCGCGAGGGUCGUUUAGGCUCAAAGCAAAUAAUAUCCACACAACUGGGAGUAGGUUGUUACAAAUGGUAUCAAAGUCAAUCCUCGACCUUGGUAGGAGAGUUUGCUUGGCCUAAAAUGGGUGUCCGUUUAUUUGACCUUACAAUCCUAUGGGACACAAUAAGGACGUUGUGUCUGCAUGAGAGGGUGAUUGUAAUAUCCUACAUUACAUAGGGGAAAAAGUUCCUAACGUUAUAUAUCAUAGUUUUAAAAGGCUCAAGGCGCACCAAGGCGCAAAGUAGUCCUGGAGCCUGAGGCGCAAGGCGCAUCUAAGGCGCGGGCUUUAGUGAAGUGAGGCGCACCCUAAUUUACAUAUAUAUUUUUAUAUAAUAUAAUCAAAUUUAACAAUCAUUUAUUUGUCCUAAACACAUAAAUCAUCAAAUAUCAUCCAAAACUUCAAUUUAAUAAACAAAAAACAUAAAAAUAAAGAACUCCAAGCAUAAAAACAAAUCCAAAUCCAUAUUGCUAAUUGCCUAAUACAUAUCCAAAUCCAAAGUUUCCAAACCUAAAGGUCCAAAACAUGAAAUUUGUCCACAAUUCAAAAACAUCAUUAAAAAACACUUAAAUCACAAAUUUGUCCACAACAAGCAAUCAUCACUCCUCCUCUAAAUCAACAAAAUCAUCAUCAUCAUCAUUUCCAUCACCACAUUUGUAGCCUUCCCCAUCUUCUUCAUCUGCUGAAUUAACCAUGUCUCCAUCUUCAUCUUCAUCUAUUAGUGAAUAAGAAGGCAAAGUUCUAGAACUUGAAGCUAUCCCCCUUGUUGGUGGUAUUAUGCUUGAGCUUGCUCUAGCUCUAGCUCUAGUAUCAAACCUGGCCUCCUCAUCUCCAGCAGCUCUAGCAACAUCACCCCAUGUCAAAUUGUCAUCAUCAAAUACAAAAUCAUCUUGUGCACCUCCAUGAGAAUCCUCAUCUUCCAUUCUCCCUAUCAACCAUUCAUUGCUAUCAUCUAUAUCUUUCAAGGAAAUUGGGUCAAUGGUGUUACGUUCAUUGUAUCUUCUCUUCAAGGCUCGAUUAUACUUGAUGUACACCAAAUCAUUCAAGCGUUGAUGAUCUAACCUAUUUCUCCUCUUGCUAUGAAUCUGCAAAAAUUCAUAAGCUCAUAAAUAUAUUUUAAAAUUUUAACUUUUAAGUUACAUUCAAGACUCUAUUAGACUAUUACUUGUAAUUAUUUUGGAUUUGGUCACUCACAUUCUCAAAGAUGCUCCAAUUCCGUUCACAACCCGAUGCACUGCAUGUUAAGUUGAGGACUUUCAUUGCAAACUUUUGCAAAUUUGGAGCUGAAGCUCCAUAUGCAGCCCACCAUUCAGCUGUAGUAUAGAUAUUAACAAUUUAGUGAAACAAUUCACCUAUUUUAGCAAAAAUACAAUCUAAUCAUUUAAAUAAACAAAACUAAAUAACUAACCUGGUGCUCUAGUCUUUCUUGUCCUAACAGCUAACUCAUUCCCGAAUAGUCCUUGGGCAUUUGUGAACAAACUCACUUCGGCCACAACUUUUUCUUGCUUAGCAGGGUCUCUUGUUAGCCUUAAGAUGCAUUUAUACAAAUCACUCAUAAUCUCGGCAUCAUGCUCUAUUUCUGGCUUAUCAUAGAAGAAUUCCGGGUUCAAAAAGUACCCUGCUGCAUGCAAAGGCCGAUGAAGCUGAAUCUCCCACCUCUUAUCAAUGAUGUUGAAGAUUUCUUUGUACUUCUCUUCAUUUCCAUUAAAACUUCUCACAAUUGCAUCCUUAGCUCUAUUCAUGGCCUCAUAGAUGUAUCCCAUAGGAGCUUUUUUUUCACCAUCAACCAAACGAAGCACACGAACUAGGGGACCCGAAACCUUUAAGCAAAACACAAUAGUGUUCCAAAAUGAAGGCAUUAGAACUAUGUUGGCUAUAGUUUUCCCCUUCUACUCUUUUGCCCAUUUACUAUCUAACCAAUCUGAGCUUGUAAACAUCUUCCUCAAAUUGUUUUUUUGUUCAUGCAAUCGCGAUAAUGUGAUGAAAGCAGUUGCAAACCGAGUCUUAGCAGGCCUAAGCAAUUCCCUUUGUCCAGUAAACCGCCUCAUCAUGUUGAGUAGCCCUGAGCGAUUAUAAAUAUACCGAUUUAGUGAUAUAGCCCUCUCCAAUGUCCUCUUGAUGUUUGGUAGCUUUCCAAUAUCUUCCAACAUCAAGUCAAGGCAAUGUGCAGCACAUGGUGUCCACUACAAAUGUGGACGCUUUAAUUCUAACAACCUCCCUAUAUGAAAUUGUAGAUAAUAAAUUUACAUAAGUUCUCAAGAUAAAUAAUUCAAAUUUUAAAAGUAAAUAAAAAUUCAAGAAAUAGUAUUUAUUACUUGCUAUCACAUAACUUGAGUGAUUAUCUGUUAUAACUUGAAUAACAUUCUCUUCACCAACUUGCUCUACCCAUUUGUCAAGUAAUUCAAACAUCUUUUCUCCCGUCUUAAUCAUUGAAGAAGCAUCAAUGGAUUGCAUGAACAUGGUUCCCUUUGAACAAUUAACCAAAAAGUUCACCAAAGUUCUCUCUUUCCUAUCGGUCCAUCCAUCCGACAUAAUUGAACAUCCAUUUUUCCCCCAUUCCACCAUAUGAUCUUUCAUCAAAUCUUUUGUGAGAGCCAAUUCUUUCUUAAGGUUAGUAACUCUUACCUCAUGAAAAGUUGGUCCCUUCAUACCCACACCAUAUUGGCCAAUAGUCUCAAUCAUUGGUUGGAAACUCGGAUAUGUGACUGCAUUAAAUGGAAUAGCAGCCUCAUACAUCCAUCUUGUGAUAAGCGUGCAAGCUCUUUCUCUUGCUUCCUUUUUGUAGGCAUCAUUGAUGGUAGUUUGAUUCAUCUUUCCACUCCUUUGAUUUUGAACAACCAUCUCUGCAUUAGGAGUGAAAAAAUGAUCCAUAGGACCUUUUUGUCUUGGUUUUUUUGAAGAAAACGUCCUACCACUACUUCCUCCUCGGUUACUACCUCCACUAGAAAUGUUGGUGACAUUCGUUCUACUAUUAAUCUCCUCACCAAUAUCUUCAUCUUCCAAACCAAACAAAUCUUCAUUAACAUAUUCGCUCCCCAUAUUCAUUUGCUCUUUUUGAUUUUUCUUGGAACUCAUAUACUCUUCCAUUUCUUCUCUAACAUGUUCCGGACAUUUUCUAAACUUUUUAGCAUUUCUAUAUCCACCAACAAGAUGUUGUUUGUGUCUAUAGAUGCCUCCUUUGGUUACUUUCUCACAAAAAAUGCAUAUGAUGGUGUUCAAAUCUUUUUCAUUAACCAAACGACCAUAUUUCCACCCCGGAUCUCUUCUUCCACUUGCACUAGAGUCCACUUGAGUUUCACUCUCAUUAUCCAUCUUGCAAACAAAUUAUCUAUACUCCACAAUAAAAUAAUUAUAAUUAAAUUAAGAAAAAAAAUUGAAAAAAAAAUGCAUAUCACAUUAUCAAAUAUCACAUUAACAACAAAUAUGCAUGAGUGCUUUUUAUUUAUUUAUUUUUAUUUUGUAAAAUUUUCAUGUCAAAAACUCAAAAUAUAAUAUUUAUUUUUAAAAAAAAAAAAUUACCAAUGAGAGUUAUGAGGUAAGAAUGGAAAAAAAUGCAGAAAAGUGAAGAAAAAAGAAAAAUACCGAGGUUCGGAAGGUACGUGACUAUUUCCCCUAUUUUUCUUCUUCUUUUUCUUCUUCUUCUUCACUUCUCCAGCACAGAAGAGGCUAAGGCAAAAAAUGGCAGUGGUCUCGGGUUGAGAAAGACCAGAAAAGGGGGCUGGAUGGAAGGAACAAGUCAAAACGGCGUCGUUUUGGUCCCUGUUCACUUAAAUGAACAGGCUCCAAAACGACGUCGUUUUGGGCCCAAAAAAAAAAAAAAAAAAAAAGCUAGGGCUGCGGGGCGUCUCUGCAACCCGACUGGAGGAGGAAGAAGAAGAAGAAGAAGAACAAGGAGAAGGAGAAGGAGGAGUGCGUACCUGGUCGGACCGUCGGAGGCGACUCGGGCGAUCGCCUCGCGCCUUGCUGGAGGCGAGCGCCUUGCGCGCCUAAGCGGCGCCUUCGUGAAGGGGCGUCGCCUCUCUUCAGGCGAGGCGCCGAGGGUGGCGUCGGGCCGCCCCGAGCCUAGGCGCGCCUUUCAGAACUAUGUUAUAUAUAUAUAUAUAUAUAUAUAUAUAUAUAUAUAUAUAUAUAUAUAUAUAUAUAUAUACUCCUCUUAACCUUGUACACGUAUUUUAAAGUCAUGAAGACCACUUGAGCAUAGGAUGGAUAAUAUCUAUACGGUUGGAUGCAGGUUGUUACAAUAAUUACUUUUGAUUUUCCUUUCAUAUGUUUAAUUGCAUAACAUUAUUAUAGCAAAAUAUUAAUCUAUCAUAAUGCAACGUCUUGUAAAGCUUAUGUUGGGUGUCAUGAUUUGAUCUCUUGUCAUUUUUAUUAUUCUGAUUCAACAUCAUCUUAGCUUAUAAUCAUUUAUACACUUGAUGCAUGAGAAAUGAAGAUGCUAUAAAUUGUAGGAUCUUUUUCUCCAAUUUGUUCCUUGAUAUUUUAUAAUGCCAUGAAAUGUCUAUAUUUUGAUGCAGAAAGCCGUUCACACUCCAUCUCUCUCACUAGUUUUGCAGAACCAUUGCCACUAAGCACAUGCAGGCGUCAGAUGUGCGGCCACUUCCAGUGUUGGAAGAGACUUUGAACUACCUAUUAAACCUGUUGGAUGCCACAGAACAUCCUUUUGAAGUGGUUCAUGAUUUCGUCUUUGAUAGGACAAGAUCAAUAAGACAAGAUCUUAGCAUGCAGAAUAUCAUUAAUGAUCAAACAAUUCAUAUGUUUGAAGAAAUGGUAUGAAUUUCUUGAAACAUAAUCUCAAUUACCUUUUUUUCUGAGCAUUCAUCUCCUCAACAUACAAUAAGUUAGCCAACCCAUUGCUAAACACUCUCCUAGUUGGAGAAAAUAAUCAAAGUAUACAAGAGAUAAAAUGUUGAAUAAUUGAGUCAUUAUCCUCUCUUUUUGCUUUAUUGAAUAAGAUAAUUUAUUCGAUGGAGUCCAAAUGAGGUGAAACUGUGAUCACACAACUUGAAGCCUACUUUACAAUGGAUAAAUGAAUGGUCUGAUUUUGAAUCUUUCUUGGCACAUUAGUUAUUAUCCAAUCCAUUCUAAUUAAAUUAUCCACUAUUAAGUGUCUAUUUCCAGUCACCCUCUAAGUUAUGAAAGACCCAUAGAACCAAAGCAACUCACACCACCUGUGAUAGGAAUUGGUGCUCUCUUCCAUAAUGUCAAGUUUUCCAGUACACUUGCUGACUUUGUAGAAUAUGCCUACAAAAAGGGCUGCCACCUCCUAAUUCCCAAUCAUAGAAGUUUCUUAACCAUAUUUCAAAAGUUGUAUUUCCUGUUCCCUCUCUUAAAGUUUUUUAAACCUAUAUAUCUUUAUCCUAGUAAUUCGGAAAAAUGAGGAAAUUAUUUAACAAGAACUCCAUCAAUUUGUUCCUCAAAAUUUUAUAUAGUUUCUCUCUCUCACUUUUGAUUCAAAUUCUUGAAGCAAAGGAACAAAUUCAUGGCCAGUAACAUUUUUAGCCAAGCAAUAGAAUGCACGACAAGCAUGUAUAUGAAUGAAUUGUGUUUUUUAAUGAUAAUAGAUCAGAUAUUUUAAUCUCAUCCUAAAACCUUUGAGUUAACUAAAAGCCGCAUCUUAUGUUCUGACUUGUGGUUUGUUUCAUAAUAUAGGUGAAAUUUCAUAUUAUAUCCCACCACAAGCUUCACAGUUGUAGCAGCAAGCCAAGUUUUUCUUCAGUUCAUUACCUCAAUAUGGAGCAGCUGAAAAAGUGUCUAAUAUCUCUAUAUGCUCUAUACAAAGAAAAUCGAAAUUCAAAUUCUAUUUACAAGAAUGAACCUGAGUUCUACUCAUUUCACGUUCUUCUUCAUCUUGGCUCUAACAACCAACCAUUGGUGGAUACUUGCUUCCGUUGUUUGUUUGAGUUCAUCUUUUUCAGUAUCUCUUGCUGCCUUGUACUGGUUUCUGAAUAUGUUACUAUUUCUGUUUUGAAGGGAGAGUCACUCUCUUUGUGGUUGGGUCGUGUACCUUCUCUCAUUUUAAAGUCAAAGGAAAUGUGUUUUGCUCGGAGACUUUUAAGGUGACCGUAAAGCUAUUAUAGAUUCGACUUGCAUUUAAAUUGUUUAUAUUCAUUUUACAUUUAACUCAAUGUAGAGUGGUUCUGUUUUCCAAUCGAUUUUUUUCUCUUCUUUUAGUACCCAAUGUUAAAAAUUUUGUUUUCAUGAACUGAAAGAUCUGUCUUUUCUUGUAACAGAUUAUUUCGGAUGGGCAAUUAUAAGCGUUUCCUUUGUACUACAGCAACUGAGGCAUCUUAUUUACAGUACUACAUAAUUGAACCUUACAUCAAUGAGGUUGCUUAAAUAUGUUGAUUUUGCUAGAUUUUUCAGUUUGAAAAAUAUAUGCUUCUUUGUUCAUUUAUUGUUUUCCAAUUUCAUUUAUGAGAAUAUAUCUAAAAUCUAGACUCGAGUACUUGUGCUUUUGGGUUUUAUUUUUCUUUCAUUUUUGUUAGUAGUUGUACUUCAUUAUUCUUAAAUUUCUCACAGUUGUUUCUUUAUGUGGUUUAUUGCUCCUCACUUUCUUCAUUCAUCUGAAGUGUUCAAAUUCAAUUUGCUUGUUUCAUAAACCAGGUCUUAUUUAGAAGUUCUUCUCAAUUGCCUUUUUUAGUGCUUUUAAAGGACAUGCCUGAUUUAUAUAUAUUUUUGUUGGUUUUCUUUUGACCGUAAAAGGUUCGAGCAUUGGCAUUGUCAUGUGUAAAUUAUUGUGGCUACAAACUUCAUCCGUAUCCAAUUGCACACUUGUCCAAACUCUUGAUGAUGAAGGUAUGAUUGCAUUUACUAGCAUUAAAUUGCUAAAAUUUGUCAUCCAAAGUUCCAAUAUCUUUUGAACCUUGAAGGCUUCAUUUGCAUUUUUGUAGGAAUUAGAUGUGGAAUCAUUUUGCAAUGCUUGUGGUCUUGAGACCAGCACUGAUGAACGGGGAAAUAAGUUCUUAUCAACCAAGCAAACAAACUUCCAUUAUCCCAAGGAAGUCUUUCCAAGCUAUUGCCUUCUGGGUUUGGAACACUUUUAGAGGUAACAAUCAAUUGGAACUAGUUACUCUUUCAAACUUCUUAUUGUACAAAUAUAACCUGCAUGUGCAACCAUUUCUGAUCCCAUAAUUUCAAGAAUUUAUGACACCUUCUAGUGGUUAGUUUUUCUGGGAAUAGAGUAAAGCAAUCUAUUCACUCCCAGAAACUAUCGUCAAAGGAACAGUAGAUAACCCCGCAAGACCAAAUUUAUGUGUGUGCAUGGAGAUGCAUGUUUUCUGCAUCCCAAUCAUGCAGUGUUGUGCCAAAUGGAAUAAUAGCAGCUGAUGAUAAGUGGUAUUUCUAAAAUCUUCUAAGAGUAUUCCAUCUAUUGUAAUAUUGUUUUCUCAAAAUUGUCUUUGAGUCUUAUAUGUAAAUAUUAGACUUGACCUCUUGUAAGCUAUCAACUGAUGUUGUAACUUAACUUGAAAGGGAAAUUCUAUAAAUUUAGCCUUGGUUUGGCUGUUGGAAAGCAAAGAAAAAUUAGGUUAAUAGUGAGUUGAUUUCUUCCCUUCCCAUGGAUGUAAGCACAUUCUUGAAUCAUGUUAAUUACUUUUUGGUUUAUUUUGUUGUUUUGUUGUUUUGUUGUUUAUUGUUCAAUUGUCUCCGCAUAACAAGUGGUAUCAGAGUUGUUUCCAACACAACAGAUGAUUCCUGUGCUAACACAAAGUUUGAGGCUAAACGUAAGAUGGUAAAAGUUUCUAGAAUAUUUCCCUAUGACAACUGCCAAUAAAGGAUGUACUUAACAGAAAGUUCAUAAGGUGUUACAUGGCAAGUUGAACAAAACCAAUAGCUAGAGAUAUCUGAAAUAUUUGGGGCCACUGAUCCAACAAUAGCAGAGAAUAACACAAGAAGAGACCCUCUAAUCACCAUUUUUUCUUUGAUUCUUCUCUACAAAGCAUCAUCUUCUUUAUACAAAAAGACAACCCAUUGCUGAGCCCACAUUAUUCUCUACAUAUCCCAAAAAAGCCCUCUAAAUUUUAGGGCAUGGUGCUCUUUUUAGGGGUAUUUUGGUACUAAAUUUGUGGUAGUCUCUCAAAUACCUAAACUACCCUCCAGAUUUUAAGGCAUGGCCCACUCUUUGAGGUGGUAUUUUGGGUACUAAUUUUUGUUAGGAGAGGUUUUGGUGUGGAAACUGGAGGGCUUUACACACGUUGCAUGUAUUUUCUUUUGCAUGCAUUACACAUAGAUUGGAGUUUAUGCAGUUACUCACUUUUUGUUCGUCCAACAAUACUAUAGUGCCACGUCACCAUAUGAUGGGCUCUUUAGUCUUUUCAAACCCAAAAAAAAACACUAAAAAAAAAAAAAACUAAUACUAAAAGGAUUGCUAACUAGCUAUGUGAAGAUGAACCUCUAUAGCUAGCUUCUUAGAGGGACCAUAAUCGCUUAGGCCAGGGAAGUUUGAGGUGAUAAUAUGUCUGUGAUGCCCUUAGAUGUUUUAGGCACAUGUGCGUUACAUUAAUGUAUUCAAUGAGUCUAUAACCUUGAUUGACAGGUCCGAGUAAUCUUUGAAAUUUCAUUGUGGUGGGAAGGUUCCAUGUGAACAACACUUGCACAUGGGUUAGUUAAUCUUAAGAGACGGGGGAAGCUCAUCUAACAGCACACAAUGUGCGAGCUUUGAAAGGCAAUCGGGUUAACAUUUCUGAAUUGGGACAUGACAGCGGACAACAACAUUAGGUAGUCCAAAGAUGUCGUCAUAUUAAUUGUUAUCAAUAUUUUUAUUUAUUCAAUAGAGAUUGAGGAUUAAAAAAAUACCACAAAAAUUAGAAAAAACAAAAUUAAUUACAUGGCUUACAUUUCAAAUAUUUAAUAAAAUAUUGUAUGAAAGUUGAAUAUCAUACACUAUUAAAUGGUUGGAUUCUCUUCUUUAAUUUUUUUAAUUGUCUCAUCCUAUUAAAUUACUCAUCUAAUAUUAAUUUAUUUUAAAGGUGAAAUUAAUUAUAUUGUAAAAAACUUUUAACUGACCAGAGUUUGUGCACAACAUCUAAUAUAUACUUAAAUAUAAUCCUCCAACUAAGAAAUGAAAUCAAAACUUAAAAAUCAUUUAUAUAUAUAGAUAUAUGUUAUCAAGUUUAGGUAGUGAAGCAAUUAAUGUGGAUAUAAAAUUAAUGCCAAAACUUUUGAUUGUUCCUUCACAUUCUCCACAACCAAACAAAGGAUAUAAGAAAAAUAAAGAAAGAAAUUUAGGGUAGUUUGAUUUUUGUUCUCAUCUUGUUGUGAAGUUAAUAGAGGAAUGCUUGGGUUGGUGCUCAAUAGUUAAGUGACAGCAGGGUAUAAUGAUUCUUCCAAUCGUGUAAAUAUUAUUUGUUUUAAUUUCAAUGGAUCAUCGUCACUUUAAAUUGCAUCCACAUGGUUAAGAGCAACUCAUAUGUAUAUAAUAUCAUGAAUUUCUUCUUAUUCGAUACGGAAUAUCAAAUUAGGUAUCUUUCAAUUUUAGGUAUUGUGUAAGUGUUUCAACUCAAAUGACUUGGCUUAAUGUAUACUCAAAGCCUUGACAAAGGAGCGUAUAUGUAAUAAAGUGAAAAUUAAACCUUGUCGCCCUUCUAUCUCUAGUACUCCAUUAUCCCUUAAACAUGUGCAAAAAAAGAUAUACACCUUUGAUACAUUAAUUAAAAUAAACGAUAGAAAAAGAGAUUUUAUAUAUCCAUGUACAUAAUUUGAUUAGAUUUGUUAUAUAUGAGAGAGAGAGAAAAAAAAAAAAACUGUUUAGAUUAAGGAUCUCAUUAAUUAAUACCUAGAAAAUAUAAAAGAAUAAAAAAAGAUUAGAAGGUGUGAAUCAGAAGAUAAGACUACAUUUUUUAAUUAGAUUCAUCGAAAGAUGGCAUAUUGUAUGAACAUUUUUACUCUACAUAUAAAAACUUAUAUUAUGGUUGAGAUGUAUUAAUUUGUCAUAUUUUUGGACAUUUAAAGUAAUGAGUAAUUACACUAAAUUAAAUUAUUGACCUUAUUAAUCAAUACCUCAAAAGUAUAAAAUAGUAAUAAAUGAAUAAGACAAACUUCAUCGAAAUAUUUUUAUGGGCACAUUACGUAAAUAUUCUUAUUUAAUAAAAGUUUAUAUGUCAUUAAAUGAAUAGAGAAUUUUAACAUUAAUUGCAGUGCUAAGUAGAGGAGAUCUCAUAUUUAAGCUGUUGAUUAAGGCUUAUUACUUAAUAAUUUAAGUUGACUUUAAGUUAGAUUAUAUUUAAGUUAUUUACGUAAAAUUUAUUAUUUAUUAUUUAAUAUUUACUUUAAGUAUUAAAGUUAUUUGAUAAAGUUAAUUUAAAAAUCAUUUUAAAUUAUCAAAUUGUCAUAUUUACCUUCAUUAAUUUGAUAACUAGAUGCAGAUAAAUGAAACAAAAAAAAAAUUGAGAUUAAGAAUAAGUUAAUUAAUUUGAUUUAACACUUAAAAGUAACUUUAAGAUAUAAUAUUAAGUUAUUUUAUCAAAUAUAUUUAAUCUAUUUAAUAAUUAAAUUAAGUUAUUAAGUUAAUGAAUGAUUACCAAACACCUUAUAAGACCCAAAAAAUCGAAUGAGUUUUAAUAGUUUCCAGGAUGGGCAUGACUAGGUGGUGGUUCAAUGCUGAUUAAUCAUAAUUCAAUCAAGGCAAAAUAUGUAACAAAUACAUGUCAAACUGCACCAUCCAAAUGGGCGCCAAGAACGUUACAUUUGACAAAUGCCAUUAAACCUCGACAGCUACCAAUUACUUGAAGCUCAUUAACUUCAUCUUAAUUUGAUCCAAAUUGCAGAAACAUGUGAAACUCCAUGAAUCUAUGGUGCUAUGGUGGCCUACAUUCAUAUAACUGGGGACACUUUGGUUUACACUACAAUGACCCCAAACAGGGUUUGUAGAGACUUUAUCAAGAUCACUAGCUUCAAAAGACUAAGGAAAGAAAGAUGUUCUCAAAACUUGGAGUCAAAUUGCAGAUAAAGACCUAAAACUCCCACUUAACGUGUUUGAGGAAUUGUUGUUUCAUGGGGAUAAGCUGUUUGGUUUGUACAUGUCUCCUUGGUGAUACUUAGAGUUCGGCGAAGUAUACGUAUCCUUUGUGAUCUGGUUUGUAUAUGGGCAGAUGAAUGUUGAUGCCAGGUUCAUAUAUGUUUCUGAUAUAUAUCACCCUGGAAGGAUCUAGAUCAAGGGGAUGAGUUUCAAAAGCUUGAGUAGGUUUAAGAUGUUCCGAGAAUUGGUGAGCAUGAUAUAUAUCAAUAUGAUAUUGCAGAAGACAACAGAGCUUCUGAAAUUAAUAUGUCAGGUUCAAUAGUGGGAAAUCUUAUCAGCUGUCACUUACUGUAAUCGUAUGCUCUCAAUAUUCAUUUGUUGAAGAAGAAAAAAAAAAUUGCUUUCACACUAUUCAAUUACAAGAGAAUGUUCAAUUAUAGAAGAAAAUAAUAUUCGCUAGUCUCUUUCAACUUAAUCAACAUGCAGAGAAAAGCAGUGAAUAAUAACUUACAUACAUUGUCUCUCUACCCCUACUUGUUACUCAUCAGCCAAGCUUAUGGUAAUAUAAGCUUGGGUUCAUCUCUCUAUGCCACUGAUGAAAACUCCACAUGGGCUUUGCCUUUCUGGUGAUUUUGCAUUUGGAUUCCGACCCUCUCCAAGUGAAGAGGACCUAUUCCUUCUUGCUAUCUGGACUGCAAAUGGAAGUUAACUGGUGCCAAGAGGAUCAAAAGUUUGGGCUUACCACCAAUGGACAGCUUGUUCUCUAGAGGCUAAGAUAUAUGGAAGACAAAGACUGGUAAUGUGAGCAGCGAACCAGUGCAUGGUGCCAUGCUUGGAGAUGGAAAUUGUAUACCAGUAUAUGGGAGAGCUUCAAGCACCCAACUAAUACCAUAUUGCCAAUCCAGGGAUUGGUGUUGGAGCCUACUGUGCAGUUGCUAUUUUUGAGGACCUGAGGUUUGCAAAUGGAACUGGAAGCUGUUGGAGGAAAAGACUACCUCUUUCAAAUGGGAGGUUGGAUCAAACUGCUGUUUCCAGAAGUGCUCUAAUCAAGAUAUUGAAGUCCAGUGAACUAACUUCAGGCAGAUGCAAGCAAAAUAAAGCAAUUCUAAUACUCUCAGUCCUCUUAGGCCCCUCUGCGUUCUUCUUCUUCGUUUCUCUAGCUGCAAUUUCACUAGUUUUCUACUGCUUGAACCUCAAAAAUCUGCAGCUUUAUCACAGAAUCCUGAGUACAAGCGAUGGUAGAAGCCUUUGGCACUGUCUAUAAAGGGAUAUUACCAUCAGGUUCUGGAAAUUCUGUUGCUGAAAAGUUGGAGAAGGUGGUGGGAGAAGAUGAGAAAGAAUUCAAAGCAGAAGUGAAUGUGAUGGGCCAAACUCACCAUAAGAAUCAAGGACACUUGCUGCGUUACUGUUGUGAGGGUGAACACUGACUACUGGUGUUUUUUUUUUAUGCACAAUGGCUCUUUAUCAAGCUUCCUUUCUGGAGGCGCCCGAAAGCCCUCAGAACACAACUCUUGGAUGAUUCUUUUACAGCCAAAGUUGCAAACUUGGACUGGGAAAGCUUCUGAUAAGCAACCAGACUAGAACACUCACAGGCAUCAGAGGGACUAUGGGGUAUAUUCAGACAACUCGGGCAGCCUAUGUCUCUUAUAAUAACACGUUAUGAAGCAUCAGCUCAAUGCUGGGGUUCAAUCUGCAAAGCAAGGGAUUCAUCAAUGUUUCCUUCAAACUAAAUAAUAAGGAACAGAAAUGGAUCAUUCUGCAUUUUCAGUGGUGUUUGUUAUAGCAUUUAUACAAGAACUCUAGGGGUUUCUAUGUAUAACUUCAUUCCCAUUUUGUAUAAUCCAAAUCUCUUCAAUCGAUUAAAUGUAUAAAUGAAUCCUAUUCAUUGUUUGGAGUAACAACAAAAUUCUGGAAGACUGGGAAAGUUUCAACACUGGAGAGAAAACAAAAUGACAAGACCAUAAAUUCUGGAAGAGGGCUUUGCUUUCUAACCAUUACCAUAAUUUUAGAGCUCAACCCGGAUGAGUAAAUUAUAUUUCAGAAUGUUCAGGAGAUAAUUCUAAAGUGAUGAACCUUCUACUCACAGUUUCUUGUUCUUCUUGAACAGAGCAAUGAACAUCAAUAGUUCAGCACCCAGGAAUCUCCCCUCUCCAAUUCCUCCACUGGGAAAAGUCACCUUUCCAGUUAAGAAAAUCUUCAGGAUUAAUUUGAGCAAAACAUCAGAGUAUACAUCAAGAAAGCCUUGAUCAAAAUCAAAAUACAUCAAGAGCUGCCAUUUUCUUCUAUUUCCUCUUCCUUGAAUGGAAUGCCUUUUGGACUGAGGUGAUCAAUGGUAACAGUCUAACACACUCCUUAAGCUUUGAUUGAGGUCAACGGGGAUUGGCACAUUUAAUGACUUUGAAAUCAUAGCUGUGUGAAGGGAGGCAAACAUGAAUCUCAGGAUAAUCAACAAGUCAACAACUAUCAAUCAGUAAGGAAAAGGAAAAGGAAAUACCUUUGGAUAUUUACAAAUAAAAAAUUUGAGAGAGUCCAGCUGCUCUGUACAGAAAGGCUUGAGCUUAUUCCAUGGCCAGGCUUUAGAUGGUUCUGAAUUACGGAUGAGAGGAUUGAGUUUUCUUUCAUUCUGCAAUAAGAUUAAAAACAUCAAUGAAACACUAAAAGUUUAUAUAUAGAAGCCCUUUAAAGAUGAGAAUUGGUAAGAGAGCUCACCCAUGGUCUAGUAAAACAACAUCUGUUAGAUAAGUAACCACCAUUCGAUUGUCCAGCUAAUGCAUUUAGACAGUCCAAAAUAGCUAAAGACAGUCCAAAAACUCAUUUGACUAAUAAUUUUCUAAAAGCAGUAACAUAAAACCUGGAUGAAGAAUCCACCCCUCUACCUGACACCACUUCAAUACCAAAUAAAAUGUUACGAUGACCAUUUAUAGUCUUAAGAGACAGUGGGUGUUGUUUGGGCUCAAGACCAUCAAAAUUGGCACAGAAACAAGUACAACAACUAUCUAAUAAAGAGAUUUAUGCAUGUAACAAAUGCAAAUGAAAUAUGAUACAAGAAGUUCAUAGAUUAAACAAAAAUAGAUGGCAAAAUAGAAGGAUAAGGUCACAGACAGGACAAUAUUAAAAGAAAUUAUUAUUUUUCCGACCUGAAAAUCGAGGCAUUUAGAACAGUACAAGUUUGUAAGUAGUCCAUGGAAACCAGGGAACUUAUGCAGAUGUUGUAUUCUAUUGCAUAAGGCAAACACUCAAUACUUACAAGCAUAAUCAUGCCCAGAAAGCCAUGAAUCCCUUUUUGUUUUGCUUUUUUACCUAUUCUCAUCUCUUAUUGCCAGAAGUGCCCAGGAUGAUACAACCUCACCAAAUAAGUUAGAAACCAGCCCAUUCAGCAGGUUGAGUAGCCAGCUUGCCCUCAAUCUUCUUUGAGUCAACAAACAGUUGGGCAUUAUUGCCUCCAAUGGAGGGUCUGGAAAUAUUAGAGCCGGCAGCAGGGGUGGCUGUAAAACUCUCUGUUCCAAAACCCCAAGUUUCAGGGCCAGA